AAAUCAUUGCUAUUUCUAGCCCCAUCGACGAGAUUGCACCUCUUAAGAUAUGUCAGUUCCCUUGUAUGACCGAGGUUAACUUGCACUUGUUCUUGCACCAAUUCGUCGACGGGCCAAGCAACCCAAAUCGCAAUGAGGAAACCUUACUCCAAGCAAGUUUUCCUUUUGGGUUUGGGACGACGAUAGUCCAUGACUGGACUCUUACCGAGACAACAAAUUCCAGAGACACGGUUGUUGCACGUGUACAAGGUGUGCAUGUCCAGGCUGGUUUAACCAAGCCUAACAGAUGGUACACGACUCAUAACAUAGAGUUUCAGCAAGGAAGGUAAUAUGUUUCGCUACUUUUCAAUAUCUAAGUAUAUUUCAUGAGUUCUUUGCAUGCAACAUUAAAUUUAUGUCCUUACCUGUACUAUAUUUGUAGCCAAGGGUUUCACACACCUUACUAGUGUAUAGACACAUAUUAAUAAGUGUGCAUUUGUCAAACUCUACAUGCACUUCUGACCCUAUGACGGAACUUUCUAUUUUGAACAUGAAACAGGUUUGCGGGGUCCACCCUUCAAGUGAUGGGUAUAACCGCAGGUUUGGAAAGUGGGCAGUGGUCUAUUGUCGGUGGAACUGGUCAAUUCAUUAUGGCACAGGGUAUAAUAAGUUUCACAAAUCAUCCGGCCUCUACUUUUGAAGAUGGUAUUAAAGAACUCAAUAUUCGUGUACGCUUCACAAGGGAUAUUACACAAGCCGUAAGUAUAAUAUUAUGAGUUUAUAUUCAAAUUCUUGUGCUCUAUUUGUUGAAGAGAAAUGGAUUAUCAUACAUAUUAUCCUACUGAAACUGCAUUACAUUAAGACAUUUGUGGACAUUCAAGUGCAAAUGCAUUAAAGGAGGUUCUGUUUUAACAACAUUAGCCAUAUUUAACUAAAUCAAAUGCUUGUUGAAUGUUUUGUGCAUUUAGUAGGGUGUUGCAUAUCAAGUAAUGAAGCUUUAUGUACGAAUGCUUGACAUGACACUAGCCAUUGUUUCACUUUUCGCUGCAGGCUUGAGGUGCAUCUCGUCCCUUGAAAGACUAGCGCCAAUGUCAGUAAUUUGAUGGGGAAAUGUGUUUGCAUUUUGCUUGUAGUGUGAUGGGUCGUUGUUAUGGUCUGCAUGUGUCAUUAGAGUAUGCGUUAGCUAGCAUACCCUCUUUCUAUCUUUCAUUCAAAAUAUCAUGUGGGUUUCUCGCACGGUGGAUAUCCAGUCCAUAAUCUGUGUCAACCCAUCUGUUUGUUGGUGUCUAUGUAAUGUCUUGGAUAUGAUGUGGAAUAAUGGAGCUUGUUUGUUUGAGAAAGUGUUAUACCCACAUAAUUAUAUUAUUUGUGUUAAUCAUGAGACAAGCAUAUAUGAAAACUUAAAGCAAAACAAAUUAAUGAACACAAGAGCACCGUUAUUCAUACACUUAACAGUGUCUAUCCCGAAAGCAGUUUACCUCAAGGACCAUAAGAGCCCCAUUAUUUUCCACAACGUCUAGAAUAAUUGCAAACAAAGAUAUCACCCAGGCGGCCAUGACAUAAUGCAAUUAUAUAAAAAUGAUAGCCAUGUUAUUUGGUAGCAUCGAGAGAUGCAUAUACAUGUCUUGUACUCUUUUAAUAAAUACAUAAAAGAUUUGUGCAUUGAUGUAUUGCAAGGGAAAAAAUUGAUGCAUGGUAUAGAAUUGAGGCUCUUAACCACAAGGACCUAGGCUCGACCUUGACUCGAACAACGCAGGGCUACAACGGCUGUACUUCCUCCAUAAAAAAAUAUAAGAGUGUUUAGGGAGAGCGCCAUUACUAAGAUGGGCGGCAUCUGAACAUGUUAUAUUGGUCGUACGUCCAGCUCCAGGGAUUUGCGCUAGUGGGUCCAUGGCAGGAAAUACGGGUGGAAAAAAUUGACGUCGACUGGCGGUAUACGGGGAUGAACAGUGAUGUAUGCCAGCGCCCGUGCUCGUCUUUUUGAAAUGCACGUUACGCUGACGAGCCGAGCCGUCGAUCGGGUCAGUCACGAGAACCUGACCCAAGGAUUAGAAACGUAAUCGCACCGUCUGCUGCUUAGACACGCGCCGUCUACUGCAGGGCUAACCAGCGGCCCGACACGUGUCCUGACAGACCCCCACCACUCAAACAACCACAAUUCCUUUUUCCGAAUUUACAGAAUAUCUUUUUGCCUUGCCUUAUCCAGCGGACUGCUGCUGUUCCACACUCCAUAGCCUCUCCUUGUACAGCUUCGUGAAAGAUGAUUCCGAUGAGGUGAGGUCCGCCGCUCGGCGCUGUAGCUGGCGGCCAGACGGGAGCUAUUGCGGCUAGCGCUGCCCGCCUCCGGCCUGCUGCGCCGCGUGGGGCAGUGGCCUUGACUGAAGGCAAGAUGGGGUCCGUGCAAGCUAGCUCCGCUUGCUUCAGACGCGCUGCACCGCACGGGGCUGUAUCCUUGGCCGGUGUGAAGUCGGGGGGCGUCGCGGGUAGCACCGCCCACGUCCAGUGCGUCCAAGGCUGCGGUCGACCAGCUCCCUCGUAGAAGGUGGAACCACAGCACAUGCACCCAGUCGGCGGGCGCGGCCGUGGCCAGUGGCGAGAUGCCGCGGGAGGUCGUUCGGUUACACUUGAAGAAGCGUGAGCUCGAUGCAUCUCAACAGGCAAAGGUGAUUCUAGUUGCUUGCUUCUAUCCAACAUUUUGGCUACCAAAUCCCAAGAAAAUACCGAGGGUGGGCGAGAAACGUGAAUACUGCGGUUACCAUAAAAUUCCAAGCAAAAUCCGCUCGAAUUUUUCAAAAGUAAUUUGAAUUCAAAUUUUUCUGAGCUAGGAAUAUAUAAGUAUUGAGCUCAAGUGGUUCACAAACAAGGUGUUCGCGCAGUGGCAUGUUCUCGUCGUAUGUCCUCAGCGUAUGCAAGGUCGUGGGUUCGAUUCUCUAACCUUGAGUUUUAGAAUAUUUAUUUUAGAAUUGGUUAAACAAAAAAGAAAACAGUGUCUAUCCCUAAAGCAGUUUACCUCAAGGGCCAUGCCCUAUUAUUUUCCACAACGUCUAGAAUAAUUGCCAACAAAGAUAUCACCCAGGCGGCUAUGACAUAAUGCAAUCAUAUAAAAAUGAUAGCCAUGUUAUUUGGUAGCAUCGACAGAUGCAUAUACAUGUCUUGUAUUCUUUUUACAAAUACACAAAAGAUUUGUGCAUUGAUGUAUUGCAAGCGGAAAAACUGAUGCAUGUUAUAGAACUAGCGAAGUGUCCCGCGCAUUUGCGCGGCUAGAUUGUCAUUUUAUGUUAUUAUAUUUUUUGAUUUGUUAUCCUUCGUACAUUUAAGAUAUAUGGCCCUACAUGAUUUGACAUUAGUAAAAACAUUAAGCAUGUUAAUUAUUUUGAGGGUGACAACGAAUGAUAGAGAGGCACUUGUCCCACCACAUAAGGUUGUAGAGUUCUAGUAUGAAAAAUAAUAAUUAGCUUUCUAUAUUACAUUCUUAUCAUCCUCUAUGAUUUAUCUUUUUGUGAAUAUCUCUAACCUUGAGUUUUAGAAUAUUUAUUUUAGAAUUGGUUAAACAAAAAAGAAAACAGUGUCUAUCCCUAAAGCAGUUUACCUCAAGGGCCAUGCCCUAUUAUUUUCCACAACGUCUAGAAUAAUUGCCAACAAAGAUAUCACCCAGGCGGCUAUGACAUAAUGCAAUCAUAUAAAAAUGAUAGCCAUGUUAUUUGGUAGCAUCGACAGAUGCAUAUACAUGUCUUGUAUUCUUUUUACAAAUACACAAAAGAUUUGUGCAUUGAUGUAUUGCAAGCGGAAAAACUGAUGCAUGUUAUAGAACUAGCGAAGUGUCCCGCGCAUUUGCGCGGCUAGAUUGUCAUUUUAUGUUAUUAUAUUUUUUGAUUUGUUAUCCUUAGUACAUUUAAGAUAUAUGGCCCUACAUGAUUUGACAUUAGUAAAAACAUUAAGCAUGUUAAUUAUUUUGAGGGUGACAACGAAUGAUAGAGAGACACUUGUCCCACCACAUAAGGUUGUAGAGUCCUAGUAUGAAAAAUAAUAAUUAGCUUUCUAUAUUACAUUCUUAUCAUCCUCUAUGAUUUAUCUUUUUGUGAAUAACUCUUUUGGACAGUUUCACCUAAAAAUAAUAAAAUACUAAUGGCUUGUACUUAAUUCCUCUUUUAGCUUAGUCGUUGUAAAUUUGUUGUGUACAAUUUUCUCGUGUGCUUGGUGCAUUCGAGUUGUUUGUGGCAUUCUUCUUAACUGCUUGCAUACAUGGAUAAAAGAUAUGUAUGUUCUUCGGCAGUGAACUACUUGACUCACAGAGUCCAUGCCCGCUUCUCCUUCAAAUUAAAUCAUGACAAAUCUAUAAUGUUUCAUUAAGUGUAAAUUCUAAGGACUUUAUGCCACAUCGACUAAUAGUGUGGUCAGUCCAUAUUGAGAAUGGUUAUAUCCCAAUUAGUCUAAAUAUAUUUCUACCACAUGGAACCAAAUUGCCAAUUUAUUUUUUAUUCGUAUUGUCAUGUAUAAAAUAGCAUCAUAUUCAUUACUCACCUAAUCAGAUUGUUUCAUAUAAAAUACAUCACAAAUUUAGCGAUAUUUCAUUGUUACCAUGUGGAAAAUCAAGUUGUUGAUUUAUUUUCUUAUAGUGAAUUCCCUAUACAAAUAUCUCCAUUCGUGCUCAUUUUAUAGGGAAUGGUAUUACUAUGGUUUUUUUAAAUAGACAACGUCAUAAUCUGGAUACACGGUGAUCAACAAAUACGCGCAAUUUUGCUUAUAUAAAUGAAUACUCCUAAAAUAUAAAUGCAUAAUGGUUUUUGAUAGAUAUUUCAUGUUUAUAUUUUAUAUGAAUUAGAUACUAAUUCGUUCCGUUCCUAUCUUUUUCAUGGAAACUUUCCGGCCGAAUGUUGUAGAAAGGCGAUCGUAUACUUCUCAUCGUACAUGUAUGUGUGUCUUGAUGAAUUUUUUUUUGCGGUUAGUGUCUUGAUAAAUCCUUAUUGUGUACAGUAUGGUGAAUCUGAACAUGCACCUAUUUUUUUCUUUUUCCGUAGUCUUCUUAGAGCCUUUAUUUCAUUUUCUAUUUUUCUUGAAUGUUAGUCCGGACGUGAUUAGCUCUUUUUCCUCUACUAUUUUUGUUUUCACGGCCGUGUGCCUUGAUGAAUUAGUUUUUACCCAUAUGCAUGGAUUUCAUGAUAAAUCAUAAUUAUGUGAGUUGCGGUGGACAUGGACACGCCUCUAAUUUUCCUCUUUUUUUCCAACAGUAGUCCGGUCAUCUUAAUAGUAGUCCACAUUUUAUGUCCUUUGCUGAAAUUCACACAUGUAUCGGUUGGACACGUCUUCCUUUUUUGCAUCGAACUCUUCCUUAUAUAGUUCUUUGAGUUCCGUGGACUGCACGGAGACCAGGACCUGUAUGCUAAUAGGAAUCCUAAUCGCAUAUGGCCGGCCUUUUUCUUUUUUUAAUGCAAAUGCCUCGUAUAUACUACAUUACAAAGGCAUUACUAAGUCACGUGAUCUUUCUUUAUUUUUGUCUCACCUUUUUCACACAUGUUAUACGUGUCAGUUCAAUAAAUGUAAUCCAAUAACUUUUUUUCAUGUAACGUAAUAUCUUUAAAUCUCAACCGUAAGUAUUACUGACGGACGGUGUAUAUUGUGGAAGAACGUGGUGUCUUAUUUGACUUCUGUUUUAAGUAUAUAAUAGAUAGAUUGAGGCUCUUAACCACAAGGACCUAGCCUCGACCUUGACUCGAACAAGGAAGGGCUACAACGGUUGUACUUCCUCCAUAAAGAAAUAUAAGAGUGUUUAGGGAAAGCGGCGUUACUGAGAUGGGCGGCAUCUAUGGGCGGCAUCUGAACUUGUUAUCUUGGUCGUACGUCCAGCUCCAGGGAUUUGCGCUAGUGGGUCCAUGGCAGGAAAUACGGGUGGAAGAAAUUGACGUCGACUGGCGCCUGGGCUCGUCUUUUUGAAAUGCACGUUACGCUGACGAGCCGAGCCGUUGAUCGGGUCCGUCACCAGAACAUGACCCAAGGAUCAGAAACGUAAUCACGCUGUCUGCUGCUUAGACACGCGUCGUCUGUUGCAUGGCCAAUCAGCGGCGAACACGUGUCCUGACAGACCCCCACCACUCAAACAACCACAAUUUCUUUUUCCUAAUUUACAGAAUAUAUUUUUGCCUUGCCUUAUCCAGCGGACUGCUGCUGUUCCACACUCCAUAGCCUCUCCUUGUACAGCUCCGUGAAAGAUGAUUCCGACGAGGUGAGGUCCACCGCUCGACGCCGUAGCUGGCGGCCAGACGGGAGCUUUCGCGGCUAGCGCCGCCCGCCUCCGGCCUGCUGCGCCGCGUGGGGCAGUGGCCUUGACUGAAGGCAAGAUGGGGUCCGUGCAAGCUAGCUCCGCUCUCUUUAGCCGCGCUACGCCGCACGGGGCCCUAUCCUUCGCCGGUGGGAAGACGGGGGCCAUCGCGGCUAGCACCGUCCGCGUCCGGCGCAUCCAAGGCUAUGGCCAACCCGCUCCCUCGUAGAAGGUGGAACCACAACGCGUGGACCCAGUCGGCGGGCGCGGCCGUGGCCGGUGGCGAGAUGCCGCGGGAGGUCGUUGGGUCACACUUGAAGAAGCGUGAGCUCGAUGCAUCUCAGCAGGAAAAGGUGAUUCUAGUUGCUUGCUUCUAUCCAACGUUUUGGCUACCAAAUCCCAAGAAAAUACCGAGGGUGGGCGAGAAACGCGGAUACCAUAAAAUUCCGAGCAAAAACUGCUCGAAUUUUUCAAACGUAAUUUGAAUUCAAAUUUUUCUGAGCUAAGAAUAUAUAAGUAUUGAGCUCAAGUGGUUCACAACCAAGGUGUUUGCGCAGUGGCAUGUUCUCGUCGUCCGUCCUCAAACGUAUGCAAGGUCGUGGAUUCAAUUCUCUAACCUUGAGUUUUUAAAUUUUUAUUUAAGAAUUGGUUAAACAAAAAAGAAAACAGUGUCUUUUUGAAAUGCACGUUAUGUUGACGAGCCUAGUCGUCGAUCGGGUCCAUCAUGAGAACCUGACCCAAGGAUCAGACACGUAAUCGCGUCGUCUGCUUCUUAGACACGCGCCGUCAGCUGCAGGGCCAACCAGCGGCCUACACGUGUCCUGACAGACCCCCACCACUCAAACAACCACAAUUCCUUUUUUCUAAUUAACAGAAUAUCUUUUUGCCUUGCCUUAUCCAGCGGACUGCUGCUGUUCCACACUCCAUAGCCUCUACUUGUACAACUCCGUGAAAGAUGAUUCCGGCGAGGUGAGGUCCGCCGCUCAGCGCCGUAGCUGGCGGCCAGACGGGGGCUAUCGCGGCUAGCGCCGCCCGCGUCCGGCCUGCUGCGCCGCGUGGGGCAGUGGCCUUGACUGAAGGCAAGAUGGGGUCCGUGCAAGCUAGCUCCGCUCGCUUCAGCCGCGAUGCGCCGCACGGGGUUGUAUCCUUGGCCGGUGGGAAGACGGGGGCCGUUGCGGCUAGCACCGCCCGUGUCCGGCCCGUCCAAGGCUGUGGCCGACCCUCUCCCUCGUAAAAGGUGGAACCACAGCGAGAUGCCGCGGGAGGUCGUUGGGUCACACUUGAAGAAGCGUGAUCUCGAUGCAUCUCAACAGGCAAAGGUUAUUCUAGUUGCUUGCUUCUAUCCAACGUUUAGGCUACCGAAUCCCAAGAAAAUACCGAGGGUGAGCGAGAAACGCGGAUACCGCGGUUACCAUAAACUUCUGAUCAAAAACCGCUUGAUUUUUUCAGACGUAAUUUGAAUUCAAAUUUUUCUGUGCUAGGAAUAUAUAAGUAUUGAGCUCAAGUGUCCGGCCCGUCCAAGGCUAUGGCCGAGCCGCUCCUCGUAAAAGGUGGAACCAUAGCGAGAUGCCGCGGGAGGUCGUUGGGUCACACUUGAAGAAGCGUGAGCUUGAUGCAUCUCAACAGGCAAAGGUUAUUCUAGUUGCUUGCUUCUAUCCAACGUUUUGGCUACCGAAUCCCAAGAAAAUACCGAGGGGGGGGGGGCGAGAAACGCUGAUACCGCGGUUACCAUAAACUUCUGAGUAAAUACCGCUCGAUUUUUUCAAACGUAAUUUGAAUUCAAAUUUUUCUGUGCUAGGAAUAUAUAAGUAUUGAGCUCAAGUGGUUCACUAACAAGGUAUUGGCGAAGUGGCAUGUUCUGGUCGUCCGUCCUCUACGUAAUGGGUAACAAGUAAUGAAAGUAAAUAAGAUGCAGCAAUAUAGCCCAAUCCUUUUUAUAGCAAAGGACAAGUCUGGACAAACUCUUAUAUAAAGGAAAACACUCCCGAGGACACAUGGGAAUUAUCGUCAAGCUAGUUUUCAUCACGUUCAUAUGAUUUGCGUUCGUUACUUUGAUAAUUUAGUAUGUGGGUGGACCGGUGCUUGGGUACUGCCCUUUCUUGGACAAGCAUCCCACUUAUGAUUAACCCCUAUUGCAAGCAUCCGCGACUACAAAAGAAGUAUUAAUGUAAACCUAACCAUAGCAUGAAACACAUGGAUCCAAAUCAGCCCUUAUGAAGCAACUCAUAAACUAGGGUUUAAGCUUCUGUCACUCUAGCAACCCAUCAUCUACUUAUUAUUUCCCAAUGCCUUCCUCUAGGCCCAAACAAUGGUGAAGUGUCAUGUAGUCGAUGUUCACAUAACACCACUAGAGGAGAGACAACAUACAUCUCAUCAAAAUAUCGAACGAAUACCAAAUUCACAUGACUAAUUAUAGCAAGACUUCUCCCAUGUCCUCAGGAACAAACGUAACUACUCACAAAUCAUAUUCAUGUUCAUAAUCAGAGGAGUAUUAAUAUGCAUAAAGGAUCUGAACAUAUGAUCUUCCACCAAAUAAACCAACUAGCAUCAACUACAAGGAGUUAUCAACACUACUAGCAACCCACAGGUACCAAUCUAAGGUUUUGAGACAAAGAUUGGAUACAAGAGAUGAAGUAGGGUUUGAGAGGAGAUGGUGCUGGUGAAAAUGUUGAUGGAGAUUGACCCCCUCCCACUGUCCGUUCAUGCCUCCGGCGACGCCAACCGUCGCUAGAUCAAACCACUGCUGCCAUUGACAACACGCACGGGAUCGAGAUUUUGUUUUUGUUUUUGAAAGUAGCGCGUGGUAUAAGACACGCUACAGAUAAUUAGCAGUAGUGCUGUCUGCAACGCAUGCUACAUCUAACCAUGUAUAGCAGUAGCGUGUGUCAAAACGCGCUACUGCUACAAGUUAGCUGUGGCGUGCCCGCUCUACUGAUACACCCAAAACCCGCCCUGCUGCUAGGCUUUUCCCUAGUAGUGGGACUUACCCACUAACUAUUAGCAACGGGGUAGAUUAUACCUGCCUCCAGAAGCUUUAGUAUUUCUUUUCUUACCACUUCUUUCAUCUUAGGAUUUAACCUGCGUUGGUGAUCAACAACCGGUUUAGCGUCUUUCUCCAAUUUUAUUUUGUGUUGGCAUAAAGUGGGACUAAUGCCCUUAAGAUCAUCAAGAGUAUAUCCAAUAGCAGCACGGUGCUUCUUCAGAGUUUUCAUUAAUUUCUCUUCUUCUUGCUCUGAAAGAUUAGCACUAAUAAUAACAGGAUAUAUCUUCUUUUCAUCAAGAUAAGCAUAUUUAAGAGUAUCAGGUAAUGGUUUAAGCUCAAACACGGGAUCACCCUUGGGUGGAGGAGGAUCCCCUAGGAUUUCAAUAGGCAAGUUGUGUUUCAAAAUAGGUCCCUAUUUAAAGAAUACUUCAUCUAUUUUCCUUCUUUCAUUCAUAAACAUAUCAUUUUCAUGGUCUAGCAAAUAUUGUUCUAAAGGGUCAUUAGGAGGCACAACAAUAGAGGCAAGACCAAUAAUUUCAUCUUUACUAGGUAGUUCUUUAUCAUGGGGUUGUCUAUGGAAUUUAGCAAAAUUAAACUCAUGAGACAUAUCCCCCAAUCCAAUAGUAAAAAUAUCCUUUUUGCACUCUAUCCUAGCAUUAACAGUAUUCAAGAAGGGUCUACCAAAUAUAAUGGGACAAAAGUUAUCUUGUGGGGAACCAAGAACAAGAAAAUCAGCAGGAUAUUUGACUUUCCCACACAAGACUUCAACAUCCCUAACAAUCCCAACUGGUGAAAUAGUAUCUCUAUUGGCAAGCUUAAUUGUAACAUCAAUUUCUUCUAUCUCAGCAGGUGCAAUAUCAUGCAUAAUUUAUUUGUAUAAGGAAUGGGGUAUUGCACUUGAACUAGCACCCAUAUCACAUAAGCCAUGAUAGCAAUGAUCUCCUAUUUUAACAGAAAUAACAGGCAUGCUUACAACAGGUCUAUGUUUAUUUAGUAUUAGGUCUAGCAAUUCUAGCAGCUUCAUCACAGAAGUAAAUAACACGCCCAUCAAUAUUAUCGGCCAAGAGAUCUUUAACCACAACAAUACUAGAUUCAACUUUAAUUUGCUCAGGGGGUGUAGGUGUUCUAGUAUUACUCUUACGAACCAUAGUUGAAGCUUUAGCAUGAUCCUUUAUUCUAACAGGAAAGGUGGUUUCUCAAUAUAAGCAGUAGGAACAACAGGAUCAACAUUAUAAGUGAUAGUCUUUUCUUCAACUUUAAUAGGUGAAACUACUUUUACUUCAAUGGGAGGAUUAUAUUUAAACCACUUCUCCUUAGGGAGAUCAACAUGAGUAGCAAAGGAUUCACAGAAAGAAGCUACUAUCUCAGAGUCAAGUCCAUAUUUAGUGCUAAAUUCAUGGAAAACAUCGGUAUCCAUAAAAUAUUUAACACAAUCAAACUUAGGUGUUAUACCUGGCUCGUUACCUUCGUCGAGAUCCCAAUCUUCAAAGUUGUGUUUAGUUCUUUCUAAUAAAUCCCAUUUGAGUUCAAUAGUUUUCAUCAUAAAAGAGCCAGUACAAAAGUAUCGAGCAUGGAGCGAUUAUUGAGAGAAAGCCGAGCAUAAAUUUUUUGAAUAAUAAUUUCUCUUGAGGGGUCAUGAUUGGGGCAUGAAUAUAACAUUGACUUAAGCCUCCCCAAGCUUGAGCGAUGCUUUCUCCUUCGCGAGGCCAAAAAUUAUAUAUAUAUAUUUGCGAUCAUGAUGAACAAGAUGCAUAGGAUAAAACUUCUGAUGAAAUUCCAAUUUCAAUCGGUUGUAGUUCCAUGAUCCCAUAUCAUUACAUAGCCUAAACCAUGUCAAUUCCUUUCCCUUCAAAGAUAAAGGGAAGACCUUCUUCUUGAUAACAUCCCGGGGCAUACCUGCAAGCUUAAAUAACCCACAAACUCUAUCCACAUAGAUUAGGUGUAAAUCGGGAUGCAAUGUUCCAUCUCCUGUAAAAGGAUUAGCUAGCAGUUUCUCUAUCAUACCCAAAGGAAUUUCAGAGUAAACAUUUUUAGUAGGUUCAGUAGGUUGAGGAGAAACUCUUUGCUCUACUGGUCGGGGUGAAUAUACCCCGAACAAGCCCCUCAAAGGAUUACUUUCCAUAGCAACAAGUGACAGUAAAUUUUAGCACACUAUAUAAAUUUUUCCUUACCAAAUUCCACCUACCAAAGGCGCUUCACUCCCCGGCAACGGCGCCAGAAAAGAGUCUUGAUGACCCACAAGUGUAGCGGAUCUAUCGUAGUCCUUUCGAUAAGUAAGAGUGUCGAACCCAACGAGGAGCAGAAGGAAAUGACAAGCGGAUUUCAGUAAGGUAUUCUCUGCAAGCACUGAAAUUAUCGGUAACAGAUAGUUUUGUGAUAAGGCAAUUAGUAACAGGUAAAAAGCAAUUAAUGAAAGUAAAUAAGGUGCAGCAAGAUGGCCCAAUCCUUUUUAUAGCAAAGGACAAGCCUGGACAAACUCUUAUAUGAAGGAAAACGCUCCGGAGGACACAUGGGAUUUAUCGUCAAGCUAGUUUUCAUCACGUUCAUAUGAUUCGCGUUCGUUACUUUGAUAAUUUGGUAUGUGGGUGGACCGGUGCUUGGGUACUGCCCUUUCUUGGACAAGCAUCCCACUUAUGAUUAACACCUAUUGCAAGCAUCCGCGACUACAAAAUAAGUAUUAAGGUAAACCUAACCAUAGCAUGAAACAUAUGGAUCCAAAUCAGCCCCUUACGAAGCAACUCAUAAACUAGGGUUUAAGCUUCUAUCACUCUAGCAACCCAUCAUCUACUUAUUACUUCCCAAUGCCUUCCUCUAGGCCCAAACAAUGGUGAAGUGUCAUGUAGUCGAUGUUCACAUAACACCACUAGAGGAGAGACAACAUACAUCUCAUCAAAAUAUCAAACGAAUACCAAGUUCACAUGACUACUUAUAGCAAGACUUCUCCCAUGUCCUCAGGAACAAACGUAACUACUCACAAAUCAUAUUCAUGUUCAUAAUCAGAGGAGUAUUAAUAUGCAUAAAGGAUCUGAACAUAUGAUCUUCCACCAAAUAAACCAAUUACUAUCAACUACAAGGAGUAAUCAACACUACUAGCAACCUACAGGUACCAAUCUAAGGUUUUGAGACAAAGAUUGGAUACAAGAGAUGAACUAGGGUUUGAGAGGAGAUGGUGCUGGUGAAGAUGUUGAUGUGACCCCCUCCUGCUGAGAGGAUCGAUGGUGAUGACGAUGGUGAUGAUUUCCCCCUCCCAGAGGGUUGUUUCCCCGGCAGAACAGCUCCGCCGCAGCCCUAGAUUGGUUCCGCCAAGGUUCCGCCUCGUGGCGGCGGUGUUUCGUCCCGAAAGCUUUCUUCUGAUUUUUUCCAGGGUGAAAGACUGCAUAUAGCAGAAGAUGGGCACCGGAGGCCUGCCAGGGGGCCCACGAGGCAGGGGGCGCGCCCAUGGGGUAGGGCACGCCCCCACCCUCGUGGAUGGUGGGUGGCCCCCUCUGGUUGAUCCUUUCGCCAGUAUUUUUUAUUAAUUCCAAAAACUGCCUCCGUGAAGUUUCACGACUUUUGGAGCUGUGCAUAAUAGGUCUCUAAUAUUUGCUCCUUUUCCAGCCUAGAAUUCCAGUUGCCGGCAUUCUCCCUCUUCAUGUAAACCUUGUAAAAUCAGAGAGAAUAAGCAUAAGUAUUGUGACAUAAUGUGUAAUAACUGCCCAUAAUGCAAUAAAUAUCGAUAUAAAAGCAUGAUGUAAAAUGGACGUAUCAGUGCUCUGUCGCCACUCUGUCCACGUCUUCAAUGCGGCCCUUCUUGCUUCACCCUAGCGUUUCAUUAAUCUGGCGAGUGUUCCUCCUGCCAUUCGCUCUUUGUGAGGAUGCGUAUGUCACCUUUCUCUAUUGGUUGUUGUCAUGUCCCGCAAGUGUGUUUCUCUGCUUGCCAACUACAUGAGGCAAGCGAAGACACAACAGAGUUGCAGAUUAGGUACUUGGGUCACCGACCAACAAAAUCAACUCACCGGAGCUCCUGAUUCAUCUUUGCCACUUAUCAUUCAAUUUUUGAAUGCGGAUUCUGCUAUUCUAUUUCAUAUAGGCUACAUCUACAUGGAUGCAUCAACUCUGCUCCAUAAAUAUGGAUACAAAGUGUUUGGUGUAAUUUUCUUUGAUAAUUUUGUGUUGCCAUUUCUCCCAUUCAGCAUAUUUUAGAAUUUAUAAUGGCCAAUACCUAUCCAUCAAAGUACAAGUUCAUUCUCAAGUGUUGCAAUUUGUAUGCUCAAACAAAAUGACGUCUGCGUGGAUGUCCGGAUCAAGCACCACGCCUAAUCGUUCAUAAGUUCAGGUGAUAUGGCAACUAUCCCUUUGAAUUAUAUAAAGAUCAAUGUCGAUGCAAGUUUUGUGGAGAGCAUUAGUGCAGCGAGUGUGGGAGUGGCGGCAAGGGACUCUUCUAGGAGGGUCAUAGUCUCCUCCUAGGAUUUCAUUGGACUUUGUAAGAGCGUGGAGGAGGCAGAGCUCCGUGCUUGCAUUGCCGGUCUUUAUAUAGGUAUUACUCUACAAAAUCCUAUUAUCUUAGAGACUGACUAUGCGUUUGUGGUGGCGACCCUAGAAAAUGAAAAUUUUGACAGAUCAUCAUUGGUGGAUUUGAAGAAGGAAGCGAUGAGUACCUCCAAGCUUAAGAUUUCGGCCAGUCUUAAGAUCUCCAAGAUCAAUCGCUCGGACAAUGUGGUGGCCCAUAUGAUUGCUAAAUUUAGCUUUGAUAAUAGAUCAGAUGGUAUCUUAGUUAGUGGUGUUCCGUCCUGCGUGGUGAAUUUUGUAAUAAGUGAUUGUAAUAACUACGUUGGUUAAUUAAUAUAUGAGGUGGUUUUUUAAAAAAUGACGUCUGCAGGAAAUUUGGAUCUCGUAAUCUUAAAUGGUUUGGAUUCUAGUAGUAAGUUCUUUAUGUAGGACCCCCUACUGGAAUUAGCACUUUUUGUUGUAUAAAUUUAGCUCUAUAGGGGCACAUGAAUUGUACCAAUGAAGAACUUAGUACAGAGGAAAUUAGAAUUUACUAAAGUUUGAAGGAACUGCCUUGUUCUGAAAUUGUUGCUCUUGUUGGAUUGUUCUGUGUCAUACCUAAAUAAAAAUUCUAAUAUUAGCAUAUAAUUGGGUGGACCAUAUUCUUGAUUGGGGGUCGUAUCUAGAGGACGAGUAAUACUUCACUUAUACUUGUGGUCUGGUAUACUUGAGCCGGUGCAUCACAAGUGCUUCUUUGUUUUUAUCCUUUAUUAAUAUAUUUAUUGUUUGGAAGGAGGAGGUUGCAUAUUAUUCUACAUGACCCCUUUGUUGAAUACAAUCAACAUGCUACAUCGAUUGUUGUUUACUGCUAUACUUACACGCACUUUAUGCAUGCUUCUUAGAGCUACUAUGAUUUUCCGGUGCAAAUAUGCAUGCAUUCUGGUGUACUUAAUUAUGAUGUCUUAGAAUCCUCACUUUUAUAAUACUUAUUCUUGCUAAAGUUUACAGCCAUAGCUGGAUUAUCCUAAUCAUUUGUACUACACAAGUUACACCAAUAACCAUGUUUUUCUAUGCACAUAUCUCCUUAGGAUUACUAAUCUGAAUAAUGUAAGCUCAGUUAAGGUAGGCUAUAAAGUUGUUUUGUGUACUCAAAUAAAGAAUCAUUCGCAAAACAGUGGGUCAUUCACUUGUGAUGAUGAAUACUUUUUCCAUCAGAUUGUUGUCCAUAAAGAAUUAUGUAUUGGAACAUUAGCAACUCACUUUCUACACUUUCAGAAAGGAAGUUAAAUUUUGGUGUUCUUGUUUUGAAAAAUUUGGACCCCUCAUCAAAUACUAUUAAGCCAAAAGGGACAGCGAGGUUGGACAUUCGAACAUACAACUACAAUGGGAUGGAACAUGGCUAUGAAUAUAUCAAUUGCUUUUGGGAUAACAUAAUAAUCGAAGCACAACACAUUUAAAGUUACUUCCCAGCUUCCUUAAGCGUCAAACUGAUAUUUGCGCAACAAGUAGUAAGGCUAGGAUUGGGUAGUAGGAUUCGAACAACUGGAUAAGCUAGAUCUACCCUAUGCAAGGAUUUUAGCAAUCAUCACAUGCACAAUUUCAUCAGGGAGAGACCAUACAAACCUCUAUUUUGCAUGCAGUUUGUUGGUUGAGGUAAGCAUAACCCGAUGCAUACAUUUCAGAUUUAGGUCUAGGUUUAAUUAUUCUUCGGCCUACUUCAUGCUUUUCCUGUUUAGUAUUUGUAACAUGGUGCCAGAAGGGUGUGUGUACUCUGAAUUACUUGUUCUUUACGCAAAAGAAAAUGUAUUUAGAUUGUUUCUGGCCUUGAGAUUAUUUAUAUCUUCAACAUCCAAGUGACUGGCUUGCAGGCUGCUCUUUUUAGCAAUGAAGGAACCGUUUCUGUGGUGCAUGCUAAUAGUUAUUUAUUUCUGACAUAAGGAACGGAAAAUCAAUUCGGCUCCCGGGUGCAUUUGCACCCGGGGCCAUUUUUGAUUUUUUUCAAAUGUCGAAAAAAUUGAAACAAAUUUUUUUGUCAUCUUUGUCACAUAUAAAUGCGGCCCUCAAAACUUGAGACAAAAAUUCUAAUCAUUUUGGCUUGCGCAAAAAAAAUCAAAGACCAAAUGUCACCUCAAAAUGUCACCCAAAAUUUGUUUUUUUCACCGACGAAACACCGCUGCUCCGUUCCGCGUGAAUUUCGUCAAGCAUGUUUGCGACACCAACAUGAUCAUCUACAAUUUUUUCAGAUAUUUUUGAAAACAUUUAAUUUGUUUUUUCGGGGUACUGUUCAUCCGGGUGCAAAUGCACCCGGGAGCCAAAACGCCUCCCCCCAUAAGGAAUCCAUGUAAACUUUCUAACUCUUAUAUUGAAACUAAAGUUACCUUCUUCGCCUUAGUGUAGCACCAUGCAUAUGUCGCUGCUGGAAGAUAUGCUUCCGUGCUCAUCUUUUCUACAAUGUAGUGCAGACACACUACCUUCUCUAAAACUUUGAUAACUGUUCUUUGAAGAUUUAGCAUCAAUUGUUCUUUCACUGUCCCUGCAAUGCAAAAGAUGAUGUCAGGCAGAAAUGUUUUACCUACAAUCGAAGAUUUUUUUACCAUUAGUAGAUCUGUUUUGUACUCAUCUCUUCUACAAUGUGAAUUGAAUGUACAGGUUCUGGAAAAGUUAGCACUUUUUGUUUAACGAUUUACCAUAUGUUGUUCUUUCCAGGCUCCUAUAGUUUAAAUGGUGUUGCGAGGCGAUGAUGCAUGGCUGAAACUAAAGAUUUCCCCCAAAAUUGUUUGGGAUGACCUUUGCCAAUUCUUCUUUCAUAAUAGUUUAGUUCUUGCAUAUUGUUUUCUGUUAUACAUUAUCUAAUUUGAGAUGAUCACUAACUUCACUUAUUUGUGUUGCACCUACAAAAAUUUGCCCUAGAAAGAUUUGCAUGCUAUUUGAUUGCCUCUGAAAGUGCUUUGUCUCAAAGUUGUUUCUUAGCGACUCUGCUCUCUCGACUCGAGUCAUUCUACUUCAGUUUGAAAGUUGACUGGUAGAAUUGCAUUUUUAAUUUAAGUUUCCUGAAACGCAAAACUCCGAGGCUCGCCAAAAUGUAUUGUUUGGUCGAGAAAUAGGAACAUGAAGACUUUGUUGAUGAGUACUUUGUUUUUUAUCGGUUAUAAUGGAGCAAGUGCAGCAAAGCGCGCCUUUCCCUUCUAGUCGGUUACGAUUACUAUAUUUGCACGUAAAAUUGGAUCAGUGAUAGAACACCCAUGAUAUGACCAAGUAACAUGGAAGUAUAUUGUAUGUGCAAGUAGAUGGUUGUUCCCAUCACCAUCGCUAAUCGUUGAGGUGCAUCAUCCAUGUCAGAUGUUUCUAAUUGAAGAAAUCCCCUAUAUCACUAAGCUCCCUAAGGAAAAAUCGUCCAGGAGAGAUCCAAGCGAUUGAUUGCCUUGUGCGAUCAAUUUUGACCGGGUCGUCGUGUGUACAACCUGCAUCUGGUGAGGUGGCAGGUCUGUGGGCCUUUUUUGUUAGGGGCGGUUGGCAAGAGCAUGGGUUGUCGGUGGCUGGCAAAGGCGGUAUCUUCUGGUUAAAUGAGGUUUUCUAUGGUCAAAGCGUCAUGGCAGUUGCGAGGGGUUGCGAAGCACGUGGCAGUCAGAGGUAGUGUGGCCAUGCGGGCGUUGCAGUCAUCUAUAGGGGAUGGGAGGCUUUUGGGAGGCAUUUGGGUCACCCCCGUUGGGUGCGCCGCUGUUGGAUCUUGCUUGCGGGCAGCCGCCAGGGAGGUCGUCGCCGUGUUGACGCUCAAAAGUGGCAUGAUCAUAAAGAGUAGCUUGAAGGUAUGUAAAGAUUAAUUCAAACUUAUUAUUGAAAGUCAUCAUGGGAUGGCUCUCUUCGAGAAGAUCAAGAUUGAAAGUGCAACUAUCCCUAGGUGGUUUUGGUAAUUCAUAACAAUAUAUAGCUCACUGAGCUAAUGCUAUUCCAAGACUAUUAUUUCAGGAAAGCUCAAUGAAUGGCAUGGCAUGGAUGAUGAAAGUGGACCCCUCAAAAUAUCAAGGACAAAGGAUUGGCCCAAGCUCAAAAGCUCAAGACUCUUCCUUUUACAUUUUAGUGAUCCAAGAUCACAUUGAGUCUAUAGGAAAAGCCAAUACUAUCAAGGAGGAAUGAGGUGUUGCUUAAUGAGCCUCUUGCUUCAAGUGCUUAGUGAUAUGCUCCAAAUACCCUCAACUACUUUCUCACAUCCUCAUAUGACCUAAACCUAAAGCCAAAAUCGGUCACACCGAUUCUUUCUAUCCGGCGCCACCGAGUUCAGAUGUCAUAGCCACUGCCACAAACCCUAGGCAAAUCGGUGUCACCGAUAGGGAUCCCGGUCUCACCGAGAUGGGAUUGUAAUCUCUUUGUUUCCCUUCGUAACGUUUCGGUCUAACCGAAGUGAGCGAUUGGUCCCACCGAGAUUGCAAUGUAAACUCUCUGUUUCCCUUUUGUAACAUUUCGGUCUCACCGAAAAGAGCAAAUCGGUCUCACCGAGUUUACCUGACCAACUCUCUUGUUAGCUAAUUACCAAAAUCGGUCUCACCGAGUUUGUGUAAUCGGUCUCACCGAGAUUAUGUUAUGCCAUAACCCUAACCAUAUCGGUCCUACCAAGUUGCAUGUCGGUCCCACCGAAAAUCCUAACGGUCACUAGGUUUACUAAAUCGGUCUGACCGAGUUUGUUGAUUCGGUCCCACCGAGAUUGGUAAAUUGUGUGUAACGGUUAGAUUUUUUGUGGAGGCUAUAUAUACCCCUCCACCUCCUCUUCAUUCAUGGAGAGAGCCAUCAGAACAAACCUACACUUCCAACUUACCAGUUCUGAGUGAGAACUACCUACUCAUGUGUUGAGGCCAAGAUAUUCCAUUCCUACCAUAUGAAUCUUGAUCUCUAGCCUUCCCCAAGUUGCUUUCCACUCAAAUAUUAUUUCCACCAGAUCCAAAUCCUAUGUGAGAGAGUUGAGUGUUGGGGAGACUAUCAUUUGAAGCACAAGAGCAAGGAGUUCAUCAUCAAUGCACCAUUUGUUACUUCUUGGAGAGUGGUGUCUCCUAGAUUGGCUAGGUGUCACUUGGGAGCCUCCCACAAGAUUGUGGAGUUGAACCAAGGAGUUUGUAAGGGCAAGGAGAUUGCCUACUUCAUGAAGAUUUACCGCUAGUGAGGCAAGUCCUUCGUGGGCGACGGCCAUGGUGGGAUAGACAAGGUUGCUUCUUCGUGGACCCUUCUUGGGUGGAGCCCUCCGUGGACUCGCGCAGCCGUUACCCUUCGUGGGUUGAAGUCUCCAUCAACGUGGAUGUACGAUAGCACCACCUAUCGGAACGACGCCAAAAACAUCCGUGUCUCCAACUGCGUUUGAAUCCUCCAAACCCUUCCCUUUACUUUCUUGCAAGUUGCAUGCUUUAAUUUCCGCUGCCUAUAUACUCUUUGCAUGCUUGCUUGAUUUGAGUGAUGAUUGCUUGACUUGUCCAAAGGUUGCUAAAAUCUGCAAAACUCUAAAAUUGGGAAAAGGUUAAGUUUUUAAUUGGUCAAGUAGUCUAAUCACCCCCCCUCUAGACAUACUUCAAGGUCCUACAAGUGGUAUCAGAGCCUUGGUCUCCAUUUGCUUCGAUUACCAUAGCUUUUGGUGGUCAUAGCCUUGGUUUAACAACCUAGGAGAGUAUGGCACCUAGCGAGGGAAAUUAUCACCGUAGAGGUCCUUACUUUGAUGGCACUAAUUUUGCUAGUUGGAAACAUAAGAUGAAAAUGCAUAUUCUCGGACAUAACCCCGCCGUUUGGGCUAUUAUUUGUAUUGACUUGCUAGGUGAUGAUGAUUUACUUGUUGACAACUCUAGUGAUGAAUACUAUGAUGGAACAUCAAUUAAUCAUGGUAAACAAGAUAAAACGAAUGACAAUGAUAAGGAGAAGAUUGAGCUUCUAACUAAAGAACUAAACACUCUUAAGUUAGCUCAUGAAACUAUCUUCGAGAAUCAUCGAGAACUUUUAAGGGCUCAUGAGAAGUUAUGCUUUGAAAAGCUCAAUCUUGAGCAAGAGCAUGAGUUCUUAAAGGCAAUCAAUGAUGAUCUUCGCAAGAAAAGUUCUUAUAUUGCCAAGUGUUUACUCUUAUCCACUUACAUGCCUCAAGUCAAGUCUAGUAACAAGAACAAGAAAGAUUCUUCCUCUAGUAGUAACAAUGAUUAUGCUAAAUUAAAUAUUGUUGCUUCUAGUAGUUCACUUGAUUCCACUAAUGAUUCUCUUAGCCAAGUUACACUUGAGCAAGAAAAUAGCUUAUUGAAGGGAAUUAUAGAGAAAGGUGUAUACAAGAGUCUUGCCGCGAGUAAGCAAUUCGAGGAAAUUGUACGCAAGCAAGGAAGGCACCGGAAGAAUCAAGGUGUUGGUUUUGAACGAAAGUUCAAUGCCAAUGGAGUUGAGCGGGAAGAAGAUCAAUACCCCAAGACGAAGUUUGUUCCUCAACAAGAGAAGUAUGAUCCUACUUCCUUCAAGGGAACACAAACACAAGAUGAUCUUCCACCACAAGACCACAAGAACAAAGGCAAGGACAAGCUUCAAGAGGAGAUUGAUGCAUUUGAAGAAGCACCCAAGGCCUUGGUCAAGUGGGUUCCCAAGACUACGCCAAGUUCUACUUCAUCAAGUACAACUACAACUCCAAGGAUUCCCAUCAAGAUGAUGUGGAUCCCGAAGAAGAAGAACUAGAGAGUUCUUGAGGGUGACUCCGCCAACAUUCUUCACUCAUAUCAUUAUGGCAAGAACAAGUGCAAUCAACUUCCACAUCUUGCACUAGUUCAAGGAGUCACAAACCCUCAUGUUGGUAAGGCAAGGGACUAGGUAACCUAAUGAUUUCAUGGACACCAUCUUGUGUGUGCAUCACUCUAUGUCUAUGGAUAUUCUUGUUUGUUCCUUGUGGGACUAACCCAUGUAGGUAUGUUGAAAGUGCAACUCACUCCAAAGGAUUGCUCCAAAUGAUCUACACCAACAUUGAGCAUUCACAUCUUCAACACCUACAUGAAGUCAUCAUCGACAAAACCCGAGGUUAGUUCAUUCCUCUAAAAGGGGAUGUCACAUAUAGGGGGAGCUUAACUCUAAGAAUUGAGUCAAAGCAACUCUAAUGGUGUGAACACAUCAAUGCAUUAUGUAAAAGUGGUAACCCCACUUGAGCUUAAACGAUGAGUGUGACCUAUGAUCAAAUGUUCUCAUUUGACUCCUAAGUCAAUAUACUCAUAUAUAGAUGACCUAGUCAUCGCCAAUUGUUUGAUAGAUGCUAGAUUUGGUUGUGCAUGCUUUGCCACAUAUUUCAUUUGUCAUUUUAUUGUGUGAGCAUGUUGGUUUCAUAUUUUAAUCAUUCGAGGACAUCCACUUGUUGUUUUGAUUGAUUGGUUUCUAUUUCUUUGGCCAAGUGGAUGGACAAGAAUGCCUAAGAACCUUCUCUAGCUAUCUAUGCUUUUCUUGUCUCAAACUCUAUUCAUGCUACAUCACAAAAUUUGAUCAAGUCAGAUUCGAACCACUCUGUGUGAGGAGCACUCGGAGUCCCCGAUUCGUCAGAGACUUAAACUUCCAAAACUUCUUUGUGAUUCUCGGUCUGACCUAUUCCUCCAUUUCGGUCCCACCGAGAUCACUAAGUCGAUCUAGGUUUUCAAUCUCGGUGCAACCGAUUUGAACUUUUCGGCCCCACCAAGUUGCAGUAACUGUAUAUAGUUAUGCAUCUCGGUGUCACCGAGUUGUUCCACUCGGUCACACCGACAGGGUCGGGCUAUAUAUAGUCACGGGCAAAAAUUUGGAAAUUCCUCCAAUCCCCUUCGCCCGCGCAUUGCUCACUCUGCCUCCAGGGUCUCUGGAUCGUCUCCUUGUCGCCAGCCGCCUCCUAUCGCUGGUCUCCACCGCCGUCAACGGAUUUCACCCCCGCCGUUGCCACCGUAGCGAGUUCAUUGCCGAGCUAGGGUAUGGACUCAAUCACAGUGCUAUCUUCGUCUGAUUCCUAGCAUAUUGUAUUCAUCAUGUAUCUUGCCACGAUUGGAACACUCCUAUCCAGUCAAUAUGAUCCUUAGAAUAGAUGUGAUUUAAGAAUUUAGGGUUAGGUUUCCGCCGAAACCAUCUCGGACCCACCGAGUUGAAAAACUCGGUCCCACCGAUUUGGCUAACGCCAUUGCACUAGUAACUCUCGGUCUGACCGAGAAUUACAAAUCGGUGUGACCGAUUUUAGAACUUUGUGAAACCCUAGCAGUCUUGGUGCCACCAAACUAUGACUCGGUCUGACCGAGUUCACUAGUUUAGGUUCCAAAACUGCUUCGGUAUCACCGAGUUUGAAAGUCGGUAGAUCCGAAAUGCUUUCUGUGGAAACUAAAACUAAGUUUUUGAAUCAUUCUUUUGCAAAAAUCUCUGCAUUUUGUGAUGCUCAUCCAUUCUAUCUCAUCUAUAACUAUUCACAGGGUCAGCAGUCAGUGAUUUGCAGCAUGUCAGACCAAAGUGAUAGUCAGAACAAGUCAGCAAAGCAGAUUCACAUGAGUGAGGGCACUAGUCCCUCUAGCAGCUCAGAUGAAGGGAGCAGAAGCACUCCAAGCAACCUGCCCAAAGCAGCCACAAGAGCAAGAAGGAAGAGAACCUCAGACUCUAAGGAUGAGGAUUAUGUGGCUGUUGAAGAUGAGGCUACUUCCAAGAAGGUAGAGCUCAAAAAGGUGCACAGCUCAACUGCAGUAAAGCCAGGCAUGAAGAUCAAAAGGCCAGCAGGAAGACAGCCAAUGUCCAAAGCCAGGGCAUCAACUCAAGUACCUGAAAAGCCUGAUCCCAAAGAGCCAGCUGCAGAAGGAAAGAAAAGGAAGGAAAGGGUCAAGAAGACCAUGGCCAGAGUUGUUGGUUAACCUUCCAUGAUGGAAGAGGAAAAAGAGGUUGCUGCACCAGCACCCAAGACAUAGAAGCUUAUGGGUGAUGCUAUAAGAUCAGGGGCUGCAACAUCAAAGCCCAAAGAAGCACCCAAAGCUGCCCCAAGCCCAAGAAUGCACCAAAGAGGAAUAGCAGGAGUAUUCUAGCUGCUGAGAAGAACAAGGCCCCAGUGCCUGAAGUUGCUGAUGAUGAAGAGGAUGAAGGACAAGUCCUGAGGAAGCUAAAGCCCAACAUUCCAGACCACAAUGAUGCUCAUCCUGUAGCUGAGGACAUGAAAAUCAGGAGAGACUCAGGGUUGAGGCUAUGGAGGAUGACAGAUCCAUAUGCCACCAGGAGAAGGACUGUUGUUGAUUACAGGUUCCAUACAAAGGAACAGUAGGACUUCUAUGAGACAAUCUUGUUGGACAAGAAGCCCAUAGUGUGUGAUAUGAGGUGGGUCGACUGGACCUACAUGAAGGAGAAUGAGGAACACUAUCCUGGAGUGUAUGAUAGUUUUGAAGCUUGUGGAGUUGCAGAUUUUGUUGGGCAGAAUCUCACCAACUGGAAUGAUGAACUCAUUAUGCAAUUCUACUCCACAGCACACUUCUAUCCAGAUGGCAGGAUAGUGUGGAUGUCAGAAGGUACGAGGUACCAGUCAACCAUAGAAGAAUGGGCUAGCCUGAUCAAUGCCCCCAAGGAGAGUGAAGAUGACUUGGAUGUCUAUGCCAAGAAGAAAAUGGGACACAAUACUAUGGCACAUAUGUACAAGGAGAUCCCAGACAAAGCUCUUGAGACUUUCUCGUUUGGAUCAGUCCACUUUCUUCUUUCAAGGCUGCCUACGAUCAACUGGAUCCUAAGGCACACUCUUUUGCCCAAGUCAGGUGACCACAACAUGAUUAGAGGGCAUGCUAUCAACUUGCUGCAUAUAUUUGAUGUGCCACAGAAAUUCAAAGUCAUGAGCCUUAUGGUUGAGACCAUUAAGAGGACUGCAGCAGACCAGAAGAGAAGUUGUGGAUAUGCCCCACAGAUUCAGGAGUUGAUAAACUCAAAGAUGAGCACAAGCAAAUAUCUGUUGGAUAAGGAACAUUUUGCUCUUUAUCCAGACUUUGAGGACAAUCAAGUUGUCAUGACUGAGAAUGAACCAUCAUCAGUGCAAGCUCAAGAGAAGAAGGAGAAGGCAAGGAAAGAGAAGGCUGCCAAGAUGCCAACUCAAGAGGAGGCAUCUGAGUAUUUCUUGAAGAACAAACAUGAGCAGCUUGGUUACUUGAUAGCAUCAACACUGAGGAUUGAGAAGGGGUUGGCCACCCUAACUCAAAACCAGGAGAGCCUGGAAAGAAUCAUGGAACAAAAAUUCUAUGAUCUUGAUGUCAAAGUAACUGAGAUUCAGUCAGUUGUGGAGCAGCUUCAGGAAGACAUGCAUGAGAGGAAGGGCAAGACAACCACUGAUGCAUUUGCCAGAGUGCCUAGAGCUCAGAGGUCAGCUGUCGUGCCUGUGACAGACACUAGAGCCACAUCAUCUGCACCAGCAACAGCUUCUACAGCUCCAGGACAACUAGCUCCAGCACCAACUCCUCCAGCUCCCUCUACAUCAACUGAAGCCUUCAUCCAAGGAGUUAUCCGAACACCACCACCACCUGAAGACCAAGCCUGAGAGUCGAUCUAGCACUAUGCAUUUUUUAUGAACUUUUUGGUAACUUGUUGCCAAAUGGGGAGAAAAAUGUAUAGAUCAUAGGCUUCGAGAGAGAGAGUGUUGGUUCUUUUGUUCUCUCUUGUCUUCUUGGUUAAACUUUGUUUGCUUUUGAUUGUUUGAGAUACUAUGCAAUUACCUGUGAGACACUGAUGAUCAUGUGUGUGAUCAUAAGCUACACUUAUACCUGUUUGAUGAUAUUAUCUUACCUAUCCUUAUAUGAUCAUUCACUUUGCUUGGUGAUGAGUGCAUGUAUUCAAUCUUUAUUAUUUUGAGUGCUCCACCAAGAUGUAUGUGACAUGGAAGAGUAACCCAUGAGCCUAAUUCCUUGUGCAUUUGCAGUCCAAAGCAAAUCUUAAACUAUGCACAAAUUUAGGGGGAGCUCUUGCUUAUCACAUACUUCUCAAAGCGACGAUGUUUUACAAUCUUAUUAUCUUUUGUCGAAGCUUUGAUCUAUAUGUUGUCAUCAAUUACCAAAAAGAGGGAGAUUGAAAGUGCAACUAUCCCUAGGUGGUUUUGGUAAUUCAUAACAUCAUAUAGCUCAUUGAGCUAAUGCUAUUCAAAGACUAUUAUUUCAGGAAAGCUCAAUGAAUGGCAUGGCAUGGAUGAUGAAAGUGGACCCCUCAAAAUAUCAAGGACAAAUGAUUGGCUCAAGCUCAAAAGCUCAAGACUCUUCAUUUUACAUUUUAGUGAUCCAAGAUCACAUUGAGUCUAUAGGAAAAGCCAAUACUAUCAAGGAGGGAUGAGGUGUUGCUUAAUGAGCCUCUUACUUCAAGUGAUUAGUGAUAUGCUCCAAAUACCCUCAACUACUUUCUCACAUCCUCAUAUGACCUAAACCUAAAGCCAAAAUCGAUCACACCGAUUCUUUCUAUCCGGCGCCAAUGAGUUCAGAUGUCAUAGCCACUGCCACAAACCCUAGGCAAAUCGGUCUCACCGAUAGGGAUCUCGGUCUCACCGAGAUGGGAUUGUAAUCUCUCUGUUUCCCUUCGUAAUGUUUCGGUCUAACCGAAGUGAGCGAUCGGUCCCACCGAGAUUGCAAUGUAAACUCUCUAUUUCCCUUUUGUAACAUUUCGGUCUCACCGAAAAGAGCAAAUCGGUCCCACCGAGUUUACCUGACCAACUCUCUGGUUAGCUAAUUACCAAAAUCGGUCUCACCGAGUUUGUGUAAUCGGUCUCACCGAGAUUACGUUAUGCCCUAACCCUAACCAUAUCGGUCCUACCGAGUUGCAUGUCGGUCCCACCGAAAAUCCUAACGGUCACUAGGUUUACUAAAUCAGUCUGAACGAGUUUGUUGAUUCGGUCCCACCGAGAUUGGUAAAUUGUGCGUAACGGUUAGAUUUUGUGUGGAGGCUAUAUAUACCCCUCCACCUCCUCUUCAUUCGUGGAGAGAGCCAUCAGAACAAACCUACACUUACAACUUACCAGUUCCGAGAGAGAACUACCUACUCAUGUGUUGAGGCCAAGAUAUUCCAUUCCUACCAUAUGAAUCUUGAUCUCUAGCCUUCCCCAAGUUGCUUUCCACUCAAAUAUUCUUUCCACCAGAUCCAAAUCCUAUGAGAGAGAGUUGAGUGUUGGGGAGACUAUCAUUUGAAGCACAAGAGCAAGGAGUUCAUCAUCAAUGCACCAUUUGUUACUUCUUGGAGAGUGGUGUCUCCUAGAUUGGCUAGGUGUCACUUGGGAGCCUCUGACAAGAUUGUGGAGUUGAACCAAGGAGUUUGUAAGGGCAAGGAGAUCGCCUACUUCGUGAAGAUCUACCGCUAGUGAGGCAAGUCCUUCAUGGGCGACGACCAUGGUGGGAUAGACAAGGUUGCUUCUUCGUGGACCCUUCUUGGGUGGACCCCUCCGUGGACUCGCGCAGCCGUUACCCUUCGUGGGUUGAAGUCUCCAUCAACGUGGAUGUACGAUAGCACCACCUAUCGGAACGACGCCAAAAACAUCCGUGUCUCCAACUGCGUUUGAAUCCUCCAAACCCUUCCCUUUACUUUCUUGCAAGUUGCAUGCUUUAAUUUCCGCUGCCUAUAUACUCUUUGCAUGCUUGCUUGAUUUGAGUGAUGAUUGCUUGACUUGUCCAAAGGUUGCUAAAAUCUGCCAAACUCUAAAAUUGGGAAAAAGGGUAAUUUUUAAUUGGUCAAGUAGUCUAAUCACACUCCCUCUAGACAUACUUCAAGGUCCUACAAAGAUGGAUAUGAAGAUGGUCUAAAAUAGAGCUCAGAUGCAAAAGUUAUGACAAGAUCAGAGAUGCUCAUGUUGACACAAGAUUAAAGAAUGGCUGGAAACCCAAUUAAGAUGGCCUCGUAUGGAAAAAGUUUCAACACAAAGUUGUGCAUCUUGUCAAAACAAUUGAUUUUGAUAUAAAAACAUCUCAAUCAGAGUUCGUAUGCAAAAGUUAAAGCCAAAACAGUGUGUUGCAGAAGUCUACCCUGGAAGUUCCGGGCAACUUCUGGGCUAAACCGAAAGUUUGCACGAGGUGCGCCUUGUAAAUUGAAAUAUCAACAUUAUUUGCAGAUUUGCAGGCUCGAAUUCAACCUCAAGAUGACCUCAGAUGAAAAAGUGAUCAACUAAUGAGUUUUUCUCCAUUGGAAGAUCUACAACAUUGCUUUUGGGACCACUGCGAUGUGAAGCCAUAUGCGAGAUGCAGGAGUGGUGCAAGAGGGCUACUUGAUGUAAUGUUAGCCCGGAAGUUCCGGGACUACCAGAAGUUCCGCCCCCCUAGUCCGAGUUAGGUUAACUUUUGAUGUUUUGGAUGAGAUUUGAGUCCUUUUCUUGUACGGAAAGUCCAGCCACCUCAUAUAUAUGUAAGAGGUGACGGCCGAUUGAAUAACAACACACAAUCGAUCUAUCAAUAUAUCACUUUUUACCUUUACUUUAUCUUCUCCCUUGUUCUUCUCCUCCCCUGUUCUUCAUUCGUUCCUCGUGAAGGAGGGCAGUGAUCCAUGAGGCCCUAGGGGCGAUUAGGUCGACCUAGGGCAGCCCAUAGUUGCCGCGCGCCCUGACGGGGUCCCUCCCGGACGUGUGGGGUUUUGGGUCUACAAAAGCACCCGCCGGACUGCUUGCGUACCGCGCUUCCGGCCAGGUCUCCUUCAACAUGAGCUGCGGUGCAUCACCCUUGGCGUCGAAGGCACAAGGUGUCGUGUUCGUGUGCGAACAGACUUUUUGGCGACUCCGCUGGGGACAAAGCUUCGAACGGUCUCCAGCCCGUUCGUACUACGAAGAGAUCUCAUCUAGGGUUUGCAGUCUACAAAGGUAAUAUGAAUACCCAAUCCCCUUGUGUAGAUGCAAAUAUUUCAUAUAGUGUGUUACUAGAUUGUUCAAUAUGUAUACUCUAUCGGCCAACCCUAGUUUUUUCAAUCAUGCAUCUAACUACGUGCAAGGAUCGACUCAAAGUAAUUUACAAGCUUCAACUUCUUAUGAUACUAGUAUAUACUACCAUAUAUGGCACAUACAUGCAUGUGGGGACAUGUCAUGUUGGACUCUUAUCUUGGUCGCAUUAUCCAACUACCCACUACCAUGAUUCUUAUAAAUUACACCCUUGUACUGAACCGUCGAUCUUCAUCUCUAGUUUGUACCUUAAGGAUAAGGAUAAGAGCAUCUAUAGCCGGGUGCCUCAAACCCGCCUCAAAUGGCCGGACGGGCUGCUCGGUAACUAACGAUCAUGAAAAUUCGACCCAGACGGGCUCCUUAAACGAGCCUCAAAUGCCCGGGCUGACUGGCACCCCUCAUAUCCGGCCCAAACAUGGAGCGGAUUGGGGCCUCGGGCGAAUCCACCACGUCAGACCCGCCAACCCCAUCCACAUUAAAUUGCACCAAAUCCACCAAACGCUUCCUCCUCCUCCCGCCUCCCUCCUACCUUUCCCGCGCACGAGCCUUCACCGGCCGCCACCCUUGGUCCCCAUCCACACCACCGGUCUUGAUCCGCCACCCUAGAUGUCAUCCAGCCUGUUCCUGACCACCGCGACGGAGACUGCGUCCGCCUCAUCCGUCGGCAUCCCAUCCUCGUCUCCGUCGUGCAAGGCAGAGAACGUCGCCCGGAGGAUGCGAUAACGCCGCAGCGAGAGAGGGAAGCUGCAGCACAAGGACAUACCGACAUGGACGAGCAGCUACCCCCUCCCCCCCUCCAUGCCCCGAACCCCGCACCUCUUGGGGAACGUAGCAGAAAUUCAAAAUUUUCCUACGUGUCACCAAGAUCUGUCUAUGGAGAAACCAGCAACGAGGGGAAGGAGAGUGCAUCUACAUACCCUUGUAGAUUGCUAAGCGGAAGCGUUCAAGAGAACGGGGUUGAAGGAGUUGUACUCAUCGUGAUCCAAAUCACCGGAGAUCCUAGUGCCGAACGGACGGCACCUCCGCAUUCAACACACGUACAGCCCGGUGACGUCUCCCAUGCCUUGAUCCAGCAAGGAGAGAGGGAGAGGUUGAGGAAGACUCCGUCCAGCAGCAGCACAACGAUGUGGUGGUGAUGGAGGAGCAUGGCAAUCCUGCAGGGCUUCGCCAAGCACCGCGGGAGAGAAGAAGGGAGAGAGGUAGGGUUGCGCCAGGGAGAGGUCAAACUCAUGUGUUGGUAGCCCUCAAGACCUCAACUAUAUAUAAGGAUGAGGGAGGGGGGUGCGCCCCCUCUAGGGUUUCCACCCCAAGGGGUGCGGCAGCCCCAAUCCCAUCUAGGGUGGCGGCCAAGGGGGGGAGAGGGGAAACUUGCCCCCCAAGUUAGGUGGGUGCGCCCCCUCUCCCAACCCUAGGCGCCUCGGGCCCUUGUGGGGGGCGCACCAGCCCACCUGGGGCUGGUCCCCUCCCACAAUUGGCCCAUGCAGCCCUCCGGGGAUGGUGGCCCCACUUGGUGGACCCCCGGGACCCUCCCGGUGGUCCCGAUACGUUACCGAUAAAACCCGAAACUUUUCCGGUGACCAAAACAGGACUUCCCAUAUAUAAAUCUUCACCUCCGGACCAUUCCGGAACUCCUCAUGACGUCCGAGAUCUCAUCCGGGACUCCAAACAACAUUCGGUAACCACAUACAAACUUCCUUUAUAACCCUAGCGUCAUCGAACCUUAAGUGUGUAGACCCUACGGGUUCGGGAACCAUGCAGACAUGACCGAGACAUUCUCCGGUCAAUAACCAAGAGCGGGAUCUGGAUACCCAUGUUGGCUCCCACAUGUUCCACGAUGAUCUCAUCGGAUGAACCACGAUGUCAAGGACUCAAUCAAUCCCGUAUACAAUUCCCUUUGUCUAGCGGUAUUAUACUUGCCCGAGAUUCGAUCGUCGGUAUCCCGAUAUCUUUGUUCAGUCUCGUUACCGGCAAGUCUCUUUACUCGUUCCGUAACACAUCAUCCCGUGAUCAACCCCUUGGUCACAUGGUGCACAUUAUGAUGAUGUCCUACCGAGUGGGCCCAGAGAUACCUCUCCGUCAACCGGAGUGACAAAUCCCAGUCUCGAUUCAUGCCAACCCAACAGACACUUUCGGAGAUACCUGUAGUGCACCUUUAUAGCGACCCAGUUACGUUGUGACGUUUGGUACAACCAAAGCAUCCCUACGGUAUCCGGGAGUUGCACAAUCUCCACCAUCCUCCCACUCAAUUCUUUCGAGAGAAACUUUUCCUCGAGAAAGGACCCGUUUCUAGAAACAAUUACUCUUGCUUCCGGAUCUGAGAUAGGAGGUAUACCCAACCAUUUUGGGUAUCCUAUGAAGAUGUAUUUAUCCGUUUUGGGUUCGAGCUUAUCACGAUGAAACUUUUUCACAUAAGCGUCGCAGCCCCAAACUUUCAAGAAACGACAACUUAGGUUUCUCCAAACCAUAGUUCAAACGGUGUCGUCUCAACGGAAUUAUGUGGUGCCCUAUUAAAGUGAGUGCGGUUGUCUCUAAUGCCUAACCCAUGAACGAUAGUGUUAAUUCGAUAAGAGACAUCAUGGUACGCACCAUAUCCAAUAGGGUGCAACUAUGAUGUUCGGACACACCAUCACACUAUGGUGUUCCAGGCGGUAUUAAUUGUGAAACAAUUUCCACAAUGUCUUAAUUGCGUGCCAAAGCUCGUAACUCAGAUACUCAUCUCUAUGAUCAUAUCAUAGACAUUUUAUCCUCUUGUCACGAUGAUCUUCAACUUCACUCUGAAAUUACUUGAACCAUUCAAUAAUUCAGACUUGUGUUUCAUCAAGUAAAUAUACUUAACAUCUACUCGAAUCAUCUGUGAAGUAAGAACAUAACAAUAUUCACUGCAUGCCUCAGCACUCAUUGGACUGCACACAUCAAAUGUGUUACUUCCAACAAGUUGCUAUCUUGUUCCAUCUUACAGAAAACGAGGCUUUUUCAGUCAUCUUGCCCAUGUGGUUUGAUUUGCAUAUCUCAAGUGAUUCAAAAUCAAGUGAGUCCAAACGAUCCAUCUGCAUGGAGUUUCUUCAUGCGUAUACACCAAUAGACAUGGUUCGCAUGUCUCAAACCUUUUUAAAACGAGUGAGUCCAAAGAUCCAUCAACAUGGAGCUUCUUCAUGCAUUUUACACCAAUAUGACUUACAUGGCAGUGCCACAAGUAAGUAGUACUAUCAUUACUAUCUUAUAUCUUUUGGCAUGAAAAUGAGUAUCACUACGAUCGAGAUUCAACAAACCAUUCCUUUUAGGUGCAAGAUCAUUGAAGGUAUUAUUCAAAUAAACAGAGUAAUCAUUAUUCUCCUUAAAUGAAUAACCGUAUUGUGAUAGACAUAAUCCAAUCAUGUCUAUGCUCAACGCAAACACCAAGUAACAAUUAUUUAGGUUUAAUACCAAUCUCGAUGGCAGAGGGAGCGUGCGAUGCUUGAUCACAUCAACCUUGGAAACACUUCCAACACAUAUCGUCAGCUCACCUUUAGCUAGUCUCCGUUUAUUCCAUAGCUUUUAUUUCGAGUUACUAACACUUAGCAACCGAACCGGUAUCUAAUACCCUGGUGCUACUAGGAGAACUAGUAAAGUACACAUUAACAUAAUGUAUAUCAAAUAUACUUCUAUCGACCUUUGCCAGCCUUCUUAUCUACCAAGUAUCUAGGGUGGCUCUGCUCCAGUGUCUGUUCCCUCAUUACAGAAGCACUUAGUCUCGGGUUUGGGUUCAACCUUGGGUUUUCACUAGAGCAGCAACUGUUUUGCCGUUUCAUGAAGUAUCCCUUCUUGCCCUUGCCCUUCUUGAAACUAGUGGUUUCACCAACCAUCAACAAUUCAUGCUCCUUCUUGAUUUCUACUUUCGUGGUGUUAAAUGUUGCGAAUACCUCAAGGAUCAUCAUAUCUAUCCCUGAUAUGUUAUAGUUCAUCACGAAGCUCUAGCAGCUUGGUGGCAAUGACUUUGGAGAAACAUCACUAUCUCAUCUGGAAGAUCAACUCCCACUCGAUUCAAGUGAUUGUUGCACUUAGACAAUCUGAGCACAAGCUCAACGAUUGAGCUUUUCUCCCUUAGUUUGCAGGCUAAGAAAAUCGUCGGAGGUCUUAUACCUCUUGACGUGGGCACGAGCCUGAAAUCCCAAUUUCAGCCCUCGAAACAUCUCUUAUGUUCCGCGACGUUUCGAAAACGUCUUUGGUGCCUCAACUCUAAACCAUUUAACUAAACUAUCACGUAGUUAUCAAAACGUGUAUGUCCGAUGUUUGCAACAUCCACAGACGAUGUUUGGGGUUCAGCACACUGAGCAGUGCAUUAAGGACAUAAGCUUUCUACUGUCCGUAUAAUCGCUACUGUCAACUUUCAACUAUAUUUUCUCUAGGAACAUAUCUAAAACAGUAGAACUAAAGCGCGAGCUAUGACAUAAUUUGCAAAGGGCUUUUGACUAUGUUCAAGAUAAUUAAGUUCAUCUAAUGAACUCCCACUCAGAUAGACAUCCCUCUAGUCAUCUAAGUGAUUACAUGACCCGAGUCAACUAGGCCGUGUCCCAUCAUCACGUGAUACAGACUAGUCCUCAUCGGUGAACAUCUUCAUGUUGAUCGUAUCCACCAUACGACUCAUGCUUGACCUUUCGGUCUCUUGUGUUCCGAGGCCAUGUCUGUACAUGCUAGGCUCGUCAAGUCAACCUAAGUGUUUCGCGUGUGUAAAUCUGGCUUACACCCGUUGUAUGUGAACGUAAGAAUCUAUCACACCCGAUCAUCACGUGGUGCUUCGAAACGAUGAACUUUCGCAACGGUGCACAGUUAGGGGGAACACUUUCUUGAAAUUUUAAUGAGCGAUCAUCUUAUUUACUACCGUAGUUCUAUGCAAAUAAGAUGCAUAAACAUGAUAAACAUCACAUGCAAUCAAAUAGUGACAUGAUAUGGCCAAUAUCAUUUUGCUCCUUUUGAUCUCCAUCUUUGGGGAUCCAUGAUCAUCAUCGUCACCGGCAUGACACCAUGAUCUCCAUCAUCAUGAUCUCCAUCAUCGUGUCUUCAUGAAGUUGUCUCGCCAACUAUUACUUCUACUACUAUGGCUACCGCUUAGCAAUAAAGUAAAGUAAUUACAUAGCGUUGUUUAAUGACACGCAGGUCAUACAAUAAAUUAAGACAACUCCUAUGGCUCCUGCCGGUUGUCAUACUCAUCGACAUGCAAGUUGUGAUUCCUAUUACAAGAACAUGAUCAAUCUCAUACAUCACAUAUCAUUCAUCACAUUCUUCUUGGCCAUAUCACAUCACAUAGCAUACCCUGCAAAAACAAGUUAGACGUCCUCUAAUUGUUGUUUGCAUGUUUUACGUGGCUGCUAUGGGUUUCUAGCAAGAACGUUUCUUACCUACGCAAAACCAUAAUGUGAUAUGUCAAUUGCUAUUUACCCUUCAUAAGGACCAUUUUCAUCGAAUCCGUUCCGACUAAAGUGGGAGAGACUGGCACCUGCUAGCCACCUUAUGCACCAAGUGCAUGUCAGUCGGUGGAACCUGUCUCACAUAAGAGUACGUGAAAGGUCGGUCCGGGCCGCUUCAUCCCACAAUACUGUCGAAACAAGAUUGGACUAGGAACGGUAAGCAUAUUGAACAAAAUCAACGCCCACAACUACUUUGUGUUCUACUCGUGCAUAGAGUCUACGCAAUAGACCUAGCUCAUGAUGCCACUGUUGGGGAACGUAGCAGAAAUUCAAAAUUUUCCUACGUGUCACCAUGAUCUGUCUAUGGAGAAACCAGCAACGAGGGGAAGGAGAGUGCAUCUACAUACCCUUGUAGAUCGUUAAGAGGAAGCGUUCAAGAGAAUGGGGUUGAAGGAGUCGUACUCGUCGUGAUCCAAAUCACCGGAGAUCCUAGUGCCGAAUGGACGGCACCUCCGUGUUCAACACACGUACAGCCCGGUGACGUCUCCCAUGCCUUGAUCUAGCAAGGAGAGAGGGAGAGGUUGAGGAAGACUCUGUCCAGCAGCAGCACAAUGACGUGGUGGUGAUGGAGGAUCGUGGCAAUCCUGUACGGCUUCGCCAAGCACCGCGGGAGAGGAGAAGGGAGAGAGGUAGGGCUGCGCCAGGGAGAGGUCAAACUCAUGUGUUGGCAGCCCUCAAGACCUCAACUAUAUAUAGGGGAGAGGGAGGGGGUGCGCCCCCUCUAGGGUUUCCACCCCAAGGGGUGCGGCAGCCCCAAUCCCAUCUAGGGUGGCGGCCAAGGUGGGGAGAGGGGAAACUUGCCCCCCAAGUUAGGUGGGUGCGCCCCCUCUCCCAACCCUAGGCACCUUGGGCCCUUGUGGGGGGCGCACCAGCCCACCUGGGGCUGGUCCCCUCCCACACUUGGCCCAUGCAGCCCUCCGGGGAUGGUGGCCCCACUUGGUGGACCCCCGGGACCCUCCCGGUGGUCCCGAUACGUUACCGAUAAAACCCGAAACUUUUCCGGUGACCAAAACAGGACUUCCCAUAUAUAAAUCUUUACCUCCGGACCAUUUCGGAACUCCUCAUGACGUCCGGGAUCUCAUCCGGGACUCUGAAAAACAUUCGGUAACCACAUACAAACUUCCUUUAUAACCAUAGCGUCAUCGAACCUUAAGUGUGUAGACCCUACGGGUUCGGGAACCAUGCAGACAUCACCGAGACGUUCUCCGGUCAAUAACCAACAGCGGGAUCUGGAUACCCAUGUUGGCUCCCACAUGUUCCACGAUGAUCUCAUCGGAUGAACCACGAUGUCAAGGACUCAAUCAAUCUCGUAUACAAUUCCCUUUGUCUAGCGGUAUUAUACUUGCCCGAGAUUCGAUCGUCGGUAUCCCGAUACCUUUGUUCAAUCUCGUUACCGGCAAGUCUCUUUACUCGUUCCGUAACACAUCAUCCCGUGAUCAACCCCUUGGUCACAUGGUGCACAUUAUGAUGAUGUCCUACCGAGUGGGCCUAGAGAUACCUCUCCGUCAACCGGAGUGACAAAUCCCAGUCUCGAUUCAUGCCAACCCAACAGACACUUUCGGAGAUACCUGUAGUGCACCUUUAUAGCCACCCCGUUACGUUGUGAUGUUUGGUACAACCAAAGCAUCCCUACGGUAUCCGGGAGUUGCACAAUCUCAUGGACAAAGGAAAUGAUACUUGACAUUAGAAAAGCUUUAGCAUACGAACUACACGAUCUUUGUGCUAGGCUUAGGAUUGGGUCUUGUCUAUCACAUCUUUCUCCUAAUGAUGUGAUCCCGUUAUCAACGACAUCCAAUGUCCAUGGUCAGGAAACCGUAACCAUCUAUUGAUCAACGAGCCAGUCAACUAGAGGCUUACUAGGGACAUGGUGUUGUCUAUGUACCCACACAUGUAUCUGAGUUUCCUAUCAAUACAAUUAUAGCAUGGAUAAUAAACGAUUAUCAUGAACAAGGAAAUAUAAUAAUAAUAACUAAUUUAUUAUUGCCUCUAGGGCAUAUUUCCAACAGCACCCUAUCCAUCCAAUCAACAAGCGAGACAUCCGUCACAAUCGGACAUUUAUUUCGUUUUGGCAUGUCUGGAUUGUUGAACUAUGAUUUUCUUUGCUUUGUCUCGAACUGUUGAAUUUGGACAAUUUGUAUCGUAUGAUCGACGUGCAUGGGUUGCAUGUAUUUGAUUCUCUAUAUUUGAGGUAUGUGGAUGUGCGACAACCCAUAUGAAGGGCCGGCGGGCGCUGUCCACGGACGCGCUCGUGGGCGUAUAGGGGCCGGACUUGCCAAGUUCGGUUGUAGAUGCUCUAAGUAACAAGUGGAUCGCAAUCUAAGUUUGAGAUUAUCUCCAAUGUCUAACUAAACGGGCGUCAUACGUCCCAUCCUUCAGGAUGAAUAAGAUCACAUCUGGCAAAUAAUUAUUUUUUGAUAUCUGUUUUGGUCCUUACAUUAUAUAUNNNNNNNNNNNNNNNNNNNNNNNNNNNNNNNNNNNNNNNNNNNNNNNNNNNNNNNNNNNNNNNNNNNNNNNNNNNNNNNNNNNNNNNNNNNNNNNNNNNNNNNNNNNNNNNNNNNNNNNNNNNNNNNNNNNNNNNNNNNNNNNNNNNNNNNNNNNNNNNNNNNNNNNNNNNNNNNNNNNNNNNNNNNNNNNNNNNNNNNNNNNNNNNNNNNNNNNNNNNNNNNNNNNNNNNNNNNNNNNNNNNNNNNNNNNNNNNNNNNNNNNNNNNNNNNNNNNNNNNNNNNNNNNNNNNNNNNNNNNNNNNNNNNNNNNNNNNNNNNNNNNNNNNNNNNNNNNNNNNNNNNNNNNNNNNNNNNNNNNNNNNNNNNNNNNNNNAAUAAUACAUAUUCACAAAAAAUAUUAUGAAUGACGAAUCUACUAACAAUAUUUUCAGUGAGCCAAUUUUAAAUAGUAUUGCCACAUACCAGGAGAUAGCAGCAGAGAAUGUAAUUUACAAACACUUUAAUGAUAUGCAGGCCAUUAGAAGCAAUAGAAAAUGACAAAACUUCAAAUUAAACAAGUAGGUGCAUACAUUUCGAGGACAUGCAUGAGAGAUCCUUUUUUUAUGAGAUGUUAUUGCAAGUAGAAGCUAUUAUACCUUUUUGGAACUUUUACCAUGUCUCAAACCAUGUACUUAUAUUUAGUUUGUUAGAUUUGUAUUUUUUUUCUUUCAGAAAACGAUAUAUAAAAGAAGAAGACUUAAGGACGCCAUUUUUGACUCACAUGAGCAUGUGGUCCCUAGAGCCAAAACAAUGAAAAUUAUUAGAGAUUCCUAUGUAUAAGCUAUUCUUGGUAAGCUAAAGACAUUUCAUCCUCUAAACUCUUGCUGAAGUCCAAAAUUAACCCAGAACUGCAAAUAACACUAGAACAGAUUAGACUGUCACGCUGGUCAUAGCACCACACUGGAGUAAUCUUCUACAAGUGAUGUUAAAUGACAAAACUGACCGUCACUACUAGAAUCAGCUACUUUGCCAACUUCCUCGGCAAAGAUCCAAAAGAACUCGGCAAAAAUGUGUUUGCCACGUGCGGUACUUUGCAAAAAAAAUACUCCAUAGAACAUAUUGGCAAUAGUUAACUUUGCCGAAUUUUUAUACCAAGAACUCCAGAAUACUCAUAGAGUCUUUCUCGAGUUUCCAAAAAGAAGAACUCUAGAAACCACUAGCGCUAGACGAAAUGACCUAUUAAUGGUGGUGCCACGUGGCCAGAGCAUUGCCGAGUUCUUGCAUGCCGAACUCGGCAGACGCCUGAUGAAUAGAAACGUGGUGCGUGGCAUAGGUGGUUGCCGAGUUCUUGCCUUUGCCAAGCGUGGAACCCAACAAACGUUCAGCAAAUAUGAUGCGUGGCAGAACUAGCUGCCAAGUUCUUAUCUUUGCAGAGUAUGUUGCAGGAGACCUAGGCAAAUUCUUUGAAGAAUAGUAAUGCGACACGUGGCAUAGACGAGUGUCAGGUUCUUGUAUUUGCUGAGUAUGGCGCCACGGGGACUCGUCAACACCUUUGGGGAGCUUUGUGCAGGGUGAACUCGGCAAAGAAAACCCGUGGAAGACGUUCGGGAGCUGCUUCCGCAUUUUCUGAGUGUGGAACUCGGCAAAGAUUCCUGGAGCUACCAGCUUCUGCCACGUGUCACAUUUUGCCGACUAGUGCGCUCAGCAAAAUGCUCCAGGAAUAGUUUUGUCGAGCGACAAAACUUGGCAAAUGUUCAAUCAUGUUUAUUUAUUAUUUAUUGUUGGGAAAUCUUGCAUACAAAUAAGUACGUAUGCAUAUAUAUCAUCGCAAAGAUACAUAACAUCAUUCAAAUAUCACUUCACAAAAACAACAAGCAAUAUGGCGAUCAUUCGAACACAUUUUACACAAGUGACAUCGUCACAAAUUUAUCCAAGUUAGUCUCAUUGAAGCCAUGUUACUCUAAUGAUAGAUUAAGGUCCAGCUGCAGCACGGGCCGGGCCGGUCCUGCGAUUCCGGUGGUCCUGGGUGAAACUAACACUCGGAUCCUCUCAAUAUAAACAUUAUAACAAUAUCUGCAAAUGUUUAGAUUAUUAAAUGUUACCGGUAGACUAGUAGAAAGAGAUCGUGAAUGAACCAGAAAAACAGAAAAAUGAAGGUGCGUCCGUUCUAAAACUUUGGCCAAGAAUAACAGGAUAAUUGACACAUGGCUCGCCACGUACCUUAUUGAGGCAAAAAAAAAGUUCGCGCUUCAUUAAGCUUUCGCGUUUGCUAGUACGUAAAAUGGAAAAAAGAUGUACACAACGUAUAUGAAAAAAUUUAUACAAUUUUAUUUAAUAUCUAUCAAAAUUAUUUAAUAUCAUUAUAUAAUGUCGAGCUAUCGAGCUAAAUCGAGCGAGCGAGUGUUGGCUCAUGAUCAGCUCGUUUAUUGAUCGAGCUACAUAAAGUGCUCAUUCUCAGCUCAUUUCUUUUCAAGUCAAACUCAAGUCGAAACAAAAUACGAGUCGAUCUUGAGUGGCUUACGAGCCUCGAGCUUUACUUGCAGCCCUAGCCACCACUACUCCAAUCCAACCAUAGUUUUUAUUUUCUUUAGAGGGUCGACGAUGGACUGUGUUUGUUUACUGACCCAUCUUUUUUCUUUUCAUUUCCCUAUGUUUUUGGCUAGCUUUCGGGCUUUGUCUGCCUGUACAUAUUGCACAUGUUCUCCCUUAAUCCAUGGCAGAGUUGUUGCCGCUUUUGUAGUAACAUAUAUGGACUUGUAGUAGAUUGUCAUGACCUUUCGUCACAGCUAAUGGCUAAAUCCUCACGUACAUGCAUGUGGUGGUAACAUGAGGACUGUUCAGAUCUUAGCUAGAACACACAUUAACUAUCAUAUCAUGUCAUAAUUUUUUAUAGGCCACUGCCAUGAAUAAUAUAUGAAGUACAGAGGACAAUUCAAACAAUCAAAUUUAAAUUACUAUACCUGCGGCCACCCCUCGGGAAUAUAAUUUAUACUUCUUGUUUCUUUUCUUGACACUAAUUGAUACUUCUUGUUGGACGCGAACCAAGCCAAGUAUGUACACCAACUAUCUGAGUUGACAGAUGUAAGUUAGCUUAAUAUUGACUAAUAGACCUAAGAUGCUAGUCAUGAACGAAUCCAUAUCAUCUGUCUGUAUUUGUAGAUGUCGAGUCAUCUUGCACUUUUUGUAAUUGCCCAUUGGCCAACUAGCUAUUAUUUGCAUCGAUAAAUCGUCUUAUAUGAUAUAUGUUGCCCACUUUGUUACUCCCUCCGUUCCUAAAUAUUUGUCUUUUUAGAGAUUUCAAAUGACUACCACAUACGGAUGUAUAUAGACAUAUUUUAGAGUGUAGAUCCACUCAUUUUGCUCUGUAUGUACUCACUUGUUGAAAUCUCUAGAAAGACAAAUAUUUAGGAACGGAGGGAUUACAUUGCAAGAUUUCUAAGUGCGUCAAAAGGGUGUCCCUAAAGAUGUUUUAUCCAUAGGUUUUACAUUCUUUAUUGAGAGAUGUUGCACAAAAGCUGUACAAUGUUUCAAGUGUACACUAUGUGAAUUUGGUUAUCCUGUUUAUUAGAUGGACAUAUCUCAAUGCUUAAUGGUGACACACAUAUACUCCAAGUUCUUUUGUUCUGGUUAGUCCAUUGUUCGAGGUGAUAAGCAUCUAUAUUACCAUAAGCUAAUCAGUGCUUCAUCAGCUUUGAUAGAUAUGUACUCUAUUUGAACUUUAUUUAGAGAAUUCUAGAUGAAAAUAUUAGCAAGUAAGAUACACAUCAGACUAUACAAUUACAUAAAUUCCAAUACUAAUGCAAGUUGCUGACCGGAAAUCCCUUUUGGUGACCGAGCUCCAAUGAGGCCUCCAAAUUUAAAAUUCAAAUUUCAUCAAAAUCCAUAUUUUUACGUUUCAAAAAAUUCAAAAAAAAAUAGAAAUACAUGAAGGCAUAACACACAUAUGUGUAAAUUUUCAGGGCAAAAUACGUUGAAAUGAGGGUUGUGCAAAAAAUACAAAUCUAGGGCUGUUUAACACAUGAUACUAUUUAUCCUCCCAGGCCAUAAAUUUGUCUUUUUUGUACAGGUCGCAACUCAAGGUAUUUCAUCAUGAAUUUUUUACACACAUGUGGGUUACAUCCUUACAUGCAUGCAUUAUUUUUUUGAAUUUUUUGAAACAUGAAAGUUUGAAUUUGAUUUUUUCAAAAAUAAAGGGCUCCAUGGAGCUCGGCCUCCAAAACGCCAUUUUCAAUGCUGACAUGUUAAGAACCACUUUAACUUGUAUCUCCAAGGACCGGGAUGCAAUUUUCUUUUCUAGCAGUGGUUUUCUUGUAUUGCUAAAUCCAUUAAAUAUGGAGCAUGUGGCUCUGUUGUAGAAAGUUAGUUAAAUGGAUUUUCCAGCCGCAAAAAAAAAUUGAAUGGAUUUUCAACAGCUUGAUUUAAUGUUUGGGGAUCCAUGUCGAAAUUUACUCUCUAUUGGGCCAGACUUUGCAAGUAAAACCAAUAUCAUAAAUGCAGCUAAUUAAAUGGAUCUUAACCUUCUCAUAACUGGUAUAACUACAUGCUCUAAUUUAAUUAAUGUGACGUGAUCUUACCAUAGUAAUAUUAUUAUGCAGUGCACAACUAGCAAGUCCACUAAAGAUUCAUAAUAUUACCACAUCAAGGACUUCAUUAACUGUCAUUUAUAGGUUGUACAUCUGUAGAUCAGAUGAUUUGGAAAUAUUCUCUGGAUGGCACAUCCACAUCAUGUUAUCUAUACCACAGGUUGAGCAUUGAGAUCUAUGUGUCCAAUGGAUAAGAAACUAAGAUACAAGCACUGCAUCUAUAUGGCAUCCAUAGAGAUUAUAACAUGGAUGCACUUGACAUACUGUCCACACCCAUAAUAUAUGAUGGCAUACAGGUCCAUCCAUACAAUAAGAGCAACUUAUUUGGCCUAUGGAUGCCGACAUAAAGAGAAGAUCUGUCGGCAUAUACUAACACACAAAACAAUAUGGCUUCAAUUUGACUAUCUUAGGUCUUUUCGUCAAUUUUAAGCUUACAUGCAUGGGUCAAGUAGAUAGUCAUGACCUUUCACCAAAGCUAAUAACUGAGGUCGCACAUGUAGGCAUGUGGAGUGUUUCAAAUCUUAGCUAGAACGCACAUGAAUUAUCACAUGCAUGCUACAAUAGUUGAAUGACAUCCGACGCAUCCAUAUACUACACCCUGUCAUGAUAUCUUUUAUAUGCCACUGACAUGAGUCACAUAUGAAGUAUAUAGGGAAAUUUAGAUCUAUUUUAAAUUAAAAUACGUGUAGCUAGCCGCCCCUGAGGGAUUUAAUUGCAUAUUAUAAUUACAAUAUAUAUCUGCAACUAGUCCAUGGAAAUAUAAUUGUGUCUUUUGGUUGUACGCAAACCAAGGUAAGUACCAACGUAUCUAAAGGCGUACAUGUGCGUACACCAACUAUCUGACUUGACACAUUUAAAUUAGCUUAAAAAUGACGAAUAUACCUUAUUAAGAUGCUAGUCAAAAUGAAUCCAUAUCCAUUGUUUGCAUUAGUUGAUGUCGAGCAAUCUUGCACUUUCUGUAAUUGUCCGUUGGCCAACUAGCUUUUAUUUUUCGGAUAAUUUUUUCUUUUAUAAUAUAUGUUUCCCUCUUUGUUACAAUUGAAAGUUGCUAAGUGCAUCAAAAGGAUAAAUCACCUAGAUAUAAUCAAAGAGGGGCAUGAAAAUAGAAAUCCCAUUUAUUUAUAGAUUUUACAAUUUUUAUCGGUAUGUUGUACAAAGGUGGUGUAUAUACCUUGUGUUUAAGUGUACACUACACGAAUUUGUCUAUUUAUUAGAUGCACAUAUCUAAAUACUUAAAGUGGCACAUGUAUAUUCCAAAUUAUUAUGUUCUACAUAUAUGGUAUAGUUUACUAUUGCCUGUUAGUUCAUUCUUCGAUGAGAUAAGCAUUUAUAUAACCAUAAAAACCAUAAACUUACCAAUAUUUAGAAAUUAUAGUGAAUUUAGAUAGUUGGCUUGUGAGACAUCCUUAUGCGGAUAAAAAAACCAUACCUAAUCCUGACAUGGAAAAGUAGUCAUGUUAGAUCCUUAGUUGGAUUACAGGUCUAAGUUGCAUAGGGUGUUAAAAAGUCUAAAACAACACUAAUUAAAGGCCCAAGAGAAACCCACUAGAGGUGGGUACUAGCACUCCAAGCAUCCUAUAUAUAGGAUACAUCUACCCUCUUAUUCUCUCACAAAACACAACGAGAUACAACUCCCCCCCUCCCCCAUUCAACUAGCCCAUUCAGUUCUCUCUUUUCCCCUUCUUGCAUACAAUCAUCUCCAUGGCUAGUCCAUUCGGUGUCUUGGUUUGUCUACUCAUAGUGCUACCACAAAUCCUUGCUAUUUCUAGCCCCAUCGACGAGAUUGCACCUCUUAAGACAUGUCAGUUCCCUUGUAUGACCGAGGUUAACUUGCACUUGUUCUUGCACCAAUUCGUCGACGGGCCAAACAACCCAAACCGCAAUGAGGAAACCUUACUCCAAGCAAGUUUUCCUUUUGGGUUUGGGACGAUGAUAGUCCAUGACUGGACUCUUACCGAGACAACAAAUUCCAGAGACACGGUUGUUGCACGUGUACAAGGUGUGCAUGUCCAGGCUGGUUUAACCAAGCCUAACAGAUGGUACACAACUCAUAACAUAGAGUUUCAGCAAGGAAGGUAAUAUGUUUCGCUACUUUUCAAUAUCUAAGUAUAUUUCAUGAGUUCUUUGCAUGCAACAUUAAAUUUAUGUCCUUACCUGUACUAUAUUUGUAGCCAAGGGUUUCACACACCUUACUAGUGUAUAUACACAUAUUAAUAAGUGUGCAUUUGUCAAACUCUACAUGCACUUCUGACCCUAUGACGGCACUUUCUAUUUUGAACAUGAAACAGGUUUGCGGGGUCCACCCUUCAAGUGAUGGGUAUAACCGCAGGUUUGGAAAGUGGGCAGUGGUCUAUUGUCGGUGGAACUGGUCAAUUCAUUAUGGCACAGGGUAUAAUAAGUUUCACAAAUCAUCCGGCCUCUACUUUUGAAGAUGGUAUUAAAGAACUCAAUAUUCGUGUACGCUUCACAAGGGAUAUUACACAAGCCGUAAGUAUAAUAUUAUGAGUUUAUAUUCAAAUUCUUGUGCUCUAUUUGUUGAAGAGAAAUGGAUUGUACCAUACAUACUAUCCUACUGAAGUUGCAUUACAUUAAGAUAUUUGUGGACAUUCAAGUGCAAAUGCAUUAAAGGAGAUUCUUUUUUAACAACAUUAGCCAUAUUUAACUAAAUCAAAUGCUUGUUGAAUGUUUUGUGCAUUUAGUUUAUCGGGUGUUGCAUAUCAAGUAAUGAAGCUUUAUGUACGAACGCUUGACAUGACACUAGCCAUGGUUUCACUUUUCGCUGCAGGCUUGAGGUGCAUCUCGUCCCUUGAAAGACUAGCGCCAAUGUCAGUAAUUUGAUGGGGAAAUGUGUUUGCAUUUUGCUUGUAGUGUGAUGGGUCGUUGUUGUGGUCUGCCUCUGUCAUUAGAGUAUGCGUUAGCUAGCAUACCCUCUUUCUAUCUUUCAUUCAAAAUAUCAUGUGGGUUUCUCGCACGGUGGAUAUCCAGUCCAUAAUCUGUGUCAACCCAUCUGUUUGUUGGUGUCUAUGUAAUGUCUUGGAUAUGAUGUGGAAUAAUGGAGCUUGUUUGUUUGAGAAAGUGUUAUACCCACAUAAUUAUAUUAUUUGUGUUAAUCAUGAGACAAGCAUAUAUGAAAACUUAAAGCAAAACAAAUUAAUGAACACAAGACCACCGUUAUUCAUACACUUAACAGUGUCUAUCCCGAAAGCAGUUUACCUCAAGGACCAUAAGAGCCCCAUUAUUUUCCACAACGUCUAGAAUAAUUGCCAACAAAGAUAUCACCCAGGCGGCCAUGACAUAAUGCAAUUAUAUAAAAAUGAUAGCCAUGUUAUUUGGUAGCAUCGACAGAUGCAUAUACAUGUCUUGUACUCUUUUUAUAAAUACACAAAAGAUUUGUGCAUUGAUGUAUUGCAAGGGGAAAAAUUGAUGCAUGGUAUAGAAUUGAGGCUCUUAAUCACAAGGACGUAGGAUCGACCUUGACUCGAACAACGCAGGGCUACAACGGCUGUACUUCCUCCAUAAAGAAAUAUAAGAGUGUUUAGGGAGAGCGGCAUUACUGAGAUGGGCGGCAUCUGAACAUGUUAUCUUGGUCGUACGUCCAGCUCCAGGGAUUUGCGCUAGUGGGUCCAUGGCAGGAAAUACGGGUGGAAGAAAUUGACGUUGACUGGCGGUAUACGUGGAUGAACAGUGAUGUAUGCCAGCGCCCGGGCUCGUCUUUUUGAAAUGCACGUUACGCUGACGAGCCGAGCCGUCGAUCGGGCCCGUCACGAGAACCUGACCCAAGGAUCAGAAACAUAAUCGCACCGUCUGCUGCUUAGACACGCGCCGUCUGCUGCAGGGCCAACCAGAGGCCCAACACGUGUCCUGACAGACCCCCACCACUCAAACAACCACAAUUCCUUUUUCCGAAUUUACAGAAUAUCUUUUUGCCUUGCCUUAUCCAGCAGAUUGCCGCUGUUCCACACUCCAUAGCCUCUCAUUGUACAGCUCCGUGAAAGAUGAUUCCGACGAGGUGAGGUCCGCCGCUCGGCGCCGUAGCUGGCGGCCAGACGGGAGCUGUCGCGGCUAGUGCCGCCCGCCUCUGGCCUGCUGCGCCGCGUGGGGCAGUGGCCUUGACUGAAGGCAAGAUGGGGUCCGUGCAAGCUAGCUCCGCUUGCUUCAGCCGCGCUGCGCCGCACGGGGCUAUAUCCUUGGGCGGUGUGAAGUCGGGGGGCAUCGCGGGUAGCACCGCCCGCGUCCAGUGCGUCCAAGGCUGCGGCCGACCAGCUCCCUCGUAGAAGGUGGAACCACAGCGCGUGCACCCAGUCGGCGGGCGUGGCCGUGGCCGGUGGCGAGAUGCCGCAGGAGGUCGUUGGGUCACACUUGAAGAAGCGUGAGCUCGAUGCAUCUCAACAGGCAAAGGUGAUUCUAGUUGCUUGCUUCUAUCCAACGUUUUGGCUACCGAAUCCCAAGAAAAUACCGAGGGUGAGCGAGAAACAUGGAUACCGCGGUUACCGUAAAAUUCCAAGCAAAAGCCGCUCCAAUUUUUCUUGAAUUCAAAUUUUUCUGAGCUAGGAAUAUAUAAGUAUUGAGCUCAAGUGGUUCACAAACAAGGUGUUCGCGCAGUGGCAUGUUCUCGUCGUACGUCCUCAACAUAUGCAAGGUCGUGGGUUCGAUUCUCUAACCUUGAGUUUUAGAAUAUUUAUUUUAGAAUUGGUUAAACAAAAAAGAUAACAGUGUCUAUCCAUAAAGCAGUUUACCUCAAGGGCCAUGCCCUAUUAUUUUCCACAACGUCUAGAAUAAUUGCCAACAAAGAUAUCACCCAGGCGGCUAUGACAUAAUGCAAUCAUAUAAAAAUGAUAGCCAUGUUAUUUGGUAGCAUCGACAGAUGCAUAUACAUGUCUUGUAUUCUUUUUACAAAUACACAAAAGAUUUGUGCAUUGGUGUAUUGCAAGCGGAAAAAUUGAUGCAUGUUAUAGAAUUGAGGCUCUUAACCACAAGGACCUAGCCUCGACCUUGACUCGCACAAGGCUGGGCUACAACGGUUGUACUUCCUCCAUAAAGAAAUAUAAGAGUGUUUAGGAAAAGCGACGCUACUGAGAUGGGCGGCAUCUAUGGGCGGCAUCUGAACUUGUUAUCUUGGUCGUACGUCCAGCUCCAGGGAUUUUCUCUAGUGGGUCCAUGGCAGGAAAUACGGGUGGAAGAAAUUGACGUCGACUGGCGGUAUACGGGGAUGAACAGUGAUGUGCGCCAGAGCCCGGGCUCGUCUUUUUGAAAUGCACGUUACGCUGACGAGCCGAGCCGUUGAUCGGGUCCGUCACGAGAACCUGACCCAAGGAUCAGAAACGUAAUCACGCUGUCUGCUGCUUAGACACGCGUCGUCUGCUGCAUGGCCAAUCAGCGGCCAACACGUGUCCUGACAGACCCCCACCACUCAAACAACUACAAUUCCUUUUUCCUAAUUUACAGAAUAUCUUUUUGCCUUGCCUUAUCCAGCGGACUGCUGCUGUUCCACACUCCAUAGCCUCUCCUUGUACAACUCCCUGAAAGAUGAUUCCGACGAGGUGAGGUCCACCGCUCGGCGUCGUAGCUGGCGGCCAGACGGGAGCUUUCGCGGCUAGCGCCGCCCUCCUCCGGCCUGCUGCGCCGCGUGGGGCAGUGGCCUUGACUGAAGGCAAGAUGGGGUCCGUGCAAGCUAGCUCCGCUCUCUUCAGCCGCACUACGCCGCACGGGGCCCUAUCCUUGGCCGGUGGGAAGACGGGGGCCAUCGCGGCUAGCACCGCCCGCGUCCGGCGCAUCCAAGGCUAUGGCCGACCCCUCCCUCGUAGAAGGUGGAACCACAGCGCGUGGACCCAGUCGGCGGGCGCGGCCGUGGCCGGUGGUGAGAUGCCGCGGGAGGUCAUUGGGUCACACUUGAAGAAGCGUGAGCUCGAUGCAUCUCAACAGGAAAAGGUGAUUCUAGCUGCUUGCUUCUAUCCAACGUUUUGGCUACCAAAUCCCAAGAAAAUACCGAGGGUGGGCGAGAAACGCGGAUACCAUAAAAUUCCGAGCAAAAACCGCUCGAAUUUUUCAAACAUAGUUUGAAUUCAAAUUUUUCUGAGCUAGGAAUAUAUAAAUAUUGAGCUGAAGUGGUUCACAAACAAGUUAUUUGUGCAGUGGCAUGUUCUCAUCGUCCGUCCUCAACGUAUGCAAGGUCGUGGAUUCGAUUCUCUAACCUUGAGUUUUUAAAUUUUUAUUUAAGAAUUGGUUAAACAAAAAAGAAAACAGUGUCUAUCCUGAAAGCAGUUUACCUCAAGGGCCAUAAGAGCCCCAUUAUUUUCCACAACGUCUAGAAUAAAUGCCAACAAAGAUAUCACCCAGGCGGCUAUGACAUAAUGCAAUCAUAUAAAAAUGAUAGCCAUGUUAUUUGGUAGCAUCGACAGAUGCAUAUACAUGUCUUGUAUUCUUUUUACAAAUACACAAAAGAUUUGUGCAUUGAUGUAUUGCAAGGGAAAAAUUUGAUGCAUGUUAUAGAAUUGAGGCUCUUAACCACAAGGACCUAGGCUCGACCUUGACUCGAACAAGGCAGGGCUACAACGGUUGUACUUCCUCCAUCAAGAAAUAUAAGAGUGUUUAGGGAGAGCGGCGUUACUGAGAUGGGCGGCAUCUGAACAUGUGAUCUUGGUCGUACGUCCAGCUCCAGGGAUUUGCGCUAGUGGGUCCAUGGCAGGAAAUAUGGGUGGAAGAAAUUGGCGUCGACUGGCGGUAUACGGGGAUGAACAGUGAUGUACCCAGCACCCGGGCUCGUCCUUUUGAAAUGCACGUUACGCUCACGAGCCGAGCCGUCGAUCGGGUCAGUCAUGAGAACCUGACCCAAGGAUCAGAAACGUAAUCGCGCCGUCUACUGCUUAGACACGUGCCGUCUGCUCCAGGGCCAACCAGCGGCGAACACGUGUCCUGACAGACCACCACCACUCAAACAACCACAAUUCCUUUUUCCUAAUUUACAGAAUAUCAUGUUGCCUUGCCUUAUCCAGCGGACUGCUGCUGUUCCACACUCCAUAGCCUCUCCUUGUACAGCUCCGUGAAAGAAGAUUCCAACGAGGUGAGGUCCGCCGCUCAGCGCCGUAGCUGGCGGCCAGACGGGAGCUGUUGUGGCCAGCGCCGCCCGCCUUUGGCCUGCUGCGCCGCGUGGGGUAGUGGCCUUCACUGAAGGCAAGAUGGGGUCCGUGCAAGCUAGCUCCGCUCGCUUCAGCCGCGCUGCACCGCACGGGGCUGUAUCCUUGGCCGGUGGGAAGACGGGGGCCGUCGCGGCUAGCACCGCCCGCGUCCGGCGCGUCCAAGGCUGUGGCCGGCCCGCUCCCUCGUAGAAGAUGGAACCACAGCGCGUGCACCCAGUCGGCGGGUGUGGCCAUGGCCAAUGCCGAGAUGCCGCGGGAGGUCGUUGGGUCGCACUUGAAGAAGCGUGAGCUCUAUGCAUCUCAACAGGCAAAGGUGAUUCUAGUUGGUUGCUUCUAUCCAACGUUUUGGCUACCGAAUCCCAUGAAAAUACCGAGGGUGGGCGAGAAACGCGGAUACCAUAAAAUUCUGAGCAAAAGCCGCUCGAAUUUUUCAAACGUAAUUUGAAUUCAAUUUUUUUGAGCUAGGAAUAUAUAAGUAUUGAGCUCAAGUGGUUCACAAACAAGGUGUUCGCGCAGUGGCAUGUUCUCGUCGUCCGUCCUCAACGUAUGAAAGGUUGUGGAUUUGAUUCUCUAACCUUGAGUUUUUAAAUUUUUAUUUAAGAAUUGGUUAAACAAAAGAGAAAUCAAUGUCUAUCCCGAAAGCAGUUUACCUCAAGGGCCAUAAGAGCCCCAUUAUUUUCCACAACGUCUAGAAUAAUUGCCAACAAAGAUAUCACCCAGGCGGCUAUGACAUAAUGCAAUCAUAUAAAAAUGAUAGCCAUGUUAUUUGGUAGCAUCGACAGAUGCAUAUACAUUUCUUGUAUUCUUUUUACAAAUACACAAUAGAUUUGUGCAUUGAUGUAUUGCAAUGGGAAAAAUUGAUGCAUGUUAUAGAAUUGAGGCUCUUAACCACAAGGACCUAGGCUCGACCUUGACUCGAACAAGGCAGGGGUCGAUGCAUCUCAACAGGCAAAGGUUAUUCUAGUUGCUUGCUUCUAUCCAACGUUUUGGCUACCGAAUCCCAAGAAAAUACCGAGGGUGGGCGAGAAACGCGGAUACCGCGGUUACCAUAAACUUCCGAGCAAAAACCGCUCGAUUUUUUCAAACGUAAUUUGAAUUCAAAUUUUUCUGUGCUAGGAAUAUAUAAGUAUUGAGCUCAAGUGUUUCACUAACAAGGUAUUGGCGCAGUGGCAUGUUCUGGUCGUCCGUCCUCUACGUAUGUGAGGUCGUGGGUUCGAUUUUAUAACCUUGAGGUUUUUAAAUUUUAUUUAAGAAAUUGGUUAAACGAAAAAGAAAACAGCUAUAAUGGAAGGUAGUGGGUCUCGAAGCAGCGACCGACGGGUUGAGCGGGACGACCAUGUUUGCCAGCAGACCACACCUGGUUGAAUCAUAGAAUGAGUUUAUGUCCUACUUGACUAGGCUGUAGCCAUUCAAAUUCAAAAUUUUCAAAUAAUUCAAUUUUUUUUGCUCGGUACGCAGCUUUCUCGUGGAUAGCGAGAAACGCGUAUACAGGGCGGUGUCCGAAUUUUCCGCCCGGUACCCAAAACCAUGCUUCUAUCUAUGUACUGUACUAGCUAACCAGCUCUCACUUAUCCACGUAUUGACAUAUGUACUGUACUGUACUUCUAUGUACUGUACUGUACUUCCAUGCCAAUUCCUCUUAAUAAAGUUAUUUUUAGUAAGAAUGACUCUGCGACGAAGAUACCAUGCAAAAUGAUACUCACUUCGUAAACUAAUAUAAGAGCAUUUAGAACACUAAAGUAGUGAUCUAAACGCUCGUAUAUUAGUUUACAGAGGGAGUAUAUGUUAAAUUAUGAAGAAAUAUUAAGCCCAUGUAGGCACACAUGUUGGUUAGACGUCCAUAUGUAAUCCAAGAUUCAGCUUUAAUCAUUAAUUUGACUAACAAGAUGUGGGUUAUUUGCCGGCGUGGGUUAGCAGUCAAAAUAUCAGAGUUAGUGGAGUAGCAAGUCAUAUGUAUUUACAAAAGAGUAAAAUACACCACAGGUCCUAAAACUAUUUGAGGGGUGCCGAGUUGGUCCUAAUCCUAAUACUAUGACAUGCAUAUCUGGAUCCUAAAAAGUUUUCCAAGUGUGUCACCCGCGGUCCUAUCCGCGCGACAUCAACUUUGACUUGCACAGGCGGUAGGUUGACUACUGUUAUGUGGCAGCUUUUUGCACGACCCUCCUCCUUGCACACAUGCUUGGACAAAGAACCAUAUGGUAACUUUGAAUAAAAUGAAGCUGAAAGGACAUGUCUCCACAAACAAAACGAGUGCGGAGAAACGGAGUAUAAGGAGGUUGAUCGUACUUGGACAAAGAACAAGGGCUUGUCAACCACGACUUUGAUAUCGCCGGCGUCACAUAAUAGUUCCUCGAUGCAUGGGUAUGGGGGCCGCGGUGAUGGAUUUCCAAACUCUUCCAGCCCCACGUCGGCCAAUGCUUCCACGAACACCACUCCCUCUCCGGUGCAGUCCACCACCAGCUUGUUAGUAGGGAGAAUCUCUCUCAACCGACCGGCCAUGGGGUAGUAGUACACCAGAGCCUCCGCGAAGCCAAUGCUUCCAUGAACACCACUCCCUCUCCGGUGCAGUCCACCACCAGCUUGUUAGUGAGGAGAAUCUCUCUCAACCGACCGGCCAUGGGGUAGUAGUACACCAGAGCCUCUACGAGCGCUACCUUGACGGCCUUUGACGGUGUCGUUGUUGGAUGGCCGCCUGGUCGGCAGCGGAAGAACUCGACCCCAAAAGAGUAGACUCGUAGGUCAUAACAGUCGUCGACGUCGGAGAGGACUUUGGUCUCGCGUGGUGUUGGCCGUGCUGGCGCCACCAGCUCGGGCAAACUCCGGCGUGCGGUGAACUUCACCAUUGUGGUCCUACCCUUGGGUGCUUGUGACCUUGUGUUGUACUGUACCUCCACUAACUCUGAUAUUUUGGUUCAUUCAUGUAUCUCUCUAUAUAUACAUAUACACACAUAGAGAUGCUUGACGGGUAGAAAAUGGUAUACUCCUACAUCUCUUGGUCUCGGAGGAUAAGAAGAGAGCUUUUUGUUUCACAUGUCAUAGCACGUGAAGAUGCUGUUUGUACACAUGUGCCGGGAGUGUGUGCAACUGGAUCACUCGGAAGAAACAAAAGACUGCAAAUGGACAAACUCGAUUCAUGGCACCCGUAUCACACGUUUAUCCAAGCUUUGUCAUUAUCGCCUAAUCUCAUGAGUCCCCGGCAUGCACAUUCACCUGACCAAUUACUUCGCUAUUUUUUUUCGAGGCGUGCAACCUCGCUAGCUUAUGCGAGACCUGUGGUAUUUCCUACUCAACACUCAGUGCGGCAGAUUGCUGACCGUGUGAGCUGGGCCGGGCCAUUUGCACCGUUUUUUUGUGUGUAAAUUUUCGAUUUUCUUUUCAAUUUGUGUUCAUUCUUUGGUUUUCCUUGUCCCUUUUCUUUGAUUUAUUUUCUCAGUUAUAAACAUAAUUUUGAAAUAUAUUUAGAGUGCACCAUGAACAUUUUUUUAAAACCUGGCAAACAUUUUUCAACACGUGAUGUACAUUUUCAAGUACAUGGUGAACUUUUCUCAAAAAUUGUUGGUGCAAACUUUGAAGGCAAUCACGCAUUCUCAGACAAUGCUUGUGCUAUUCUAAAAAUAUUAACAAAUUUAAGUAAAAAUUUCAUGUAAAUUCAGAAGAAUGCAACACCUUCUUUAAAAGAUUCUUCAUAUAAUUUUAAAAUAAUCACAUUUUUCUUAAUAAAAUGCUUGUGUUUCAAGUAAAAACACAAGAGCAAACACGAGAAAUUGCUAAAACAUGUAGGAGGGGUGCUCUAUGACAAACAACACGCAACGGCCGAACAUGGCCGUCCUAUGAUGGACGUGACUAUGCGUUUGGGCAACUAUUCGUCGUAGUGAGCGCCAAAUAAGAUGUCUCUAGACUUAUUCAAGUUACCAUGGACAAAGCUUGAAUUGUGUCGGAGCCAGAAUCCAAUACACACAGACCCAUCUAGUAGGAAACUUUGAAAUCAUUAGUUAAUGUGUACCCCUUGCAAAGGUCACUCGGACAUUCUCUGGUAAUGACAAGUGAUGCAUCACAUAUGUGCCAAUUAUUGCAAUUAGGGAGUUUUUGUGGGCUUUAUUUUCCCACACGAAGGGGUGGGUGGGUUUAUUUGUGCUUUUUAUAGAUUUUUUUUCAAAAUGAUUUAUCUCUUGAACCGUGCGUCCAAAUUAUGAACCAUUUUCACCUUUGCGCUCCUCACGUCGAGAUCUCAAAAAUUGAUACUACGUUCAUAGUUCUUGUCAAACUUUUGAAGGAUGAAAUAUGUGCUCCACAACUGUAAUAACUCGCGCUUCAAAUACGGUUAUGCUUUCAUGUGAGAAGCACAAUUGUGCUUUACUUGGGGAAGCAUAAAGGUCACUCAGACCUUCUCUGUUGCUGAAAAGUAGCGCACAGGAUAUGUGCCAGUUGUUGCAAUUGAGUAGUUUCUGUUGGAUUUUCCCCCACGCAUAGGGAGAGAUGGGUGGGUUUAUUUGUUCUUUUCAUAGAUUCUCUUUAUGAAACUAUUUAUCUCUUUAAUUGUGUUUUCAAAUUACAAACCAUCUCCACCUCUGCACUCCUCGCGUCGAGUUCUCAAAAACAUCCCAUGUUGAUAGGUUUUGACAAAAUUUUAUGGGUGAAGUAUGUGCUCUAAAACACUGUAUGAACCCUUGCUUCAAUACAACACUAAUUGUGCUUCAGUUUUAGGGAAGCAUAGUUGUACUUUCAUGCGAGAAGCAGUAGUGUUCUUCACCUUUGGGGGAAGUAUGCAGAAGUACAACUGUUGCUUCAUGCAAGCGCAUUUGUGCUUCAAUUUCUGGGGAAGCACAGUGUGCUUUCACGCAAAAAGCAUAACUAUACUUCAUGCUGAAGCACACACUCAUGUUAGAUGUACAAAAAUGAUGAGAAAAAACCAAAAAUGAAAUACCAAACAAAUCAGAAAAACCAAAAGAAAGACAAAAAAUUGUGCUGAUGAAAACACCCGUUGUGCGACACAUCGAGGCGCUGGAGCAUGCCACAUGGCGCACCGGGGCGCUCCGCCCUCGUACGCCUCGCUCACUACCAGGAUGCCGAGUUUUCGAUGCAAGCACUUUGCAAGGGGUAGCCCUCGAAUAGUAGCUUCCAAGAAGUUGCUAAUCUUCGCUCAUAGCAAAGAAUACAUGGUAUAAUGAAUGGAACAAUGAAAUAUGGGCUGGCCCAUGUAGUAGUUUAUUUAUUACAUAUGUUUCUUAUUUUUUGUUGAUUUUUAUGUUUUGUUUCCUUUUCCUAAGGUUGGUAGUGUUGUUCUUUUGUUCAUUUCAGUUUCUCUGUGUUUUCUCAUUCCUUUUCAUUUUUUAUUACGAGAAAUAUUUUUAGUUUAUGAAAAUUCAUAUAGAAAAUUCAAAUAAAUUGAGAAAUUUUUAGACACAUGCAUUUUUAGCAUAUGAAGGCUUUUUUCCGUACAUAAUGAAUAAAUAAUUUUAAAAAUGUAUGAACAUUUUCCAUACAAUAUUUCAGAAAUAUAUUGGAAUUAAAAUGUUUGAAUACAUAAAAAUAAUUUUACCUAAAUAAAAAAAGGAAGGCGAAUACCGACAAGACAUUUAUACCAACACAGCCAAUAAACCGGGAGCUCCUAUUGGGCGCUACAUAUGCAAGAAUUCCUCCCUGGUGCCUACUACAGUACCCAGUUGGGCCGGCCCACGAAACGCACACAACAUCAGAAAACAUAUAUCGUAGAAAACUGAAAAAAAUAAUAGUUAACUCCAGGUUUCAAACUGGCACAGUUGCAAUAACUUACGUGUUCACUGACCACUUGAGCUACCUGCCAUUAGUGAUAGAUAAUAGCGCCAAUUAGUACAUAAUAACAAUGUCGUCGUGCUGUUUUAUUGCACAGAACUGUACUGAUGUAUAUUUUUUGAAUUAUCUGACACAAAAAAUCAUGAAUUAGAAAAAGGUUCAUAUAUUUUCAAAAAAGUUCGUCAAUUUUCAGAAAAGUUCACCAACUUAAAAGAAAGUUCAUCAAAUUUUAAAAAUGUUCAUGUAUUGAAAAAAGUUCAUCAAAAUUGGAAAAAGUUCACGGAUUUUCAAAGAAGUUCAUUAAACUUGAAAAGCAAAUGAUAGAAUUUGAAAAAUAAGUUCAUGGAUUUUUGAAAAAAUUUCAUUGAAUGUUUAAAAAAGUUCACAAAUUUUGAGAAAAGUUCAUCGAUUGGCUGCUGGUACUGUCUUCCUCGUCGCCGUGCGUAGAAACAUCCGUCGGGCGCCGGGGGUAGCUGCCACAUUUGCUGGUUGCAGCAAAAAAAAAAGGCCCGGUCGUUGUCGGAAGUAGCUGUCUUUCUCGCUGGUUGGAGCAAAAGCACGGCCGCCGUCGGCAUUGGUGGCUGCUGCCGCCGUCGCCAGUUCCAGCACGGGGCUUUCUGGUUGCAGCAAAAACCAUGAGUGGUUCCGGGGUUGUUUGAUGGCUGCUCUGGCGUUUCCUCUCGCCACGGCCACAUCCACCUACCACUAUCACCACCGCUGCCGACGGGCACCCCCGCACCUACCACCGCCGCCGCCGCCGCCACGCUCGCGCCUACCGCUGCUCCUCACCACCACAGCACGCGCGCACACCGUCGCCCCCGUAUUCCCAUUGACAUCUCCCCGCAAAGCCGCGAAUGAAGAGACGCCUCAGAUUUUCAGAUCUAAGCGUCCCCGCGUGCGACGGGAGGAUCUCAGCAGAGGAGAAGGCGAUGGAGGAGAGCCACCGCAUGUGGAUGGAGAGGACGAUGCGAAGGCCAGGGCGUGGAGACACCCCGAAGAAGCUGGUGACGCGGAUCUGCAUCGAGGCGACAGAGGAGGAGAUGGCCGGGACGAUCCCCACGGAUUCCUCCUCCCCGGAAGAAGUGAUUUCCUAGGCGAGGGCAGAGAUGCACUCGCACAUCCCAGAGCAGAGGGCGAAGUGGCGAGCGUUCUGGUCGCUGCAGAGCUAAUCUCGCCAGCGAGAAGCCAUGGCUCCACCCCACCAUUGGAGCGGAGGAUUUCUGCCUCGAAUCGGAAUCAGAGGUUUGAAUUCGCCACCCCGCUACGAUGGGCUGGAGAACAAAAUAGGCGAUGUCUCAACUUCGUUGCAAAAAUCAACCCUCCUGAUCGUGCAAUCAAGGUCAAGAAGCGUCAUUCUCUGAAAUCGAGCGCAGUUGAAAAAGGAAUUUCUCCUGAUCCUGCUAUGGAGAAUGACAACCAAGGCCCACNNNNNNNNNNNNNNNNNNNNNNNNNNNNNNNNNNNNNNNNNNNNNNNNNNNNNNNNNNNNNNNNNNNNNNNNNNNNNNNNNNNNNNNNNNNNNNNNNNNNNNNNNNNNNNNNNNNNNNNNNNNNNNNNNNNNNNNNNNNNNNNNNNNNNNNNNNNNNNNNNNNNNNNNNNNNNNNNNNNNNNNNNNNNNNNNNNNNNNNNNNNNNNNNNNNNNNNNNNNNNNNNNNNNNNNNNNNNNNNNNNNNNNNNNNNNNNNNNNNNNNNNNNNNCGAGCACUAGGGGCAGUUGUGGGAGUAGGAUAUUAACCCCGAUCCCCACCCUCUCCUAGUCUGGAUCCGGAGAGACCAAACCCUACCCCGCUCGUUCGCCGCCGCCGACUGCCACCCAACAUCGGAGAACGAUUCCGCCACCCUCCCAUACACCACCAUCAGAGGAGUCGAUCCAAAGCUGUGUCAAGAAAUCGGAGCCAUGGCUGAAGCGCAAGGGAGAGGGCGCGGGCGGGGAAGAGGAGGGAACCCUAGAAGCAACAAACAGGGGGGCCAAACAUCAGGGGAUCUUGGAGCUCCACCCCCAGGUAAUUGGCCCCAGUUUUAUCCCCAAUAUGGUCCUCCUCCCCCCAAUUCCAAAUCAGCUUUGGCUUCCCUGGAGGACCCCAGAUCCCACCCCCUUGGUACCAGGGAGGUGUCAGGACCCCGACUCGAUGCCACAUAGAUCUAGCAUGUAACACUUCAUAUCACUUUGCGGCCUCACGCACGGUAUUCCCACGGGUGUCGCCUUACCUUUACCCGGGACCGUUUGCGCCUUUUGGCACACGUAUAUGACAGUGUCGCUAGCAUCCAUAUGAUAAGGAGCCCGGGCUGACAUGGCUAGUCGUAAACCCAAAGUGGCACAAACUUACAGGGACAGGCAUCCAUGACCCAGCAUCGAACGUGUCGGUCAUCAGCGAGUGAAUCCAGGCUGUAGCACUGGGCUAGCAGGACUCCGGUGAACCGGGCUGUAGCGGGCUAACAGGACUCUGGUUUUCAUCGCGUGACAUUUCCCCGAAGGGACAGACACAGGAACGAAGAAGGACACAUGCCGGCCAGCCUAAGUGUUCCGGAGCAGUAGCAAGCUACCAUGGCUCGGUGGAGACACUAGGAGACAUUUCCCCGUAAGAGAGGCUACUAAAGAUAAACAACUAGAUGGUCAGAUCCCACACAUACCAAGCAUUUCAAUAACAUACACACAAUAUGCUCGAUAUGUGCAAAUACAACAUGGCAUCACAACAUGACCCUAUGACUCAAGUAAUCUAUUCAAUAGGCUCCGAGGAGCGAGAUAUUACAAACAUGGGUCUCAUGACCCAACAUUCAGAGCAUACAAAUCAAGCACAAGCGGAAGCUAUCAUGUCUGAGUACAGACAUCUAUAAAUGAAAAAGGCUGAGAAGCCUGACUAUCUACCAAAUCCUGCCGAGGCACAAGAUCGUAGCUGAGGUAUCAAGCUAAACGUCGAAGUCCACGUGAAACUACUAGCGAGACCGAAGUCUCUUUGCAAAAACAUAAAAUAGGCAAACGUGAGUACAAAUGUACCCAGCAAGACUUACAUCAGAACUAUCUACAUAUGCAUCAUUAUCAACAAAGGGAUGGUGGGGUUUAACUGCAGCAAGCCAGCUUUGACUCGGUGGCUAUCCUGAACUACUACUGCAAGCGACUCUUAUGAGGUGGCGCACACGAGUCCACAUAUUCACCAUAUCAAUACACCACUAUGGAUCCGCUUCCGUCUCCCUACGAGAACGCCAUCCAUAGCACUCACGCUUAUCUUGCGUAUUUUAGAGUAUCCACUUUCACUUGUCUAUGAACUGAUAUAAGCAACCCAGAAGUCCUUUUCCGCGGACACGGCUAUUCGAAUAGAUGAUGAUAACCCUGCAGGGGUGUACUUCUUCAUACAUGUUUCCACCACUUAGCGUCUGCACACGACAUGUGCUCGGCAGACUUCAAGCGAAAGCCGACGUGGGUGUAGACCACGACCUACCUAAACACUCAAGUCUCUAGUCCAGGUUUAUCGCCUAUUCGGGUUCCAUCCAUGAGGAGAUCCGGCCGGAGUUUCGCUCACAGCCCCAAACGAUGUGAACAGGGUUCCGUGACACCAAACGGGCGCCCGGUUUACCCGGCCACGUGCCUACCGCAUCACAGCCCACCCCUACGGUCAGCGCUGUCCACGGCCUCCAGCAUACUACAAACACCAGAAACUACUUGCAACUCCUGGACAGAGGACAAGGGUGAAUAAGAAGUCGAGCGGGGUCAUAUUUCAGGGCCCAAUGUAUGGUAGUAGCUGAAUCAUGGAUCACAAACACAGAACUCAGUUCCUGAGGACGGCUACAAUGAGACAACCCACCAUGUACUCCUACAUGGCCUCUCACCGCUACCUUUACCAAAUCGUGUUCACACAAUUAGCUCACACACAGUAGGACAUGUUCACACGCCUCUGAUUCAUCCCCGAUGAAUCAGACCUGACUCAACUCUAAGCAGUAGCAGGCAUGACAAACAAACAUGAAUGAGUAGGCACAACAGGGCUCAAACAACUCCUACUCAUGCUAGUGGGUUUUAUCUAUUUACUGUGGCAAUGACAGGUCAUGCAGAGGAUGAAGGGGUUCAGCUACCGCAGCAAGUAACAGAUGAAUCGGUGUUGUCCUAAUGCAUUAAAAGAGAGCAGGAGCGAGAGAGUAGGAUUGUAUCGGAAUGAACAAGGGGGUUUUGCUUGCCUGGCACUUCUGAAGAUAACCUUGAGUCUUCAUCAGUGUCAACGAUCACAUCAUCGGUAUCGCGUCUAUCGAGAGGGGACAAAUACCGGCAACACAGAAAGGAACACAAUCAAUGCAAUGCACAAUAUGAUGCAUGCUCAUGACAUGGCAAUAUGAAUGUGUUUUGAGCUAAUGCAACUAGCAACAGAUUAAAUGAAGUUGGUUUGAAUACAAGAUUCAAAUUCAAACUCCAUAUGUGAUUAUUUAAAUGCCCUUUAUUUGAUUUGUGCUAAACAGCAGCUAUAAGUUGUUCUAACAUGCAUGAAAAUGGUACAGAUGGAUUCCUUGAAUUUUUCUGAUAAUUUUUCAUAUAUAAAUUAUUUAAUUUGGAGUUACGGUUAAUUUUCUAUGAUUUAUUGAAGUUUAGGGCAUUUUCUGAAAUUAUAAAUCAUUUCCUAAUUUAUUUAAUUCCAGAAAUACUUUACUGCGUCAGCAUGACAUCGGCAUGACGUCAGCAAGUCAACAGGGGCCGGUCAGGGUCAAACCUGACGUGUGGGGUCCACACGUCAGUGGCACAGGGGCUAAUCCCGCGUUGACCCGGGCUUUGACCCACUACGGGGCCCACUGUCAGUGGCUGUGGGGGGUGUUUAGAGCGUCAUUAGUGCUAAUUAGGCGUGCCACAUCGGCAGUCGCCGGGGUUUCGCCGGCGGCGACCAUUCCGCACGGCGGGGGAGCGCCGGACUUGCGCUAGGGGCAUCGGAUCGACGCGCCAAGGGCACCAGGAGGUAGCCCGCGCCCGUGCGCAUCUAGGGGAACCAACGGAAGGUGCGGGGGUGGCCGGAAUCAGCAACGGCGGCGAGCGAGGCGGCGGCCGGAGCUCGGGCGAGGUCGGGUUUGGCGUUCGGGGGCACGGGAGGGAAGCUAGUGGCGGCUACGGGCUCCUGGAGACGUGUUGGGUGCGGUGGUGUGCUCGGCUUCGAGCUGCAACGGCUCCAGCCACGGCGGUGACGAGGCACGGCGGCGGCGAGCUCUCGGGUCCGGCGGAAGCAAUGGCUAGAGCGGCCCAACGGCAUGGGAAGAAGAGGGGAACGGUUCAGUGGCUCACCGCGAUUCUUCUGGUGCUGCUGGCGAGGCAGGGGAGGCACGGGGUCCGGCGAAUCGACGGAGGGGAGCUUCGGUGGCCGGCGACGGAACGGCGAUGGUGGCGGCGUUGCAGGGCUUCCGGAGGGCCGUGGGUCGGUGGGGAGGAAGGAGGGGGUCGAGGCGGAGCUCGUGGGUGUGUCGGAGAGGCUAGGGGUGGCCGGUGGCCACGAGAGAGCUCGUCGGCGGCGGCGGGUGUGUUCGGUGGCUGCGCGCGAGAGAGCCAGAGGAGGAGAGGAGCUCGGGGAGAGAGUGAGAGGCCUGGGGGGGGUGCGUGGCGUCGCGGACGGGGUCCAGGGCAACGAGAGGAAGCAGGAGGUGGCUAGGGGGGAAGCAGGAGGUGGCCGAGGCAGCGUCGGCGAGCGCCACGCCUCGCCUCUGUUCGUCCUCCUGGCAGAGGAGGAAGAGGACAAAGGAGGAGGAGGUGGGCUGGGCCGGCUGGGGGAGCUGGGCCGGUGGUGGCGCCAGGUAAGGUUUCUCUUCUCUCUCUGUCUUUUUCUAAUUAUUUCAGUUUUCUAUUUGCAGGUUUGUUUUGAAUUUGGUUUUGAAACCAAUUCAAUUUAUUUUGCUUCUGACAAUAUUUUUGGGAGCUAAAAGAAUUAAAACAAUGCUCCACAAAAAUAUUUCAGAAUUAUUGGACCUAUAUUUAUUUAACAGUAGAUAUAAGUCCAAUUCAAAUAGCUAUGAUUUAAAUUCAAAGUCCCAAAAUAAAUCCUUAAAAAUGUUCAAUAUUUUGGUUGGGACCAGAACCCUUACCAAAAAUUAUCAAACAUUUAAGAAGAGCCUUUUGGAGCAAUGAAUAAGAUUUCUAGGGUUUUUGCCACUCUUUUAUUUAGGGUUUUGAGGCUUCCAAUAUUCCUCAAUUCAAGUUUCAAAAAUAUAGACAUGAUGCACACAUGAAGCUAACCUAGAGCAAUGCCAGAAGCUAGGGAUGUGACAGGAGGAUUCUUCUCUCCCCCGCAGAUGAAUCAGUGGAGAGGCCCCCUGGCAUCUGGGGUGGUGGACAGAACCAAGAUUCAGGUCCCUCUGACAGGAAGUUUAGUAAUCAGCAAUAGAAGGGGCAACAAGGGCAGAAUCCUGGAAAACAAGGCAACUCAAGCUUUGAUCAGAAGCAGCAAAAAUCUGGCCAGGAGCAAGGUUUCAGUUCCUCUGUGAGUGGCAACCAGCAAAAGAAAGGGAGGAACAUGACCAAAGCAAAGCAACCCCUCAACAAGUUGGAUGAUCUGAAUGCUACAGAGUAUGCAGAUAUCAUCUUCUAUAGUUGUGGAGAACCUGGACACCACAAGACCAACUGCCCAAAACCACCUGCCUGCUUCAUAUGCAAAGUGGUGACACACAAGGUGGAGGACUGUCCAGUAAGGAACAAGCCAAGAAAUCCAGCAAAAUUUGUUGGUAGUGGGGCCCCUGGACUUGGAUACCACCAGAUUGAUGUCCCUGAUGUGAAUGAACAACACAUUGGAGUUAAGAGGAAUAUAGGAAUUGUCUAUGUAGAUCCAGGACAGGUCACGAAGAAGGAACUGGCCCACAACUUCUCAUUGAUUUACAAGACCAAUUGGCCAUGGCAGAUAAGAGUACUUGAUGAUUGGACUUUUUUGGUCAAAUUCCCACCUCACAUCCUAGUUGAGUGUAGCCAGAUAUCCUCUUUUUGGAUUGCCUGAGUUAGAAGGAGUCACAGUGAAUGUAGAAGUGUGGAAAGGGGUACUAGAACACCAUAGUGAACUGCAAAAGGUAUGGCUUCAGCUGGAUGGGGUUGCACCAGCCUAGGCUAAAUGGGCAGUAUUGGAGCAAUUUACAUCUGUGUUUGGAAUCCUGAUUGAUGUUGAUUGGCAAGGGAAUUUCAAGUCAUUCUUUGAGGUGGUCAGGAUCAAGAUCAAAUGUAAAGAUCACACCAAAAUACCCCCUGAAAGGUUGUUUGGCAUAGGUGACAAGCUGUUCAGGAUUGGGAUUACUAUAGAACCACCAGAAGAUGACCCAGAGCUAGAUGACCUGUUGGAAGAUGAACUAGCUGACAAUGCUAAUGGUAACAUGUUAGAGAAGGAUAACAAGGAGGAAGAGAGUACCAAUAGAGAGAAAGGAAACAUUGGAGGAGGUUCCACUCCCUCCAUCCAAAGUAACAAAUCUGCCAACAGUGCCUCAAGCCAGAACUCAAAACAGAAAGUAGUUGACUACUGAAGCAACUACAAGAGCCAAUUAGCAUGGAGCAGAGCUACUACAUCCUGCAAGGAAUGGAACUUGAAGAGGAUGAGGAUGAUAUGGAAGAUCUGCUAACUGAAGAUGGGAAUGCAAGAGAUAGAGAUGGAGAAGAGGUGAUUUUCAGCCCCCAGUUUGAACCAGAAAAUGGCCCCAACCCUCAGCCUCCUACUGAUGAGACAGUAAUUCAGCAUGGGCACAAAGAGGGGAAAAACAAAUGGGGCCCAGUUCAAGCAUUCAGGAAAAGCAGCAGGGUUGAAGUGGGAGGCAGAACCAUGCUGGAGAUUGCAAUCAACACUAAGAAUGUGCAUAACUUGGAAGGCACAAAGAAUGACACCAAAGGUACCAUUGUUAAAAACUCAUUUGAGCUUUUUAGUAACCCUAAUUUCCUAGAAGUAGCUAAGAAGAUAGGAAUAGAGGUAGAUACUAGUUACAAUUCCACUGUAGAAGCUAGUUCUUCCAGCUCUCUGCCUUUGUCUGAAGGACAAAAUGCAGGGGAAUUUGAGCAAUUUAAUGCUGGUUGAAUAGUAGUGCUAUUGAUAAGCAAAAAAGUAAGAUGGAUGUAUUUUGCAAUAUGACCCAACUAGUAGAGAAGCCCGAAGGGCCCCCAGAUAUUAGUAGUCUAAUUGAUUACCCUAGACUCACAAAAAAGCCUGGGCAAAGGAGCCUGGAGGGCUCCCUACCCAAAAAGAACUCAUAGAUUAUGGUGGUUCCCCUGGUACCCCUUCAGAGUUCAAUGUGAUCCCUGCUCAAAUACUCUGUCUCAUGCAAUCUAGUGCAUAAGACAAGUGCAAAAACCUUUAGGUUCAUAGCAGUCUAUGGAUCACCAUAUGAGGAGGGCAAGGAUGAAUUCAUCUCUGAACUCCAUAGUAUGUUCAUUGAUGACCACCCACCCACUAUUAUGGGGGGACUUCAAUUUUGUUAGAUAUCAGAAAGAUAAGAACAAUGGGAGGAUUAACCAUAGCUGGAGUGACAAAUUCAAUGCUUGGAUAUAAAUUUGGAGUCUGCUAGAAAUUAAGAUGUCUGGGAGAUAAUUCACCUGGGCAAAUAAUCAAGAUAACUUGGUUAUGAGUACCAUAGAUAGGGUUUUUUGUACCACUGAACUAGAUGCAAUGUUUCCUUUAAGUAGUUCUCAAGCUCUCCCUAGAACUGGUAGUGAUCACACCCCUAUCCUGUGGGAUUCUGGUGUGGAUGGUACCCCAAAAAACUCAAGCUAUAAGUUUGAGAAAUGGUCGCUACUAAGAGCUGAAUUUAAAGAGCUUGUGGAGGGAAGUUGGUUUGCUCCUGUCAAAUGUACCACCCCCAUGGACAUCUGGCAGGAAAAAGUUUAGUAGAGGAUGGAGUAGAAAUGUAGAUGCUGAGAUUAGGAAAGCCAAGCAGGAGUUAGAAGAAGAGUAUGAUAAACUUGAUAUUAAAUCAGAAACUGUGCAACUUUCUGAGGUAGAAAAUUUAAGAAUGAAAGAACUCCUCUCCAGACUCCAUAACCUUUGGAUUGUAGAAGUUAAAGCUAGACAAAGAUCCAGGGAUAGGGAUAUCCUUGAAGGAGAUAGAAACACUAGGUAUUUUCAGGCUGUAGCAAAUCAAAGGAGGAGGAAAACACUUAUUAACAAGCUGGAAGGUCCUGCUGGCACUGCCACAGAUGUCAAAGACAUGUUGGGUAUAGCCACAGACUACUAUAAAGACCUCUUUAAGAAAGAAGAUAGAAAGGGUUUUAGAAUCAAUAAUAAUUUCUUUGCUGUUGAAGAAAAGGUCAAUGACUUAGAAAACCUACAAAAAACUUUCUCUGAAGGAGAAAUUAAGGAGGCCAUCUUUGGUUCAUACUCUGAUGGAGCCCCUGGUCCAGAUGGUCUAUCCUUUAUAUUCCUCCAAAAAAAUUGGGAAGUGAUUAAGAAAGAUGUGAUAGCCAUGUUUGAUGAUUUCCAUAAAGGGGAAUUGGACAUCUAUAGGUUAAACUUUGAUGUGUUGACCCUGAUCCCAAAGGAGAAAGAGGCUACCAGCAUGAAAAAGUUUAGGCCCAUUAGUUUGAUCAAUUGUAUCUUUAAGGUUUUUGCCAAAGUACUUACAAAUAGAUUAGCUAUGCUGAUGAAUAGGCUUACAUCUAGUAACCAAUCAGCUUUCAUAAAAGGGAGAUUUAUCCUGGAGAGUGUAGUCACAGCACAUGAGGUGCUGCACUCCACUGCUAAAUCUGGCAACCCAGGUCUAGUAUUAAAACUAGACUAAGAGAAAGCUUUUGACAAAGUUAACCUAGACUUUCUUAUUGAAAUUCUAGAAAAAAGAAACUUCAAUCCCCUUUGGGUGACUUGGAUCAAACAGGUCACACACAUGGGAUCGGUUGGAGUGAAAAUUAAUGGAAUAGAAGGCAACUACUUCCUUACAGGAAAAGGCCUGAGACAGGGAGACCCCUUGUCCCCCCUUCUCUUUAACUUGGUAGUAGAUGUUCUGAGCAAGAUGCUCUCCAAGGCAGCUUCUGAUAAGCUGAUUAGUGGUCUAUGUUCUGAGUUAAUUCCCAAUGGGGUCAUAUGCCUACAAUAUGCAGACGACACCAUCCUUUUCAUGGAGAAGGAUGAAAACAAAACUAAGAACAUGAAGAUGGUCCUCACCUGCUUUGAGCAAGUUUCAGGCAUGAGAAUCAACUACUCAAAGAGUGAGAUCAUCCCAAUAGAACUUUCUUCUGAAGAAACUAAAUCCUUUGCAGAUAUAUUAGGAUGUAGAGUAGGGGCUUUCCCAAUAAAAUAUUUGGGAAUUCCUUUACACUAUGAUAAACUUAGGAGGGAGGAUAUACAACCCCUGAUAGACAUAAUCCUCAAAAGGAUGUCUGGCUGGAGAGGCAAACUCCUCUCCUAUGCUGCUAGGCUGACUUUGAUUAAAACCUGCCUGGCUAGCAUUCCCAUAUACCUCAUUUCUUUUUUCAAUUCCAAAAUGGGCUCUAGAUAUGAUCAACAGUCACAUGGCCAAUUGUUUGUGGAAUGACUUUGAAGGAAAUAGAAAAAAUCACCAGGCCAACUGGCACCUAGUUUGUACGGGGAAGAAACAUGGGGGUUUAGGGGUGCCUAACAUCAAAGAUGUUAACCUUUGUCUCCUUGGGAGCUGGGUAAGUAGAUACAUCAAAGAUGAAGGCAAGCUUUGGAAACAAAUAGUGGACAAGAAAUACAUCCACAACUUCCCUAAUAUCUUUGAUAGUAAACCCCAAAACCCUUCCAGAUUUUGGCAAGGGGUCAUGUGGGCUGCUAAGGCUUUGAAAUUUGGAUAUAAAUGGGUGUUUGGAGAUGGAUAGAAAAUCAGAUUCUGGGAAGACAUCUGGUUUGGUACAUCUCCCCUCUCAGUCCAAUUCUGGCCACUUUACACCAUCUGUCACCAACAAUGCUCUACCAUAGCUGAGAUCUGGGACAACUAUGAGAUUAAACUCACCUUUAGGAGGAUUUUCACACCUACUAUGAUGGAGCAUUGGUAUGCCCUAGAGCAAAUCAUUAGGAGUACCCUACUUUGGAAGGAGGGUCACUCUCUCAUUUGGCAAUAUGAAGCCAAAGGGAAAUACACCACUAGUUCACUUUAUAGUAUCAUCAACUUUAGGGGGGUCCAGCCUAUGUAUAUACCAGCGAUGUGGUCAAUAAAAACCCCACCCAGAGUCCAGGUGUUUUUGUGGCUACUCUCCCACAACAAGCUGAUGACGAAAGAGAACCUGGCCAAAAGAGGCAUAGAAAAAGCCCCAGAAUGUGUAUACUGCUAUGAAAAAGAGUCCAUUACACACCUAUUCUUUGAAUGUGUGGUGGCCAAGCAAAUCUGGAUAGAAAUAUCAGAGUUUUUUUUGAUGCAGAAUUAGGAACUAACUACUUGUCUAUUGCUAGAUUUUGGCCAGCUAACAAGAAACAUAUUGCUUUAAAUUCAGUCUGUGCAUGUGUUCUAUGGGCUAUGUGGAAAAAUAGAAAUCCACAUGUCUUUAACAAUGCUAUAUGGACUGAUGUGAAACGGAUAUGGAGGAGAGUGCUAGGACAAUCCAGGAGAUGGCUGAUCUUGUUCGGAGGACCUGCCUUGACAAAACUGGAGGCGUUCGUUCAGAAAAUCUCCUGCAUCCUAGAUGCCCCCUCCAGAUUCUGGCAGGUUAACUGUCGAAAGGGAAGACACUGAAGGUGACUCCGAUCACUCGCUUCUCCUCUCUCGCUCGAAGACCGAUGAAGCUCCAAUCAUAAAAGGGCCAGCAUACACAAUCUCUCCACCAAGAAGCCCUCGCGAAAGCACCUGUAAGGCGACGCUGCUCAGCCCCGUCACCCCUCUGGAGCUGGGUGGAUCACCGGCUAAGCCAUGGAAGAAGCUCAAGGUGGUGCCUAUGACAGACGUGGCGAAGGAAAUGGUAUCGCUGGGAACUGCAUAAUGUGAUGCGCUAACUGAAGAAGUGGAAGAAAUCUGGUCUCCAGGAAAGGGAGGGGAGAGAAGUGUUGGUUAUUACAGUUUUGUGCACAAAUUUGUAAUAAGAGGAAACUCUGCUUAGUCCUUUAUGUAGAACUGAUCUGCUGAUCAGAUAUCUUUGUAGUUUUUCUUUUCGUUCUAGCUCGUUCCUGGACAUUCUUGCCAUGACUGUAAUGGUGUUACUUUCCUGGUGUCAUCUAUAAAAUGGGGCCGGGGGGCUCAAAACCCCCUUUUCUCUAAAAAAAGUUCAUCGAUUUGGGAAAAAGUUCAUGGAUUUUUCAAAAAAAGACAUUCGUCGAUUUUGAAGAAAAAUUCAUCGAUUUACAAUCAUGCAUUUAAGUAAAAUAAAAAAAUAUAAAAAGAAAAAAGAAAAGAAAAAGUAAGAAAAAAAUAAAUACAAACUGGAGAAAGAGUAAAAUGAACGCAAGAACUUUGUAAGCAUAAGCUCGCGGUUGCCCAAGUGGUUGGCGUGGUGCGCUGGGAAUGUACAGGACUCGGGUUCGAUUUGUUGCUGCACACCAUUUUGUGCACUUUAAAUAUAUAAAGCAAAACUCUAACAUGGGCCAUCCCAUCUCGCGACAGAGGGAGUGCGCUGCAGGCUCCCGUUUGCAAAAAACACCUGUAACGGGCGGCUGUGGCGCUAAAUAGGAAAUCCCUAACAAACCAGUAAGAAUUUUUUUUUGUGAUAAAACAUACAGCGGCAGCAAAACGGGCUGGCCCAUUCCCGUGGGGUGCGUUUUGGGGGGCUAUUCCGUACUAUGGAGCUCCUCGCAAAUUCCUAGUUCCCUCCCAAUGCGGGAAUACUUCGCGUUUCGUAUUUUUUUGCCGGGAUACUUCGUGUUUCGUAGGAAACACACACUUUCCUCUAGCUAAGAGGCCAUACCACACCACAAACGUGAUUUGAAUACUGUAGAAGGUUUUGGCCUGUUUCUUUUUUAUUUUUUAUCUUCCGGUUAUAUUGGGUUUUCAUUUCUAUUUAAUUUUUGUUUGUGCUCUUUCUUGUUAUUCUCUUUCUCUUUUUGCUUUCUUUUAUAUUCCUUUGCGUUUUUUUUCUUCAAGUUCCUAUUUUCUUUUCCUUCAUUUUGAUUUCUUUAUCCUUUUUCCCUCCAACCAGAUUCAGGUUUUAAAAUUUGUGAACAUUUUAGAACUCAAAAUUUUGAAAAAUUCAUGAACACUUUUUUAAAUACACGAACAUGUUGUAACAUAUGUGACAUUUAUUUAUUUUACAAUUUUCAUUAAACAAUUAAAGAAUUUUAAAAUUUAUGAAUUUAUUUUCAAAAUCGUUAAGAAUUUAUUAACAUUUUCAAGAUCUCUAAUUAUUCUUAAAAAUUGUACAUUAUUUUAAAUUUUUCAUAAGUUUUUUAAAUGAACUCGUUUUAGAAGCUUGAAUAUUAUUAAUUUAAAAGGGCUGCAACAUAAGUAUGAUUCAAUUCAUAAUGGUACUGAAUAAGAAACGGAUGGAAUCCAACCAAGCUGAAAAACCAGCCAAAAAAUUGGCCAAAUAUAUACAAAAAAUCAUCCUUGUGCGAUAGCACAUAAAGUGCAUGAACCAGGUCAGCCCACCCCAGCGGGGUGCACUUUUCCUGCGAAGAUUAAGCAUCCGCCGCCGCACUACUAGGAAAAGGCCUACUAAUGGCGCACCUAAUUUGGCCAUUAAUGGCGCAUUAGUGGUGCGCCAUUAGUAUAUUUUACUAAUGACGCACCACUGGUGCGCCAUUAGUAUAUGGUAUACUAAUGGCGGACCUCAAAUGCGCCAUUAAUAUAUACAACAGUGCGCCAUUAGUAUGCCUCCCAGGGGGCCAUGUAUACCCAGGUGCUUUGGCAUACUAAUGGCGCACAACAGCAAGAUGCGCCAUUAGUAACUUCGGCAUACUAAUGGCACACUGUUUAAUGAUGCGCCAUUAGUAUCCUUUGGCAUACUAAUGGCGCACUGUGAUGUGAUGCGCCAUUAGUAUGAAUAUUAGGGUUUUUUUAUUUUUUUAUUUUCUGUUUUUUGCACAGGUUACAAAAUGUAUACUUGGACAAAAUAUAGACAGCACACAUCAACAACAGAUUCAUCUAAUACAAUAGAAGAUUAGUCUCUGAAUACAAUUCAUCAUAUUAGUCUCUGAAUACAAUUCAUCAUAUUAGUCUCCGAAUUGAAAAGACCGAACAAAGAUAGAACAUUAUAUUACAAGUCUCGAGACCGCGAGUAGCGAGUUUGUCUUCACAUUACAAGUCGAUAUCGAUCAUCUAAACUACCAUCACAUAGAAGAGAGCUGCGGUCAUCACGAUGAGCAUCAUCACGAUGAAACUCGUCUUCAUCCGGUUCCUCCAACGCUCCCUCCCCUCUCCCGCUAGAUAGCGGGCGUAUCUAGAUUCGGCCUCGGCCCUAGUGGUGUACCCUUUGUAACUGUUACCGCUGAAUCGGUGAACCUGUCUCCGACACUCCUCCCAGUUGUCGUAGACUCCGGAAACCUUACCCUUGUACACGACAUACGACGGCAUCGCUAUGCACUAGCCAAACGAAAUGUUAGUACCAAUUCACAGACAAUACAUAAGCAAUAUAUAAGUAUGCAACAGAGCGAUCGAAAGAGAAAAGCAAGACAUGAAUAGCAUCGAUUACAUCUAAGUUGAACGACUCUCGAAACCAAAGAGACAUACUACAAGUUCAUUAAAGUUUAAUUACAACAUGAGCCAAUCGAUGUUUCAGAACUAGACACAGCAUCACUGCUUUCGACUCGACUCAAGGGACCGGAGCGUGGAUGGAGCCGCCGUCUAUCGUGGGAGUCAUGAAAGAAUGGGCGUUGUCAGCCUGCAUUUGUAGCAUUGUGUCGAUGUCACUGUUGGACGGUUGAUUUCUGAGGUAGAACUGCCCCGAGGUACGAAGGACAUCUUGAUGGAUGAUUUCCGCAAACUCCGACUGGAUGCGAAAGAAUUCUUGUCUGAUGUCCGCGCCCUGGAUUGCCGACACGCUCGCGGCCCAAUCUUUGAGUUUACUCGGUAGCAGAAGUUGAUGAUGGUCCCAUACGAUCGCUCGCAUGUGAUGGAUCGCGUAGUAGGCACCCUUCUGACCGCCAGGCGGCUGCUUGACGCAGCAGAACAUCGUAUUGUGGGAGAACACGUGCUUGCCGUACUUACGAAUAGGCCUGGUGAAGGUGCCUCCAGAUUUGGCGUAGCCGGGGAGAACAUCAUCAAGAACCUUCUUGACAUUUGUGUAGUCUACGUUCGACUGACGGUCCGGGUCGAAAUACGUGGCCAUGGAAUAUUUGGGGCUUAGGAGGAUGAGCGUGCAAUGUGUGUCACUGCAGAAAACACGGAAUGUUAAAAGAAGAACGAUCGAAAUCUAAGAAUUCAUAUGUUACGGGCCGGUUGAGGGGAGGACUUACUCGGGAAAGUAAGGCACGAGGAAGUUAUCCUUAUCUUGGUUUGCUAGAAUGGCGCCUUCGAGGUAAGAACUCGUGACUUGCCGGUCCCCAGCGCUGCCCAAGAUCUUGGCAUGCAUGUAGAAGGGGUCGACUAUCACGAUGUCCGGGGUCUUGUCACGAAUGAUCCGCAUGUCCAUACUCAGCAAAAAUAGCCGAACGAAGGUGUAGUGCAGUGGAUGAAGGUUCAACAUAGCGUGGAUGUCAUCAAACCGCAGGACGAUCGUACGCCUGAUGGAGUUAUCCACAAAGCUCUUGCCCUCUAGCACCUUGGCCGCGAAAACCGGGUAUGCCACAUCCUUCUCUCUGAGACGCCGCUUCUCCAAAGAAAGAACACUGUCAUGCAGACUCCGCAUAGCACCGGUUGCAGCAUUGAGCAUAUUUGUCGGUAGCAUCGCCCUACCCGCCACAUGCACCCUCCUCGAGAUAUCCUCAAGUGAAGGUGGCCCGUCCUGAGCACGGAUUGUACUCAGUGCCGGCUGGCUCGCACCCUUGUUAGUCUUUCUUUUGUGUGCCUUCUUCUUCUCCUAUAAUGGGACCGAGUUCUGCUCACAGACCGCCUUCUUGAGUGUGUUUGGGCUGAUAAUAUUUCGCACCUCGCCUAUCUGAGGCUCGGUGAAGUCGGCAGCUGGAGGCGUCUCCUGAGAGCUGAACGGCAGACGACGCCUGUUGCAACUUGGCUUCUCCACGGUACCAGCUAGAUCGCGCACGUCUUUUGCUAGGUUGGGUUCUUGAGAAGGAGGCCCCAUGAAGUCGCCAUCGUACCCAUGUUCGGCAAAGUACUGAUCGACGUUGCCAAAUGUAUCGUCGUCGUCGUCAUUCUGAUCCUGUGCCAUAUGCAUGUUUGGAUCCAGUGGCAUAGGGAUUUCCGGCACCGUUGCGGCGGUCUUGCCAUGGGGCCAACUUGGCGCCGGCAUGACUGGCGGUGUUGUCUUUCGGGUGGUGUCCCCCGCCCCCAAACGAAUCUGGCUCUUCGGCCAAAGCAGGGGCCAGCUGAGGCAGGCGCUGAGGGUCAUCACGUCAUCAUCAUCGGCCCCGACGGGUCGAAUCAGAGGUAACAACUCGUCGCAGCCUGGCAGCACCCGAACCAGUUCAACCCUAAACAAGUUGGGUGGCAUCUGGGUACCGUGGAACAAGGGGUUGCCCGGUUGAACGAUUUUGCCCUUGGAGACAUCGACCAACUCGUUGUUCACGAAGUGCAGGAGAGUGCACGGAACAUCGGCGGCGCCCUGCGAAAACAUGUAGGGCGUCAGGGAUGCCCAGUCAAAGGCAAGGAGAUGAAGUCCUCGACCGAGAGAGGCUUAAUUAGUUACCGUGAUGAUGGCGUCGAGCUCGGCUAAUGUCGAGGCACCACCAACGACGGGCGUGCAGUUGACGGAGGGGCCGCUUGCUGCAGAGGUGCCGGCCGGCGUACACCCGGGUGCAUUAAGCUCCCGUGCCGGCGUCGGAGACACCAAUGCCGCCUCCGCCGGAGACACCAAUGGCCCCUCCAUCGCAUUCUGCGAGUUGCUGGCCGUGAAGCUAGGAAUCGGGGGCGGCCCCUGUUGGCCGCCCGCAAUCCACGCACUCAACCCUUGGAUCAAGGUAGGCACAAUGGCGGUGAUCAUCGCUCCAAGUUGUUGUUGCACUUGCUCUUGGACAAUCUCCGGAAUCCGCGCCACCUGUGCCUUGAGUUCUUGAACCUCGCGCGCCUGGCUUUCCGAGCUGGUCUUUUUCUCCUUCCGCACACCAGCGGUAUAGUAUGACCCCCAUUUUGUGGACAAGCCUUUGCCGGCCACACGACUAGCUGACAUCGGCUUACUGAGCUUAUCCUUGUUCUUCAUUACAUUCAACGCCCUAUUUAGAGUGGUGUCCCAAGGGUUGCUCUUAGUCGACCCCGCGCUACUGCUUUCAGUCGCCUGCGAAAGGAAUGUGAACCAUUUAGAAAUUUGGCUUCAUUAAUUAGAAUGCAACCAUAUGGAGCUAAUUACGCGGGGGUGUAUUCCUUACCAGAACAAGCUCAAGCGCCCUGGUCUUCAGAUCCGUGGUAAGCUCCUUUGUUAUCGGGUCCUCCUUGUACCGGGCCCUGACAUAGUUCCUGGUCUGCUUGUUACCGCUGUAUUUCUCGAAGCGGGGCGGUAGGCCUUGCUCGGCACGCUCCGCGUCCUCCUUGUCCCAUAUAGGCUCCGCCACUCUGUAACCGCCGGGACCGAGUUUGUGUUCCCCUAAGUUCAGCUCCCGCAUUUCUUUCCCCCACUGACUUGAUUGGGAGUUUGCGGUGCUCGAGCAAUUGAUCUUGAAGUCGUUGUAGUCAUUUUCGAUGAUCGAAGGAUUUUUCUCCUUGAUCUUCUCAUAACUCUCACCUUUCUCGAUCAUUCUCUUCACAUUGCUUUUCCAAGUAGACAGGGCCUUGCUCAUCUUCAUGAGGGCAGCAUUGUUCACUUUAUUUCCUUUGAGGCUUGUGUUUUCAAAAUCAGCAAGGAACUUGUAUCAUUCGUGCAGCUUCGUGAAGAGGAGGUUGCGCAAAUUCCCUCGGUCAGGAUGCCUCAGGUUCUCGGUGUUGAUCGAGACGGUGCUCCGGAGAAUGCACCCGAGCUGAAGCGAGUACCCCUUGACUAUUCGUUCGGGCGCCGUUGGAUUCCCGUCGGAGUCCACUUCAGUAACUUCCUCCUUGAGGGUGCAGAGCACGGUCGGGCGCCGGUCCUUCCGUUGCCUCUUCGGUUGGUUGCCAUCUGUGCGUGCGCCGCCAUCAUCAGUGGUGGCAUCCUCGGCGGCACCAUCAGUGGUGGCAUCAGUGGGGUCAUCCUCGGCGGUACCAUCAGUGGUCUCAGGAUCAGUGGGGAAGGCGGCGUCCUCAUACAAGUGAGGUUGUUCCUCCAUCUCCUGGGAUAGCUCCCAGAAUGCCUUGCCGCCCGAACCUCCGGCCUCAUCGUUGUUGGCCAUGUUUCUCUCUAAAUAGGAACAAAGUUUGGUCAAAAAGUUGGUUAUUGUCAAGGAACAAGAUCAUGGUCUCAUCAUUUAGGGUUUGUCGACACUGAGGCAUCCUAAAAGCUAAGCUUUUAUCAUUGAGGGUUUUUCGACGCCGAGGCACCCUAAAAGCCUAAGCUUUCAUCAUUAGUCACAAGUACCCCGGCCCAUGCAUUAGUCACAAGUACCCCAUAUGUCCUAUUUUUAGCAAAGUCAUGCUAAAAUUCACGAAAAAUUUCAGCAUGACCUUUGCUCAAAAUAGGACAUAUGGAGUACCCGAAUUUGCUGGAACGGAAGUUAAUUGACAUUCCAGCAAACUCAAGGGCCUCUCGGGUGGACAAGGCAAAAAAGGCCUUCAUCACAACAUGGAAAAUACAUUGGCAUGUGAAGAGGUGAAACAAUAUAUGCAUCUCCAAGCAAUAUCAUUCAACAUUUUGGACAAACCACUACAAGCAAUACUGGAUCAGAAUGUUUUUUAUACAUAACUGCUAAAACCCUAGGAGUUAACCGAGCCACCAACAGAAUGUGGACUUAAAAAGAGAGAGUCACGGACAGUGACAUGAUACAUUUUCAUAAAAUUAGCUAGUUUUACUUAUGGUGCACAAAGGAACAAGUACUGCAGUGCACUUAGAAAAAAAUGAGCACCGCAAAACAAGAAGACUCGUUUCAGGUAAACGGAAGCUGUCGGCUCCAUCAAGUGGAGGCAAAAACAAGUGUAAUUGCAAAUGAAUGCAAACCACGUUAAGACUUAACUGCUAAGGCCUAGUUUGGCAACACGGUUUUUCCAAAACCAUGGUAAUUGAAAACCUCGGUAUUCCAAUGUGUGGGCAAUGAAUACUUUGGUUUCUACAAAAUGCAGUUUUUCUCAGUUUUAGCAAAACUAUAGAGAUGUUUGGCAAGUGCAGUUUUUCUUAGUUUCUUGGUUUUGACCACUCGUUGCAUGGAUAAUCCUAGAUACAGCUAGCUGAACCAAAUUGAGCUAUAACAAAGGAGUUAUACAAUUACGUGAUCAUCUUGUGCUAAUUAACGGCUGGUGCAUGCGGCAUGCCUAUGGCCUUGUCAUGCACACGAACAUCCUCUAGCUGCUAGGAUAUGUUGUUGAGUAAUCUUGUAUCUCUGGCCACAUGGAAUCGACCGGCUAGCUAACUUAGACUGCUGUGUAUAACUUUGCUCAGUAACUUAGGCUAGUUGAGUACUGUUGAAAAAUGACAGGUUAAACUGACCUCAAAGUCUGCUGACAAAAUUAAUACCAACUGAUUGAUUGCGGCCGACCAGUUUAUAAUCAACGAGAACUAUAAGGUUUAAAAGAAAACCAAUUAAAUAGGUAGUCGGUAAGUCGAUCGGCAUAAGCAACGGCUCACACGUCACCUAUAGAGGACAGUAAAAGUACACUAAUAAAACUCAGGAAAGAAGAAGUAAAAGUACCCUCAAAACAAGUAUUAACAGACUAGUAUAUAUAUAUGUUAUGUUGGCAUAGAUACUGUCUGAAUGCACCAACAAACCUCCCUUUUACUCCCCCCGUGUAUCAAAAUAUAAGACGCUUAUGAUAGUGUCUUAUAUUUUGAUGCAGACCAGACGGAGUAUUAUCCAUGGCCUACUUAAUUUAGCUCACUGCUGCCAUGUGCCAAUUACUUAACUUUCUGGUUUUAAUCAUGUUGGUGUUCCUUCAAUCACCAUCCCCCCAUUUUGACAUGCUUUCAACUUCACCAUAUACUAACUGCACUAUUGCUGUUGGCCUGUUGCUGCUCUAUCUUAUCUAUGCAAUUUUAACCUUUGUUUGUAUUCCCCAUCCACAUCAUUAUCUGACUUGUGUGGCAUUUGCACUGGACACACGCAUCACUAUGAAUUUGUAGUUUUCACUUUAAAGUUUUGGACCUUGGCCUUGAUUCCUAGAUAGGUGGUCACCAUCGAUCCUAGCUCUUUCACCCUUUCUGUCAUUUAUUUAUUUAUUUCUACUUCAUAUCAAAGACUUGCUUCAUUUUCAACUGUGUAUAUGUUGUAAUCACAUCUCUAGGCUACAGAUACACCAUCUGUAUCAUUUCAUUUCACCUAUCCAUGAGUGGGGAACAAGUGUAUGUUCAGGUUAUAAACACCCUUUAUCCAAAAAGAUUGUUCCAAAACUGCCUACUGAAUUAGCUCACACACUGCUGCCAAUUAAUCAACUCUCUGAUUUUAAUCAUGUUUGUGUUCCUUCCAUGACCCCAAUCCUCGUUUCAACCCCACCAAACUAACUGCACUAUUGCUAUCUAUUGCUGCUAAUUCAGAACAAAUUCAGUGACAGAGGAGGAGCAUUCAGACGGUACCUUGGGUGGGCAGAGAACAAGCUCCGGGGAGGUGGUCGGGGAGGAGCUCUGGGAGGGAGAGGUCGAGGGCGGCAUCGCGGAGGUCGGAGAGGUCGCUGAAGGCGCUGGCGGCGACGGCGCCGGUGAGCCCCAGCAGCGAGAGAGCGGCCGCACGACGGGCCCACGCUGCGGCGCCCUCGUCCGACGGCAGAGGCGGAGGAGGUAGAGGCCGAGCGGCCUUGGGCUUGGGCUGGGCGGAGAGGCGCCGGAGGAGGAGCGGGGCGGGCGUCGAGGCGUCGAGGCGGCGUCGGGGCGGCGUCGAGGCGGCGGGGCAGCGGCGUCGGGAGAGGAGAGGGGAAGGGGAUCGAGGGCGAGGGCGAGGGAGAGAGAGGGGAUAGGUUUGGGCCGGGGAGGAAGUAUGGAUGGCGACACAAUACUAAUGGCGCACCACACCUCGGUGCGCCAUAAGUACAUCCAUACUAAUGGCGCACCUCGCCCUGGUGCGCCAUUAGUAUUUUUUUUAUUUCUGCUCGAGCCAACAGGUUAUCUUCCACCUGACCUGAUCCACAUCAAGCUCCCUCUACUAGCUCGACUGGUCAGCAGCCAGUUCUCACACCAGGAGGUCCUGGGUUCGAUUCCCAGGCUCCACAAUUUUUUUAUGCAUUUAAAAUGCUGUUUGAUACUUAUUUGUGUUUAAAUAAGUUCAAACUUGUUUAAAUCAUAACAGUAAUAUUUUUUUAUAAGACAGUAAUAAUUUUUCUAAAAAUAUCAUCAAACAGUAAUGCCGGUGGAGCGGNNNNNNNNNNNNNNNNNNNNNNNNNNNNNNNNNNNNNNNNNNNNNNNNNNNNNNNNNNNNNNNNNNNNNNNNNNNNNNNNNNNNNNNNNNNNNNNNNNNNNNNNNNNNNNNNNNNNNNNNNNNNNNNNNNNNNNNNNNNNNNNNNNNNNNNNNNNNNNNNNNNNNNNNNNNNNNNNNNNNNNNNNNNNNNNNNNNNNNNNNNNNNNNNNNNNNNNNNNNNNNNNNNNNNNNNNNNNNNNNNNNNNNNNNNNNNNNNNNNNNNNNNNNNNNNNNNNNNNNNNNNNNNNNNNNNNNNNNNNNNNNNNNNNNNNNNNNNNNNNNNNNNNNNNNNNNNNNNNNNNNNNNNNNNNNNNNNNNNNNNNNNNNNNNNNNNNNNNNNNNNNNNNNNNNNNNNNNNNNNNNNNNNNNNNNNNNNNNNNNNNNNNNNNNNNNNNNNNNNNNNNNNNNNNNNNNNNNNNNNNNNNNNNNNNNNNNNNNNNNNNGUAGGGGAGGGGUGCGGGGGGUCGGCGGUGGCGGUUGAGUAGGGGAAUCGAGGGUGCGGGGGGUCGUCGGCGGCGGCCGGUGGACCGGGGGGUGCUCGGCGGCGAGGGGGACCGGAUCUAGCGAGGUGGGAUAGCGAUCGAGAUGGAGGGGGAUCGAGAUCGAGUGUCCAUGAAAUUUAAAAAUAUUCAUGAUAGUUCAAAAAGUGCCCAUGAAAUACAAUCGAGAAAUGAAGGCUACGAUUUAAAUACAAUCGAUCUUAGCUAGCUAUCUGUUCACAAUCUUCUUGCCCUUGUUUUUCGCAAAUGGAGUUCUUGUGUGGAGCGGACGUCCUUUAGGUAGGGUGGUCCCGCUUCUUCUUGUGGUGUAUGCUGCUACUUCAUCAUCGUCGUCAUGUUCGAUCCUCGGGUCACCGUACAUGUCGAAGUCUUGCUCAUUGGCUACUCCAUCCAUUCCGAUGAUCUUCCUUUUGCCUCUCCUCACGACAACAUGACUGGGCUUUGACGGGUCGGUAAUGAAAAAGCAUUGGUCAACUUGGGAAGCCGGUACCCAUGGCUCAUUUUUCGCGGUGACGUUUGCGCCCGCGGUCUUGGAUUUGGCUUCGGGUAUAACCAUGGUGGUGAAAUACCGGUCUUCUUUUAGGAUGCUCUUCGCCCAUCUGACACGGAACAUCGGGACCUUCUCUCCAGCGUAGCUCAGCUCCCAGAUCUCCUCGAUCUUUCCGUAGUAUCUGUCCUUGUCAUUACCGGUGUAGGAUUCCAUCGUUACCCCAGAGUUCUGAUAACCAUCGCUCUUCAUGUCCUUGGCCUCGGUGUAGAAUGUGUAGCCGUUGAUAUCGUACGCCUCAUAGGUCAUCAGGUUGUGCUCGGCGCCCUAUGACAAGGCGAAUAUGAGUUGUUCUUCCACGGAAGAAUCCUCAUGUAAAGGGUACGACAGAAGCUUCUGCUUGAACCAACGCGUGAAACAUGAGUUGUGCUCUUUGAUUAUAUCUCCGUCCGUCCUCUGUUGGCCUCGGUCAUCGUACGUCUUCUUAAUAAAGGUUUUGUGCGCUACCACCCAAGGAUCGACCACGUCUAUGUGUUGUAGCGCGACUAGGUUUGCUCUUUCAAAGUCGGCGAGUCGACCCUCUAAGUCGACAUGCAUUUCGCGGCGACCCUCACGGUGACCCCAUCCAGCGAGCCUGCCGAGGUGCCUGUUGACGGGCAGACCAAUGGGGUUCUCAAUGACUAGAUAAUUCGUGCAGUAGGAGAUGCACUCUUCGGUCAGAAAGCCCCUGGCUAUACUUCCCUCUGGACGUGACAUGUUGCGAACGUAUCCUUUGAUGACACCAUUCAUCCUUUCGAACGGCAUCAUGCUGUGCAGGAACGUCGGCCCAAGUUGGAUGAUAUCCUCUAGUAUAUGGACCAGCAGAUGCACCAUAACGUCGAAGAAUGCGGGCAGGAAGUACAUAUCAAGCUCGCAUAGUAUCACCAUGAUCUCUUCCUAUAGCCUUCUGAGUUGCCUCACGCCAAUCGACUUCCGAGAGAUGACGUCGAAAAAGUUGCAUAGGCCAAAUAGCAUUUCAUGGACGUGCGCGUCCAUGAUCCCACGGAUUGCAACUGGAAGUAUCUGCGUCAUCAGCUCGUGACAGUCGUGAGACUUCAUCCCACUGAACUUCUGCUUCGCUGGGUCUAGGUAUCUGCUUAUCUUCCCCGCGUAACCGUAAGGAAGUUUUACUCCUAGGAGGCAUGUGAAAAACUGCUCGAUCUCCGCCUGACUUAGAGUGAAGCACGCGGGAGGGUAGUCAUUUCCGGUCUUCUUGGCCUUUUUGCCUUUGCGACGACUUACUGUGUCCUGCUUCUUCUCAUCAUCAUCAUCAUCAUCAUCAUCAUCAUCAUCAUCAUCAUCAUCAUCAUCAUCAUCAUUAACGUGAAGCUCCUGCCUGAUGCCCAUUGAUUUCAAGUCUGCCCUUGCUUUCGGCCCAUCUUUGGUCCUCUCUGGCAUGUUGAGCAGGGUACCAAGCAGACUCUCGCACACGUUCUUCGUGAUAUGCAUGACAUCAAGGCUGUGAGGCACACGGUGGAUCUUCCAGUACGGCAAGUCCCAGAAAACAGACCUCGUUUACCAUACCUUCAGCAGCGGCUCUGGCGCCUUUCGCUUCUUUCCCGGCUCUGGCGCCUUUUGCUUCUUUCCCGGCAGUGGGCAGUCUUUCCAAUUUUUCAACAACUUGUCUAUUUCCUCGCCGCUCCUCGUACACGGGCGUUUUCGGGGUUCGGUUUCACCAUCGAACAGAUCCUUGCGUUUCCUCCACGGGUCAUCGUCGCGAAGCCACCUUCGAUGUCCCAUGAACACAGUUUUCGAAGACCCGGGAUCUCUAUCUAGCUGGCGAUACGUUGUGUCAUCCAUGCACCUUACGCAUCCAGAAAAUCCAUGGACUACCUGCCCCGCGAGAUAUCCGUAACCGAGAUAGUCGUGCACCAUCGUGAGCAGUGUGGCUCUCAUAGGGAAAUAUUCUUUCUCUGCGGCAUCCCACGUAUUGGCUGGCGUUUUCCACAGCGUGUCAAGCUCCUCUUUUAGCAGCCCCAGAUACAGAUUGAUGUCGUUCCCUGGUUGUUUCGGCCCUUCAAUUAGCAUACUCAUGUGAAUGUACUUCCUCUUCAUGCACAACCAGGGGGGAAGGUUGUACAUCCACACAAACACAGGCCAGGUGCUAUGUGUGCUUCUCUGGCUGCCAAACGGAUUGACUCCAUCGGUGCUCGCGCCCAGCACGAUGUUCCUUGGAUCGUUCCCAAAUUCUGGGUCUUCGAAGUUCAACGCUUGCCACUGGCUCGCAUCCUUAGGGUGACUCAGCAUCUUGUCCUUUUUAUCUAUCUUCGGAUCAUUUGCGUCAUCUUCUCGCUUCUUCUCCUCCCUAUCCGCGUGCCAACACAGGAGCUUUGCUACCUUAGGGUCCGCGAAAUACCGCUGCAGACGAGGAGUGAUCGGAAAGUACCACACCACUUUUCGAGGAGCUUUCUUCCUCUUCUUGUAUCGAGUGACGCCGCACACCGGACAUAUGGUAGACUCCGCAUGCUUGUCCCGAUAAAUAAUGCAAUUGUUCAUGCACACAUGGUAUUUCAUGUGCGGUAAAUCCAGAGGACACACGAUUUUCUUCGCCUCCUCCAAACUGGUCGGGCACUUGUUCCCCUUGGGAAGACGUUCGUGCCAGAAUGACAUGUUCUCGUCGAAGCAUGCGUCGGUCAUUUUGUGUUUUACCUUCAUCUCCAGAGCCAUGAGCGUUACUUUCAGGCGGGUAUCCUUGGGCCUGCAUCCUUCAUACAAUGGAGUAACCGCGUCUAACUCAAGUUGAUCCAUCUUGGCUUUCUCUCGGGCGGCAGCUCUUGCGUUAUCCGUCUGCUUGAGAAGCAGCUCUUGAAUAUGAGGGUCCUGCACCCAGCCCAUUGAUGGUCCAGCAUCGUCUGCUCCGCCGGCAUCAUCAUCUUCAUGAUCAUGCCCGUCGUCUGCUCUGGCAUCUUCCUCAUCAUCAUGUCCUGCAUCUUCUACAUGAUGACUGUGUAAAACAUCACCGCCGUGAUCAUCUCCUGGGGAUUCUUCAUCUUCUCGCCCGCCCGAGCCGCGAUGGUUGUCUUGCUGCCCUUCCUCAUUUCUUGCCCGGCCCCCAUGGACGACUUCGUAGUCGUCUUCAUCACCUUGCCACCGAUAGCCAUCCAUGAAACCACGCAAGAGCAGGUGGUCCCGCACCUGCCCGGAAUCCGGGUCCGCAAUAAGGCUCUUCAGCUUGCAUCUUCGACACGGACAUCUUAUCUCCGUCUCGUUCUUUUGAAGCAUCUCGGCCUUCGCGGACCUCAAAAACCUAUUCACGAUGCCUUCGGUCAUCGUGCGGACCAUGGUCGCCUGCGGGGUAGAGCAAAAUGAUAUUUUAGAACCAAGAAAAAAUUUGGCAUGACUUUCCCUAAAAAUAGGACCAAAAAGAAUGCUUAAUGCCAAAAUUCUCGCCGAAACGGAAAUGAGUCAACAUUCUGACAAAAUAUUGGCAACUAUCGUAUUUCAAAUACUGGUACACCUCCAAAUACAAACACAUAUGCAACACCACGAACAUACAUAGAUCUAGCUAUGCCAUAAAAAGUGCAUGUGCACAUUGUUGUAGGGAGAACAACAUAAAUAUAGCUUCCCCCCUUACUUACCUAUCAAAACAAGGUAAUUUAACCACUUAAUUUGAAUGAAUCUAUGGUGGAAAUGAGGUGAAAAAGAGGAGGCACCCGAGACAAGGAGGAGGUGGAGAGAAUGAAGUGGGGAGAAAGUGAGUGUGGGUAGGAGAGGUUGUCCAAAAUAUCUUGUUGCUGCCCAUUUACUAAUGGCGCACCAACACUAAAUGCGCCAUUAGUAAUCCAAGUUACUAAUGGCGCACCUUCUGGCGGUGUGCCAUUAGUAGUUUUGCAAAAAAAAACAUACUAAUGGCGCACUGUUCCACAGUGCGCCAUUACUAAUGGCGCACGGUUAAACAGUGCGCCAUUAGUAGUAUUGCAAAAAAAAGGAAUAAAAAAUAUAAUUAAAAAACAACAUUAGUGGCGCACUUUCCGACAGGUGCGCCAUUACUAGUUACAACUAGUAAUGGCGCACUGAGUCUGGAUGCGCCAUUAGUAUGUUUGGACAGGCGCACUAGUUCAAAAAAAAAUUGAUACUAAUGGCGCACCUUGGGCCAGGUGCGCCAUUAGUAGUUUCAACUCUAAUGGCGUAUCAGAAGGUGGUGCGCCAUUAGUAUAUACUAAUAGCGCACCCCUUGUCUGGUGCGCCAUUAGUGUCAAUCCCAUCUAUAGCCCUUUUUCUAGUAGUGCCGUAUGCAGAGAUUGCACGGGCACUUUCUUGGGCAGUUCGUCACUUAUGAUUGUGGAGUUGAUGAUCCUGCCAUCCUUGAGGCAAUGGCAUGUCGGGAUGCUUUAGCUUUGGCUCAAGAUCUACAACUACAUAAUUUCAUCGUUGCCUCAGACUCCAAGCAAGUGACUGGGGACAUCAGUAAGGUAAGUCAUGGAAGCUACGGAGCCAUCACUAGCGAAAUUAAAACCCAAGCUGCUUUAUUUUAGUGUAAUUUUACUUUCGAAGGUCGUGCAUUGUAUAGCAGGCACAUAGCUUAGCUAAUGUUUUUUUCUUUAUCUUAGUCAAGGUCACCACGAGUAGUUUGGUCAACCUCAUGACCCGAUUUGUAUCCCACAUAUUGUGGUUUUCGAUGAAUAAACCUUGGUUUGUCCCCCUAAAAAAUAGUUGUAUUCCCCGCAACGGCUAGGAGCUCCCUGAGCUCUCCAUCUUUUGUGUGUGUGUGUGUGUGUAUGUGUGUGUCUAAACACACUCUUUAUUAAUGAUCAUAAACAAGGUUCAUGGAGACACAAUUUAGAUCCAGAGGAUUGAGGAGCCAUAGAUGGCGUCCUAAAGAAAGUCCUAAAGUGUGUUUAGUGAGGCUAUGUGCCUCAACAUUAGUUUCCCACCCUUUGAAGAUGAAGGAGCAACACAUAAAAUAGACACCAAUUAUUUAAAAAUGCAUGAAAAAUUCUUAAAUUAAUGAAUAUAUAUUUACAAUAUCUGGACACCUGUUGAAGAUGAAUGUUUUUUUUUCUCGUGUCAGCUUUGCUGGUAUCACCCUCUAAAUCACUAAGCUCCCUGGGCUUGGAGCGCUCAGAAUCAAUUGAGGCUUGCGAUUAAGAUUUUGUUCUCUCAAUUUUGACCAUGUAACCGGCGUGGGCUUUGUGAAGGGGUCUCCCGCUCGGUGGGUCCUGGCUGCUUGGUGUGGGACUGCGUUCACGCGCAGUGACCGCCUCUCUCCACUCGGCCCCUUUCUCUCUCUCCUCAUCCCUUACGUCGCCGCUUCCUUUCUCUCCCUCGCCAUUGCAGCACAUUCACCGCCGCCUGAUGAGCCCCAUCCUUCUUCCCAGCGCCACCACCAGCCCCAACUCACGCAGCACCUUGUCUGGCCGUGCUUCCUGGCCAACAAAGCCAUGCUGAAUUCCCUCCUCUACCACACGGUGUGAUGUUGGAUGCGUGCUCCCCGCCCCCUGAUGCUGCCGGAUCCAGUUGCCCCAAUUUGCGGCUCCACCAGAUUUACCGCACCAUCUCUGUGCCACCAAAUCGUUACCUGAUCGGUGGACAACAAGGUGAAGAAGGCUAUGGUGUUUCCCCAUUGGGGCGUGGAAGGUGACGACUGCACCCGUCCUCUGACAAUUUGGCCUCCGCACCCCUUGCCGCGAGGAAAGCGAGCAUGUAUGCCGCAGGCUGACGUGCUCUUGUUUCUGUUGGCGGUGCCCCCUCGGCAAGCCAGCAAUACCAAUUUCUGUUGGGGCGGGUUCUUGUGGUGGUGCUCUGCCAUUGGUGGUGCUCGAUUUGGCGUUUUGGUUGCAACCAACAUUGCGCCUCAUUUCUACAGGGUUGGGCUUGAGGGGCUUUCUGUAGUCUUUGCAUGCAGAGGGGGAGGCAAUUUGGGGGAAGCUCAGCCGCUCGACAAGAGGCUACUUGGGGGUGCUUGAUGACCCACAAGUGUAGGGGAUAUAUCGUAGUCCUUUCGAUAAGUAAGAGUGUCGAACCCAACGAGGAGCAGAAGGAAAUGACAAGCAGUUUUCAGUAAGGUAUUCUCUGCAAGCACUGAAAUUAUCGGUAACAGAUAGUUUUGUGAUAAGGCAAUUUGUAACGGGUAACAAGUAACGAAAGUAAAUAAGAUGCAGCAAGAUAGCCCAAUCCUUUUUAUAGCCAAAGACAUGCCUGGACAAACUCUUAUAUAAAGGAAAACGCUCCCGAGGACACAUGGGAAUUAUCUUCAAGUUAGUUUUCAUCACGUUCAUAUGAUUCGCGUUCGUUACUUUGAUAAUUUAGUAUGUGGGUGGACUGGUGCUUGGGUACUGCCCUUUCUUGGACAAGCAUCCCACUUAUGAUUAACCCCUAUUGCAAGCAUCCGCGGCUACAAAAGAAGUAUUAAGGUAAACCUAACCAUAGCAUGAAACAUAUGGAUCCAAAUCAGCCCCUUACGAAGCAACUCAUAAACUAGGGUUUAAGCUUAUGUCACUCUAGCAACCCAUCAUCUACUUAUUACCUCCCAGUGCCUUCCUCUAGGCCCAAAUAAUGGUGAAGUGUCAUGUAGUCGAUGUUCACAUAAGACCACUAGAGGAGAGACAACAUACAUCUCAUCAAAAUAUCGAACGAAUACCAAAUUCACAUGACUAAUUAUAGCAAGACUUCUCCCAUGUCCUCAGGAAAAAACGUAACUACUCACAAAUCAUAUUCAUGUUCAUAAUCAGAGGAGUAUUAAUAUGCAUAAAGGAUCUGAACAUAUGAUCUUCCACCAAAUAAACCAACUAGCAUCAACUACAAGGAGUAAUCAACACUACUAGCAACCCACAGGUACCAAUCUAAGGUUUUGAGACAAAGAUUGGAUACAAGAGAUGAAGUAGGGCUUGCGAGAAGAUGGUACUGGUGAAGAUGUUGAUGGAGAUUGACCCCCUCCCACUGAGAGGAUCGAUGGUGAUGAUUUCCCCCUACCGGAGGGAUGUUUCCCCAGCAGAACAGCUCCGCCGGAGCCCUAGAUUGGUUCCGCCAAUGUUCCGCCUCGUGGUGGUGGUGUUUCUCCCGAAAGCUUUUCGGAGUCUGAAACAUUCUGGAAAGUGUCCCUUAAGUAUUUCUCCGGGGUUACAGUUUCAAUAACAUUAGUUUCAACAUUUAUGGGAUUACCUGAGAUAUAAUGUUUGAUUCUUUGACCAUUCACCGCCUUCAGAUUUGUACCUUCGAAGUUGUUGAUUUUGAUGGCACCGGAACGAUAGACCUCCUCGAUAACGUAAGGACCUUCCCAUUUAUAGAGAAGGUUUCCUGCAAAAAAUCUUAAACGAGAGUUGAAUAGCAACACAUAAUCACUUACAUUAAACUCACGCUUUUGUAUCCUUUUGUCAUGCCAUCUUUUAAGUUUUUCUUUAAACAGUUUGGCAUUCUCAUAGGCCUGGGUUCUCCAUUCAUCAAGUGAGCUAAUGUCAAAUAGUAUCUUCUCAUCGGCAAGUUUGAAAUCAUAAUUGAGCUCUUUAAUGGCCCAAUAUGCCUUAUGUUCUAGUUCGAGAGGUAAGUGACAUGCUUUUCCAUAAACCAUUUUAUACAGAGACAUACCCAUGGGAUUUUUAUAUGCAGUUCUAUAGGCCCAUAAAGCAUCAUCAAGUUUCUUGACCAAUUCUUUCUAGAUCUAUUAACAGUCUUUUGCAAAAUUAAUUUAAGCUCUCUAUUACUAAGUUCUACUUGACCACUAGACUGCGGGUGAUAUGGAGAUGCAAUUCUUUGAUUAACAUCAUAUUUAGCAAGCAUUUUACGAAAAGCACCAUGAAUAAAAUGUGAACCACCAUCAGUCAUUAAGUAUCUAGGGACUCCAAACGUCAGAAAAAAUAACUUCUUUAAGCAUCUUAAUAGAGGUGUUAUGAUCAGCACUACUAGUUGGAAUAGCUUCUACCCACUUAGUAACGUAAUCAACAACAACUAAAAUAUGUGUAUACCCAUUAGAGGAAGGAAACGGUCCCAUAUAAUCAAAGCCCCGAACAUCAAAUGGUUCACUAACAAGUGAAUAGUUCAUAGACAUUUCUUGACGUCUAUUAAUAUUACCAAUUCUUUGACAUUCAUCACAUGACAAGACAAACUUACGGGCAUCUUUGAAAAGAGUAGGCCAGUAAAAACCAGACUGCAAUACCUUAUGUGCAGUUCUAUCUCCAGCGUGGUGUCCUCCAUAAGCUUCAGAGUGAAACUUGCGUAGGAUCUGUUCCUGUUCAUGCUCAGGUACACAAUUUCUGAUAACACCAUCUACUCCUUCUUUAUAAAGGUGUGGGUCAUCCUAGAAGUAAUGUCUUAAAUCAUAGAAAAACUUUUUCUUUUGCUGGUAUGUGAAACUAGGUGGUAUAAAUUUAGCAACAAUGUAAUUAGCAUAAUCAGCAUUAUCUAACAUAGACAAGUUGUCUGCAACGGGGUUCUCAGCUCCCUUUCUAUCAAUAAUAUGCAAAUCAAAUUCUUGUAGCAAGAGAACCCAUCUAAUAAGUCUAGGUUUAGCAUCUUUCUUUUCCAUAAGAUAUUUAAUAGAAGCAUGAUCAGUGUGAACAGUUACUUUAGAAUCAACAAUAUAGGGUCUGAACUUAUCACAAGCAAAUACAACAGCUAAAAAUUCUUUUUCAGUAGUAGCAUAAUUUCUCUGGGCACUGUCUAGAGUUUUACUAGCAUAUUGGAUAACAUUUAAUUUCUUAUCAACUCUUUGUCCUAGAACAACACCUACAUCAUAAUCACUAGCAUCACAUAUAAUUUCAAAGGGUAAAAUCCAAUCAGGUGGCUGAACAAUAGGUGCAGAAAUCAAUGCUUUCUUAAGUAUUUCAAAUGCCUCUUCACAAUCAUCAUCAAAGACAAAAAAGAACAUAUUUUUGUAAGAGAUUAGUCAGAUGCCUAGAAAUUUUAGAUAAGUCCUUAAUGAACCUCCUAUAAAAACCGGCAUGACCAAGGAAACUUCUUAUACCUUUAAUGUCCUUAGGACACGACAUCUUUUCAAUAGCAUCAACUUUAGCUUUAUCAACCUCAAUACCUCUUUCAGAAAUUUUAUGCCCCAAGACAAUGCCUUCAUUAACCAUAAAGUGGCACUUCUCCCAAUUCAAGACAAGAUUAGUUUCCUCACAUCUCUGCAAAACUAGAUCAAGGUUGCUUAAGCAAUCAUCAAAAGAAGUUCCAUAUACGGAGAAAUCAUCCAUGAAAACCUCAACAAUCUUUUCACAAAAGUCAGAGAAUAUAGCCAUCAUACAUCUUUGAAAGGUAGCAGGUGCAUUGCAUAAACCAAAAGGCAUACGUCUAUAAGCAAAGGUACCGAAAGGGCAAGUAAAAGUAGUCUUUUCUUGAUCCUCUUUUGACAUAGGUAUUUGAGAGAAACCGAAAUAACCAUCUAGAAAGCAAAAAAGUGUAUGUUUGGAUAAUCUUUCUAGCAUUUGAUCAAUAAAAGGUAAAGGGUAAUGAUCCUUUUUAGUAGCUUUAUUUAGUUUGCGGAAAUCAAUUACCAUUCUAUAACCUGUUACAAUUCUUUGCGGGAUCAAUUCAUCUUUAUCAUUAGGAACAACGGUAAUACCUCCCUUCUUAGGGACACAACGGACAGGCACUACUAGGGAAAUGCUUAUAGGCAGACGCUUACUAGUAGCGAGGGUUUAUACCCCUCACUACUGCUACUUACUAGUAGCGCGGGUUUUUUCCCCUCGCUACUACUAAGUUGAUAGUAGUAGCGUGGGUUUUUAACCCUCGCUACUACUAAGCGGUCUCUACCAUGCCCCGCGAGACAUGCCAUAGUAGUAGUGAGGGGUAUAAAGCCGCGCUACUACUAAGUUGAUAGUAGUAGCGCGGUUUUAUACCCCUCGCUACUACUAAGUACGAGGUAGGUGAAGUCGCCAUAUCCUUAGCCGAAUCCCCAUCUCCUCCCCCAAAUCCCUUCUCUCUUCCGCCACUCUCUCCUCCCACUUUCCAUAUGCUCACAUGGACCUCUUGCCCAUGCGUCCCUCCUCCUCCGUGGCGCCGAAUGAGGCCGCCGCCUCGCGCCAUCGGUGUCUAGGAGCUCGCCAGUCUUCCACCGACGUCUAGGAGGCCGCCGCCCCGUGCCACCACACCGGGGAACCUCACCACCGAUGACUAGCUCUGCUGCUCCCUCCAUUACCUUCCUCUCUCCCUCGGUUUUCCUUUUCUCUCUCUCCCUCUGGUUUGACUCACCCUCCCAUGUCCACGCCUGUGCAGGUCGUUGCCAUGGAUGACCCGGAGCUAUCUGGCAUGGUCGGGAAGAGGAGCCCGACAUCGUGGCCUGGCUCUUCCAUAGAAAGGGGCCCUCUCCAACAGCCACCACCGGAUCUGGUCUUCCGCUGUCUGUUCAUGCCUCCGGCGAUGCCAACCGUCGCUAGAUCAAACCACUGCUGCCAUUGACAACACGCACGGGAUCGAGAUUUUGUUUUUGUUUUUGAAAGUAAUAGCAGUAGAGCGGGGUAUAAGACACGCUACAGAUAAUUAGCAGUAGCGCUGUCUGCAAUGCACGAUACAGCUAACCAUGUAUAGCAGUAGCGUGUGUCAAAACGCGCUGCUGCUACAAGUUAGCGGUGGCGACGUAUCAGUAGUGUGGGCACCCGCACUAUCGAUACACCCAAAACCCGCCCUGCUGCUAGGCUUUUCCCUCGUAGUGGGACUUACCCACUAACUAUUAGCAACGGGAUAGAUUGUACCUGCCUCUAGAAGCUUUAGUAUUUCUUUUCUUACCACUUCUUUCAUCUUAGGAUUUAACCUGCGUUGGUGAUCAACAAUCGGUUUAGCGUCUUUCUCCAAUUCUAUUUUGUGUUGGAAUAAAGUGGGACUAAUGCCCUUAAGAUCAUCUAGAGUAUAUCCAAUAGCAGCAUGGUGCUUCUUCAGAGUUUUCAAUAAUUUCUCUUCUUCUUGCUCUGAAAGAUUAGCACUAAUAAUAACAGGAUAUAUCUUCUUUUCAUCAAGAUAAGCAUAUUUAAGAGUUUUAGGUAAUGGUUUAAGCUCAAACACGGGAUCACCCUUGCGUGGAGGAGGAUCCCCUAGGAUUUCAACAGGCAAGUUGUGUUUCAAAAUAGAUCCCUAUUUAAAGAAUACUUCAUCUAUUUUCCUUCUUUCAUUCAUAAACAUAUCAUUUUCAUGGUCUAGCAAAUAUUGUUCUAAAGGGUCAUUAGGAGGCACAACAAUAGAAGCAAGACCAAUAAUCUCAUCUUUACUAGGUAGUUCUUUAUCAUGGGGUUGUCUACGGAAUUUAGCAAAAUUAAACUCAUGAGACAUAUCCCCCAAUCCAAUAGUACCAAUAUCCUUUUUGCACUCUAUCCUAGCAUUAACAGUAUUCAAGAAGGGUCUACCAAAUAUAAUGGGACAAAAGUUAUCUUGUGGGGAACCAAGAACAAGAAAAUCAACAGGAUAUUUGACUUUCCCACACAAGACUUCAACAUGUCUAACAAUCCCAACUGGUGAAAUAGUAUCUCUAUUGGCAAGCUUAAUUGUAACAUCAAUUUCUUCUAUCUCAGCAUGUGCAAUAUCAUGCAUAAUUUCUUUGUAUAAGGAAUGGGGUAUUGCACUUGAACUAGCACCCAUAUCACAUAAGACAUGAUAGCAAGGAUCUCCUAUUUUAACAAAAAUAACAGGCAUGCUUACAACAGGACUAUGUUUAUUUAGUAUUAGGUCUAGCAAUUCUAGCAGCUUCAUCACAGAAGUAAAUAACAUGCCCAUCAAUAUUAUCGGCCAAGAGAUCUUUAACCACAACAAUACUAGGUUCAACUUUAAUUUUCUCAGGGGGUGUAGGUGUUCUAGUAUUACUCUUACGAACCAUAGUUGAAGCUUUAGCAUGAUCCUUUAUUCUAACAGGAAAGGUGGUUUCUCAAUAUAAGCAGUAGGAACAACAGGAUCAACAUUAUAAGUGAUAGUCUUUUCUUCAACUUUAAUAGGUGAAACUACUUUUACUUCAAUGGGAGGAUUAUAUUUAAACCACUUCUCCUUAGGGAGAUCAACAUGAGUAGCAAAGGAUUCACAGAAAGAAGCUACUAUCUCAGAGUCAAGUCCAUAUUUAGUGCUAAAUUCAUAGAAAACAUCGGUAUCCAUAAGAUAUUUAACACAAUCAAACUUAGGUGUUAUACCUGACUCGUUACCUUCGUCGAGAUCCCAAUCUUCAAAGUUGCAUUUAAUUCUUUCUAAUAAAUCCCAUUUGAGUUCAAUAGUUUUCAUCAUAAAAGAGCCAGUACAAAAGUAUCGAGCAUGGAGCGAUUAUUGAGAGAAAGUCGAGCAUAAAAAUUUUGAAUAGUAAUUUCUCUUGAGGGGUCAUGAUUAGGGCAUGAAUAUAACAUUGACUUAAGCCUCCCCAAGCUUGAGUGAUGCUUUCUCCUUCGCGAGGCCAAAAUUAUAUAUAUAAUUGUGAUCACGAUGAACAAGAUGCAUACGAUAAAACUUCUUAUGAAAUUCCAAUUUCAAUCGGUUGUAGUUCCAUGAUCCCAUAUCAUCACAUAGCCUAAACCAUGUCAAUUCCUUUCCCUUCAAAGAUAAAGGGAAGACCUUCUUCUUGAUAACAUCCUGGGGCAUACCUGCAAGCUUAAAUAACCCACAAACUCUAUCCACAUAGUUUAGGUGUAAAUCGGGAUGCAAUGUUCCAUCUCCUGUAAAAGGAUUAGCUAGCAGUUUCUCUAUCAUACCCAAAGGAAUUUCAAAGUAAACAUUUUUAGUAGGUUCAGUAGGUUGAGGAGAAACUCUUUGCUCUACUGGUCGGGGUGCAGAUACCCCGAACAAGCCCCUCAAAGGAUUACUUUCCUUAGUAACAAGUGACAGUAAAUUUCAGCACACUAUAUAAAUUUUUCCUUACCAAAUUCCACUUACCAAAGGCGCUUCACUCCCCGGCAACGGCGCUAGAAAAGAGUCUUGAUGACCCGCAAGUGUAGGGGAUCUAUCGUAGUCCUUUCGAUAAGUAAGAGUGUCAAACCCAACGAGGAGCAGAAGGAAAUGACAAGCGGUUUUCAAUAAGGUAUUCUCUGCAAGCACUGAAAUUAUUGGUAACAGAUAGUUUUGUGAUAAGGCAAUUUGUAACGGGUAACAAGUAAUUAAUGAAAGUAAAUAAGGUGCAGCAAGAUGGCCCAAUACGUUUUAUAGCAAAGGACAAUCCUGGACAAACUCUUAUAUGAAGGAAAACGCUCCCGAGGACACAUGGGAAUUAUCGUCAAGCUAGUUUUCAUCACGUUCAUAUGAUUCGCAUUCAUUACUUUGAUAAUUUGGUAUGUGGGUGGACCGGUGCAUGGGUACUGCCCUUUCUUGGACAAGCAUCCCACUUAUGAUUAACCCCUAUUGCAAUCAUCCGCGACUACAAAAGAAGUAUUAAGGUAAACCUAACCAUAGCAUGAAACAUAUGGAUCCAAAUCAGCCCCUUACGGAGCAACUCAUAAACUAGGGUUUAAGCUUCUGUCGCUCUAGCAACCCAUCAUCUACUUAUUACUUCCCAAUGCCUUCCUCUAGGCCCAAACAAUGGUGAAGUGUCAUGUAGUCGAUGUUCACAUAACACCACUAGAGGAGAGACAACAUACAUCUCAUCAAAAUAUCGAACGAAUACCAAAUUCACAUGACUACUUAUAGCAAGACUUCUCCCAUGUCCUCAGGAACAAACGUAACUACUCACAAAUCAUAUUCAUGUUCAUAAUCAGAGGAGUAUUAAUAUGCAUAAAGGAUCUGAACGUAUGAUCUUCCACCAAAUAAACCAACUAGCAUCAACUACAAGGAGUAAUCAACACUACUAGCAACCUACAGGUACCAAUCUAAGGUUUUGAGACAAAGAUUGGAUACAAGAGAUGAACUAGGGUUUGAUAGGAGAUGGUGCUGGUGAAGAUGUUGAUGGAGAUUGACCCCCUCCUGCUGAGAGGAUCGAUGGUGAUGAUGAUAGUGAUGAUUUCCCCCUCCCAGAGGGCUGUUUCCCUGGCAGAACAGCUCUGCCAGAGCCCUAGAUUGGUUCCGCCAAGGUUCCGCCUCAUGGCGGCGGUGUUUCGUCCCGAAAGAUUUCUUCUGAUUUUUUCCAGGGUGAAAGACUUCAUAUAGCAGAAGAUGGGCACCGGAGGCCUUCCAGGGGGCCCACGAGGCAGGGGGCACGCCCAGGGGGGUAGGGCGCGCCCCCCACCCUCGUGGAUGGUGGGUGGCCCCCUCUGGUUGAUCCUUUCGCCAGUAUUUUUUAUUAAUUCCAAAAACUGCCUCCGUGAAGUUUCAGGACUUUUGGAGCUGUGCAUAAUCGGUCUCUAAUAUUUUCUCCUUUUCCAGCCCAGAAUUCCAGCUGCCGGCAUUCUCCCUCUUCAUGUAAACCUUGUAAAAUCAGAGAGAAUAAGCAUAAGUAUUGUGACAUAAUGUGUAAUAACUGCCCAUAAUGCAAUAAAUAUCGAUAUAAAAGCAUGAUGUAAAAUGGACGUAUCAGUGCUCUGUCGCCACUCUGUCCACGUCUUCAAUGCGUCCCUUCUUGCUUCACCCUAGCGUUUCAUUAAUCUGGUGAGUGUUCCUCCUGCCAUUCGCUCUUUGUGCGGACGCGUAUGUCACCUUUAUCUAUUGGUUAUUGUCAUGUCCCGCAAGUGUGUUUCUCUGCUCGCCAACUACAUGAGGCGAGCGAAGACACAACGGAGUUGCAGAUUAGGUACUUGGGUCACCGACCAACAAAAUCAACUCACCGGAGCUCCUGAUUCAUCUUUGCCACUUAUCAUUCAAUUUUUGAAUGCGGAUUCUGCUAUUCUGUUUCAUAUAGGCUACAUCUACAUGGAUGCAUCAACUCUGCUCCAUAAAUAUGGAUACAAAGUGUUUGGUGUAAUUUUAUUUGAUAAUUUUGUGUUGCCAUUUCUCCUGUUCAGCAUAUUUUAGAAUUUAUAAUGGCCAAUGCCUAUCCAUCAAAGUACAAGUUCAUUUUCAAGUGUUGCAAUUUGUAUGCUCAAACAAAAUGACGUCUGUGUGGGUGUCCAGAUCAAGCACCACGCCUAAUCCUUCAUAAGUUCUGGUGAUAUGGCAACUACCCCUUCGAAUUAUAUAAAGAUCAAUGUCGAUGCAAGUUUUGUGGAGAGCAUUAGUGCAGCGAGUGUGGGGGUGGCGGCAAGGGACUCUUCUGGGAGGGUCAUAGUCUCCUCCUAGGAUUUCAUUGGACUUUGUAAAAGCGUGGAGGAGGCAGAGUUCCGUGCUUGCAUUGCCGGUCUUUAUAUAGGUAUUACUCUACAAAAUCCUAUAAUCUUAGAGACUGACUAUGUGUUUGUGGUGGCGACCCUAGAAAAUGAAAAUUUUGAUAGAUCAUCAUUGAUGGAUUUGAAGAAGGAAGCGAUGAGUACCUCCAAGCUUAAGAUUUCGGUCAGUCAUAAGAUCUCCAAGAUCAAUCGCUCGGACAAUGUGGUGGCCCAUAUGAUUGCUAAAUUUAGCUUUGAUAAUAGAUCGGAUGGUACCUUAGUUAGUGGUGUUCCGCCCUGCGUGGUGAAUUUUGAAAUAAGUGAUUGUAAUAACUACGUUGGUUAAUUAAUAUAUGAGGUGGUUUUUAAAAAAACGACAUCUGCAUGAAAUUUGGAUCUCGUAAUCUUAAAUGGUUUGGAUUCCAGUAGUAAGUUCUUUAUGUAUGGACCCUCUACUGGAAUUAGCACUUUUUGUUGUAUAAAUUUAGCUCUAUAGGGGCACAUGAAUUGUACCAAUGAAGAACUUAGUACAGAGGAAAUUAGAAUUUACUAAAGUUUGAAGGAACUGCCUUGUUCUGAAAUUGUUGCUCUUGUUGGAUUGUUUUGUGUCAUACCUAAAUCAAAAUUCUAAUAUUAACAUAUAAUUGGGUGGACCAUAUUCUUGAUUGGGGGUUGUAUCUAGAGGACCAGUAAUACUUCACUUAUACUUGUGGUCUGGUCUACUUGAGCCGGUGCAUCACAAGUGCUUCUUUGUUUUUAUCCUUUAUUAAUAUAUUUAUUGUUUGAAAGGAGGAGGUUGCAUAUUAUUCUACAUGACCCCUUUGUUGAAUACAAUCAACAUGCUACAUCAAUUGUUGUUUGCUGCAAUACUUACACGCACUUUAUGCAUGUUUCUUAGAGCUACUAUGAUUUUCCGGUGCAAAUAUGCAUGCAUUCUGGUGUACUUAAUUAUGAUGUCUUAAAAUCCUCACUUUUAUAAUACUUAUUCUUGCUAAAGUUUACAGCCAUAGCUGGAUUAUCCUAAUCAUUUGUACUACACAAGUUACACCAAUAACCAUGUUUUUCUAUGCACGUAUCUCCUUAGGAUUACUAAUCCAAAUAAUGUAAGCUCAUAUAAGGUAGGCGAUAAAGUUGUUAUGUGUACUCAGAUAAAGAAUCAUUCGCAAAACAGUGGGUCAUUCACUUGUGAUGAUGAAUACUUUUUCCAUCAGAUUGUUGUCCAUAAAGAAUUAUGUAUUGGAACAUUAGCAACUCACUUUCUACACUUUCAGAAAGGAAGUUAAAUUUUGGUAUUCUUGUUUUGAAAAUUUUGGAUUCCUCAUCAAAUACUAUUAAGCCAAAAGGGACAGCGAGGUUGGACAUUCGAACAUACAACUACAAUGGGAUGGAACAUUGCUAUGAAUAUAUCAAAUGCUUUUGGGAUAACAUAAUAAUCGAAGCACAACACAUUUAAAGUUACUUCCCAGCUUCCUUAAGCGUCAAACUGAUAUUUGCACAACAAGUAGUAAGGCUAGGAUUUGGUAGUAGGAUUCGAACAACUGGAUAAGCUAGAUCUACCCUAUGCAAGGAUUUUAGCAAUCAUCACAUGCACAAUUUCAUCAGGGAGAGACCAUACAAACCUCUAUUUUGCAUGCAGUUUGUUAGUUGAGGUAAGCAUAACCUGAUGCUUACAUUUCAGAUGUAGGUCUAGGUUUAAUUAUUCUUCGGCCUACAUGCUUUUCCUGUGUAGUCUUUGUAACAUGGUGCCAGAAGGGUGUGUGUACUCUGAAUUACUUGUUCUUUACGCAGAAGAAAAUAUAUUUAGAUUGUUUCUGGCCUUGAGAUUAUUUAUAUCUUCAACAUCCAAGUGAUUGGCUUGCAGGCUGCUAUUUUUAGCAAUGAAGGAACCGUUUCUGUGGUGCAUGCUAAUAGUUAUUUAUUUCUGACAUAAGGAAUCCAUGUAAACUUUCUAACUCUUAUAUUGAAACUAAAGUUACCUUCUUUGCCUUAGUGUAGCACCAUCCGUAUGUCGCUGUUGGAAAAUAUGCUUGUUGGGGAACGUAGCAGAAAUUCAAAAUUUUCCUACGUGUCACCAAGAUCUAUCUAUGGAGAAACCAGCAAUGAGGGGAAGGAGAGUGCAUCUACAUACCCUUGUAGAUUGCUAAGCGGAAGCGUUCAAGAGAAUGGGGUUGAAGGAGUCGUACUCGUCGUGAUCCAAAUCACCGGAGAUCCUAGUGCCGAACGGACGGCACCUCCGCGUUCAACACACGUACAGCCCGGUGACGUCUCCCAUGCCUUGAUCCAGCAAGGAGAGAGGGAGAGGUUGAGGAAGACUUCAUCCAGUAGCAGCACAAUGGCGUGGUGGUGAUGGAGGAGCGUGGCAAUCUUGCAGGGCUUCGCCAAGCACCACGGGAGAAGAGGAUAACUUGGGAGAGGGGGAGGGCUGCACCAGAACUUGGGUGCGGCUGCCCUCCCACCCCUCCACUAUUUAUAGGUGGGGGGAGAAGGGGGCCGGGCCCCCUAGAUCUCAUCUAGGGUUGGGGCGGCGGCCAAGGGGGGAGGAGUGCCUCCCAAGUCAAGUGGAGGCCCUCCCCCUUAGGGUUUCCCCUCUCCCAUGCGCAUGGGCCUUGGGGGGGCUGGUGCCCCUGGCCCAUUAAGGCUAGGGCGCCCCCCUACAGCCCAUUCUGCUGUAUUGGAUGUGGUGGAACUAUUUCCGGACCUCCGGACCCCUCCGGAAUCCUCCGGAACCUUCUGGAAGCUUCCCGGUACAAUACCGGAAAAACCCAAACUUUCCCCGGAACCCGAACAACAACUUUCCAUAUAUAAAUAUUUACCUCCGGACCAUUUCGGAACUCCUCAUGACGUCCGGGAUCUCAUCCGGGACUCCGAACAACAUUCGGUUACCACAUACAAACUUCCUUUAUAACCCUAGCGUCAUCGAACCUUAAGUGUGUAGACCCUACGGGUUCGGGAACCAUGCAGACAUGACCGAGAUGUUCUCCGGUCAAUAACCAACAGCGGAAUCUGGAUACCCAUGUUGGCUCCCACAUGUUCCACGAUGAUCUCAUCGGAUGAACCACGAUGUCAAGGACUCAAUCAAUCUCGUAUACAAUUCCCUUUGUCUAACGGUAUUGUACUUGCCCGAGAUUCGAUCGUCGGUAUAUACCGAUACCUUGUUCAAUCUCGUUACCGGCAAGUCCCUUUACUCGUUCUGUAACACAUCAUCCCGUGAUCAACCCCUUGGUCACAUUGUGCACAUUAUGAUGAUGUCCUACCGAGUGGGCCCAAGAGAUACCUCUCCGUCAACCGAAGUGACAAAUCCCAGUCUCGAUUUGUGCCAACCCAACAGACACUUUCGGAGAUACCUAUAGUGCACCUUUAUAGCCACCCAGUUACGUUGUGACGUUUGGUACACCCAAAGCAUCCCAACGGUAUCCUGGAGUUGCACAAUCUCAUGGUCUAAGGAAAUGAUACUUGACAUUAGAAAAGCUUUAGCAUACGAACUACGAUCUUUGUGCUAGGCUUAGGAUUGGGUCUUGUCCAUCACAUCAUUCUCCUAAUGAUGUGAUCCCGUUAUCAACGACAUCCAAUGUCCAUGGUCAGGAAACCGUAACCAUCUAUUGAUCAACGAGCUAGUCAAUCAGAGGCUUACUAGGGACACAUGUAUCUGAGUUUCCUAUCAAUACAAUUAUAGCAUGGAUAAUAAACGAUUAUCAUGAACAAGGAAAUAUAAUAAUAACUAAUUUAUUAUUGCCUCUAGGGCAUAUUUCCAACAAUGCUUCCAUGCUCAUCUUUUCUACAAUGUAGUGCAGACACACUACCUUCUCUAAAACUUUGAUAACUGUUGUUUGAAGAUUUAGCAUCAAUUAUUCUUUCACUGUCCCUGCACUGCAAAAGAUGAUGUCAGGCGGAAAUGUUUUACCUACAAUCGAAGUUUUUUUUACCAUUAAUAGAUCUGUUUUGUACUCAUCUCUUCUACAAUGUGAAUUGAAUGUACAGGUUCUAGAAAAGUUGGCACUUUUUGUUUAACGAUUUAGCAUAUGUUGUUCUUUCCAGGCUCCUAUAGUUUAAAUGGUGUUGCGAGGCCAUGAUGCAUGGCUGAAACUAAAGAUUUCCCCCAAAAUUGUUUGGGAUGACCUUUGUCAAUUCUUCUGUCAUAAUAGUUUAGUUCUUGCAUAUUGUUUUCUGUUAUACAUUAUCUAAUUUCAGAUGAUCACUAACUUCACUUAUUUGUGUUGCACCUACAAAAUUUUGCCCUAGAAAGAUUUGCAUGCUAUUUGAUUGCCUCUGAAAGUGCUCUAUCUCAAAGUUGUUUCUUAGCGACUCUGCUCUCUCGACUCGAGUCAUUCUACUUCAGUUUGAAAGUUGACUGAUAGAAUUGCAUUUUUAAUUUAAGUUCCUGAAACGCAAAACUCCAAGGCUCGCCAAAAUGUAUUGUUUGGUCGAGAAAUAGGAACAUGAACACUUUGUUGAUGAAUACUUUGUUUUUUAUCGGUUAGAUGUUUCUAAUUGAAGAAAUCCCCUAUAUCACUAAGCUCCCUGGGGAAAAUCGUCCAGGAGAGAUCCAAGCGAUCGAUUGCCUUGUGCGAUCAAUUUUGAUCGGGUCUUCGUGUGUACAACCUGCAUUUGGUGAGGUGGCAGGUCUGUGGGCCUUUUUUAUUAGGGGCGGUUGGCAAGAGCAUGGGUUGUCGGUGGCUGGCAAAGGCGGUAUCUUCUGGUUAAAUGAGGUUUUCUCUGGUCAAAGCGUCCUGGCAGUUGCGAGGGGUUGCGAAGCACGUGGCAGUCGGAGGUAGUGUGGCCGUGCGGGUGUUGCAGUCAUCUAUAGGGGACGGGCGGCUUUUGGGAGGCAUUUGGGUCACCCCCGUUGGGUGCACCGCUGUUGGAUCUUGCUUGCGGGCAGCCGCCAGGGAGGUCGUCGCCGUGUUUACGCUCAAAAGUGGCACGAUCAUAAAGAGUAGCUUGAAGGUAUGUCAAGAUUAAUUCAAACUUAUUAUUAAAAGUCAUCAUGGGAUGGCUCUCUUCGAGAAGGUCAAGAUGGAUAUGAAGAUGGUCUAAAACAGAGCUCAGAUGCAAAAGUUAGGACAAGAUCAGAGAUGCUCAUGUUGACACAAGAUUAAAGAAUGGCUUGAAACCCUAUUAAGAUGGCCUCGUAUGUAAAAAGUUUCAACACAAAGUUGUGCGUCUUGUCAAAACAAUUGAUUUUGAUAUAAAAAACAUCUCAAUCAGAGUUCGUAUGCAAAAGUUAAAGCCAAAACAGUGUGUUGCAGAAGUCUACCCCGGAAGUUCCGGGCAACUUCUGGGCUAAACCGAAAGUUUGCAUGCGGUGCGCCCUGUAAACUGAAAUAUCAACAUUAUUUGCAGAUUUGCAGGCUCGAAUUCAACCUCAAGAUGACCUCAGAUGAAAAAGUGAUCAACUAAUGAGUUUUUCUCCAUUUCAAGAUCUACAACAUUGCUUUUGGGACCACUGCGAUGUGAUGACAUAUGCGAGAUGCAGGAGUGGUGCAAGAGGGCUACUUGAUGUAAUUUUAGCCCGAAAGUUCCGGGACUACCAGAAGUUCCGCCCCCCUAGUCCGAGUUAGGUUAACUUUUGAUGUUUUGGAUGAGAUUUGAGUCCUUUUCUUGUAUGGAAAGUCCAGCCACCUCAUAUAUAUGUAAGAGGUGACGGCCAAUUGAAUAACAACACACAAUCGAUCUAUCAAUAUAUCACUUUUUACCUUUACCUUUAUCUUCUCCCUUGUUCUUCUUCUUUCCUGUUCUUCAUUCGUUCUUCGUGAAGGAGGGCAGUGAUCCACGAGGCCCUAGGGGCGAUGAGGUCGACCUAGGGCAGCCCAUAGUUGCCGCGCACCCUGAUGGGGUCCCUCCCGGACGUGUGGGGUUUUGGGUCUACAAAAGCACCCGCCGGACUGCUUGUGUACCGCGCUUCUGGCCAGGUCUCCUUCAACAUGAGCUGCGGUGCAACAACCUUGGCGUCGAGGGCACAUGGUGACGUGUUCGUGUGCGAACAGACUUUUUGGCGACUCCGCUGGGGACAAAGCUUCGAACGGUCUCCAGCUCGUUCGUACUACGAAGAGAUCAUCAUCUAGGGUUUGCAGUCUACAAAGGUAAUAUGAAUACCCAAUCCCCUUGUGUAGAUGCAAAUAUUUCAUAUAGUGUGUUACUAGAUUGUUCAAUGAGUAUACUCUAUCGGCCAAACCUAGUUUUUUCAAUCAUGCAUCUAACUACGUGCAAGGAUCGACUCAAAGUAAUUUACAAGCUUCAACUUCUUAUGAUACUAGUAUAUACUACCAUGUAUGGCACAUACAUGCAUGUGGGGACAUGUCAUGCUGGACCAUUAUCUUGGUCGCAUUAUCCAACUACCCACUGCCAUGAUUCUUAUAAAUUACACCCUUGUACUGAACCUUUGAUCUUCAUCUCUAGUUUGUACCUUAAGGAUAAGGAUAAGAGCAUCUGUAGCCGGGUGCCUCAAACCCACCUCAAAUGGCCGGACGGGCUGCUCGGUAACUAACGAUCAUGAAAAUUCGACCCAGACGGGCUCUUUAAACGAGCCUCAAAUGCCCGGGCUGACUGGCACCCCUCAUAUCCGGCCCAAACAUGAUGCGGAUUGGGGCCUCGGGCGAAUCCGCCACGUCAGACCUACUAACCCCAUCCACAUUAAAUUGCACCAAAUCCACCAAACGCUUCCUCCUCCUCCCGUCUCCCUCCUACCUUUCCCGCGCACGAGCCCUCGCCGGCCGCCACCCUUGGUCCCCAUCCUCACCACUGGUCUUGAUCCGCCACCUUAGAUGUCGUCCAGCCUGUUCCUGACCACCGCGACGGAGACUACGUCCGCCUCGUCCGUCGGCAUCCCAUCCUCGUCUCCAUCGUGCAAGGCAGAGAACGUCGCCCGGAGGAUGCGUUAACGCCGCAACGAGAGAGGGAAGCGGCAGCACAGGGAGAUACCGACAUGGACGAGCAGCUACCCCCUCCCCCCUCCAUGCCUCGAACCCCGCACCCUAUCCAUCCAAUCAACAAGCGAGACAUCCGUCACAAUCGGACAUUUAUUUCAUUUUGGCACGUCUGGAUUGUUGAACUAUGAUUUUCUUUGCUUUGUCUCGAACUGUUGAAUUUGGACAAUUUGUAUCGUAUGAUCGACGUGCAUGGGUUGCAUGUAUUUGAUUCUCUCCAUUUGAGGUAUGUGGAUGUGCGACAACCCAUAUGAAGGGCCGGCGGGUGCUGUCCACGGACGCGCUCGUGGGCGUAUAGGGGCCCGGACUUGCCAAGUUCGGUUGUAGAUGCUCUAAGUAACAAGUGGAUCACAAUCUAAGUUUGAGAUUAUCUCCAAUGUCUAACUAAACGGGCGUCAUACGUCCCAUCCUUCAGGAUGAAUAAGAUCACAUCUGGCAAAUAAUUAUUUUUUGGUAUCUGUUUUGGUCCUUACAUUAUAUAAAUAUAUUCUCCUAUAUGUUAGUCAGAAUAUUAAUAAUACAUAUUCACAAAAAAUAUUAUGAAUGACGAAUCUACUAACAAUAUUUUCAGUGAGCCAAUUUUAAGUAGUAUUGCCACAUACCGGGAGAUAGCAGCAGAGAAUGUAAUUUACAAACACUUUAAUGAUAUGCAGGCUAUUAGAAGCAAUAGAAAUUGACAAAAACUUCAAAUUAAACUAGUAGGUGCAUACAUUUCGAGGACAUGCAUGAGAGAUCCUUUUUUUAUGAGAUGUUAUUGCAAGUAAAAGCUAUUAUACCUUUUUGGAACUUUUACCAUGUCUCAAACCAUGUACUUAUAUUUAGUUUGUUAGAUUUGUAUUUUUUUCUUUGAAAAAACGAUAUAUAAAAGAAGAAGACUUAAGGACGCCAUUUUUGACUCACAUGAGCAUGUGGUCCCUAGAGCCAAAACAAUGAAAAUUGUUAGAGAUUCCUAUGUAUAAGCUAUUCUUGGUAAGCUAAAGAUAUUUCAUCCUCUAAACUCUUGCUGAAGUCCAAAAUUAACCCAGAACCGCAAAUAACACUAGAACAGAUUAGACUGUCACGCUGGUCAUAGCACCACACUGGAAUAAUCUUCUACAAGUGAUGUUAAAUGACAAAAUUGACCGUCACUACUAGAAUCAGCUACUUUGCCGACUUCCUUGGCAAAGAUCCAAAAGAACUCGGCAAAAAUGUGUUUGCCAUGUGCGGUACUUUGCAAAAAAAAAAUACUCGAUAGAACACAUUGGCAAUAGUUAACUUUGCCGAAUUUUUAUACCAAGAACUCGAGAAUACUCAUAGAGUAUUUCUCGAGUUUCCAAAAAGGAGAACUCUAGAAACCACUAGCGCUAGACGAAAUGACCUAUUAAUGGUGGUGCCACGUGGCCAGAGCAUUGUCGGGUUCUCGCAUGCCGAACUCGGCAGACGCCUGAUGAAUAGAAAUGUGGUGCGUGGCAUAGGUGGUUGCCGAGUUCUUGCCUUUGCCAAGCGUGGAACCCGACAAACGUUCAGCAAAUAUGAUGCGUGGCAGAACUAGCUGCCAAGUUCUUAUCUUUGCAGAGUAUGUUGCAGGAGACCUAGGCAAAUUCUUUGAAGAAUAGUAAUGCGACACAUGGCAUAGACGAGUGUCAGGUUCUUGUAUUUGCUGAGUAUGGCGCCACGGGGACUCGUCAACACCUUUGGGGAGCUUUGUGCAGGGUGAACUCGGCAAAGAAAACCCGUGGAAGACGUUCGGGAGCUGCUUCCGCAUUUUCUGAGUGUGGAACUCGGCAAAGAUUCCUGGAGCUACCAGCUUCUGCCACGUGUCACAUUUUGCCGACUAGUGCGCUCAGCAAAAUGCUCCAGGAAUAGUUUUGUCGAGCGACAAAACUUGGCAAAUGUUCAAUCAUGUUUAUUUAUUAUUUAUUGUUGGGAAAUCUUGCAUACAAAUAAGUACGUAUGCAUAUAUAUCAUCGCAAAGAUACAUAACAUCAUUCAAAUAUCACUUCACAAAAACAACAAGCAAUAUGGCGAUCAUUCGAACACAUUUUACACAAGUGACAUCGUCACAAAUUUAUCCAAGUUAGUCUCAUUGAAGCCAUGUUACUCUAAUGAUAGAUUAAGGUCCAGCUGCAGCACGGGCCGGGCCGGUCCUGCGAUUCCGGUGGUCCUGGGUGAAACUAACACUCGGAUCCUCUCAAUAUAAACAUUAUAACAAUAUCUGCAAAUGUUUAGAUUAUUAAAUGUUACCGGUAGACUAGUAGAAAGAGAUCGUGAAUGAACCAGAAAAACAGAAAAAUGAAGGUGCGUCCGUUCUAAAACUUUGGCCAAGAAUAACAGGAUAAUUGACACAUGGCUCGCCACGUACCUUAUUGAGGCAAAAAAAAAAAUCCGCGCUUCAUUAAGCUUUCGCGUUUGCUAGUACGUAAAAUGGAAAAAAGAUGUACACAACGUAUAUGAAAAAAUUUAUACAAUUUUAUUUAAUAUCUAUCAAAAUUAUUUAAUAUCAUUAUAUAAUGUCGAGCUAUCGAGCUAAAUCGAGCGAGCGAGUGUUGGCUCAUGAUCAGCUCGUUUAUUGAUCGAGCUACAUAAAGUGCUCAUUCUCAGCUCAUUUCUUUUCAAGUCAAACUCAAGUCGAAACAAAAUACGAGUCGAUCUUGAGUGGCUUACGAGCCUCGAGCUUUACUUGCAGCCCUAGCCACCACUACUCCAAUCCAACCAUAGUUUUUAUUUUCUUUAGAGGGUCGACGAUGGACUGUGCUUGUUUACUGACCCAUCUUUUUUCUUUUCAUUUCCCUAUGUUUUUGGCUAGCUUUCGGGCUUUGUCUGCCUGUACAUAUUGCACAUGUUCUCCCUUAAUCCAUGGCAGAGUUGUUGCCGCUUUUGUAGUAACAUAUAUGGACUUGUAGUAGAUUGUCAUGACCUUUCGUCACAGCUAAUGGCUAAAUCCUCACGUACAUGCAUGUGGUGGUAACAUGCGGACUGUUCAGAUCUUAGCUAGAACACACAUUAACUAUCAUAUCAUGUCAUAAUUUUUUAUAGGCCACUGCCAUGAAUAAUAUAUGAAGUACAGAGGACAAUUCAAACAAUCAAAUUUAAAUUACUAUACAUGCGGCCACCCCUCGGGAAUAUAAUUUAUACUUCUUGUUUCUUUUCUUGACACUAAUUGAUACUUCUUGUUGGACGCGAACCAAGCCAAGUAUGUACACCAACUAUCUGAGUUGACAGAUGUAAGUUAGCUUAAUAUUGACUAAUAGACCUAAGAUGCUAGUCAUGAACGAAUCCAUAUCAUCUGUCUGUAUUUGUAGAUGUCGAGUCAUCUUGCACUUUUUGUAAUCGCCCAUUGGCCAACUAGCUAUUAUUUGCAUGGAUACAUCGUCUUAUAUGAUAUAUGUUGCCCACUUUGUUACUCCCUCCGUUCCUAAAUAUUUGCCUUUUUAGAGAUUUCAAAUGACUACCACACACGGAUGUAUAUAGACAUAUUUUAGAGUGUAGAUCCACUCAUUUUGCUCUGUAUGUACUCACUUGUUGAAAUCUCUAGAAAGACAAAUAUUUAGGAACGGAGGGAGUACAUUGCAAGAUUUCUAAGUGCGUCAAAAGGGUGUCCCUAAAGAUGUUUUAUCCAUAGGUUUUACAUUCUUUAUUGAGAGAUUUUGCACAAAAGUUGUACAAUGUUUCUGGUGUACACUAUGUGAAUUUGGUUAUCCUGUUUAUUAGAUGGACAUAUCUCAAUGCUUAAUGGUGACACACAUAUACUCCAAGUUCUUUUGUUCUGGUUAGUCCAUUGUUCGAGGUGAUAAGCAUCUAUAUUACCAUAAGCUAAUCAGUGCUUCAUCAGCUUUGAUAGAUAUGUACUCUAUUUGAACUUUAUUCAGAGAAUUCUAGAUCAGAAUAUUAGCAAGUAAGAUACACAUCAGACUAUACAAUUACAUAAAUUCCAAUACUAAUGCAAGUUGCUGACCGGAAAUCCCUUUUGGUGACCAAGCUCCAAUGAGGCCUCCAAAUUUAAAAUUCAAAUUUCAUCAAAAUCCAUAUUUUGACGUUUCAAAAAAUUCAAAAAAAACAUAGAAAUACAUGAAGGCAUAACACACAUAUGUGUAAAUUUUCAGGGCAAAAUACGUUGAAAUAAGGACUGUGCAAAAAAUACAAAUCUAGGGCUGUUUAACACAUGAUACUAUUCAUCCUCCCAGGCCGUAAAUUUGUCUUUUUUGUACAGGUCGCAACUCAAGGUAUUUCAUCAUGAAUUUUUUACACACAUGUGGGUUACAUCCUUACAUGCAUGCAUUUUUUUUGAAUUUUUUGAAACAUAAAAGUUUGAAUUUGAAUUUUUCAAAAAUAAAGGGCUCCAUGGAGCUCGGCCUCCAAAAUGCCAUUUUCAUUGCUGACAUGUUAAAUCCAUUCUAGCAGUGGUUUUCUUGUAUUGCUAAAUCCGUUCAUUAUGGAGCAUGUGGCUCUGUUGUAGAAAGUUAACUAAAUGGAUUUUCCAGCCGCAAAAAAAAAUUGAAUGGAUUUUCAACAGCUUGAUUUAAUGUUUGGGGAUCCAUAUCGAAAUUUACUCUCUAUUGGGCGAGACUUUGCAAGUAAAACCAAUAUCAUAAAUGCAGCUAAUUAAAUGGAUCUUAACCUUCUCAUAACUGGUAUAACUACAUGCUCUAAUUUAAUUAAUGUGACGUGAUCUUACCAUAGUAAUAUUAUUAUGCAAUGCACAACUAGCAAGUCGACCAAAGAUUCAUAAUAUUAGCACAUCAAGGACUUCAUUAACUGUCAUUUAUAGGUUGUACAUCUGUAGAUCAGAUGAUUUGGAAAUAUUCUCUGGAUGGCACAUCCACAUCAUGUUAUCUAUACUACAGGCUGAGCAUUGAGAUCUAUGUGUCCAAUGGAUAAGAAACUAAGAUACAAGCACCACAUCUAUAUAGCAUCCAUAGAGAUUAUAACAUGGAUGCACUUGACAUAUUGUCCACACCCAUAAUAUAUGAUGGCAUAUAGGUCCAUCCAUACAAUAAGAGCUACUUAUUUGGCCUAUGGAUGCCGACAUAAAGGGAAGAUCCGUCGGCAUAUACUAACAGACAAAACAAUAUGGCUUCAAUUUGACUAUCUUAGGUAUUUUCGUCAAUUUUAAGCUUACAUGCAUGGGUGAAGUAGAUAGUCAUGACCUUUCACCAAAGCUAAUAACUGAGGUCGCACACGCAGGCAUGUGGAGUGUUUCCAAUCUUAGCUAGAACGCACAUGAAUUAUCACAUGCAUGCUACAAUAGUUGAAUGACAUCCGACGCAUCCAUAUACUACAUCCUGUCAUGAUAUCUUUUAUAUGCCACUGACAUGAGUCAUAUAUGAAGUAUAUAGGGAAAUUUAGAUCUAUUUUAAAUUAAUAUACAUGUAGCUAGCUGCCCCUGAGGGAUUUAAUUGCAUAUUAUAAUUACAAUAUAUAUUUGCAACUAGUCCAUGGAAAUAUAAUUGUGUCUUUUGGUUGUACGCAAACCAAGGUAAGUACCAACGUAUCUAAAGGCGUACAUGUGUGUACACCAACUAUCUGACUUGACACAUUUAAAUUAGCUUAAAAAUUACGAAUAUAACUUAUUAAGAUGCUUGUCAAAAUGAAUCCAUAUCCAUUGCUUGCAUUAGUUGAUGUCGAGCAAUCUUGCACUUUCUGUAAUUGUCCGUUGGCCAACUAGCUUUUAUUUUUCGGAUAAUUUUUUCUUUUAUAAUAUAUGUUUCCCUCUUUGUUACAAUUUAAAGUUGCUAAGUGCAUCAAAAGGAUAAAUCACCUAGAUAUAAUCAAAGAGGGGCAUGAAAAUAGAAAUCCCAUUUAUUUAUAGCUUUUACAAUUUUUAUCGGUAUGUUGUACAAAGGUGGUGUAUAUACCUUUUGUUUAAGUGUACACUACGCGAAUUUGUCUAUUUAUUAGAUGCACAUAUCUAAAUACUUAAAGUGGCACAUGUUUAUUCCAAAUUAUUAUGUUCUACAUAUAUGGUAUAGUUUACUAUUGCUUGUUAGUUCAUUCUUCGAUGAGAUAAGCAUUUAUAUAACCAUAAGAACCAUAAACUUACCAAUAUUUAGAAAUUAUAGUGAAUUUAGAUAGUUGGCUUGUGAGACAUCCUUAUGUGGAUAAAAAAACCAUACCUAAUCCUGACAUGGAAAACUAGUCAUGUUAGAUCCUUAGUUGGAUUACAGGUCUAAGUUGCAUAGGGUGUUAAAAAGUCUAAAACAACACUAAUUAAAGGCCCAAGAGAAGCCCACCAGAGGUGGGCACUAGCACUCCAAGCAUUCUAUAUAUAGGAUACAUCUACCCUCUUAUUCUCUCACAAAACACAACGAGAUACAACUCCCCCCCUCCCCCAUUCAACUAGCCCAUUCAGUUCUCUCUUUUCCCCUUCUUGCAUACAAUCAUCUCCAUGGCUAGUCCAUUCGGUGUCUUGGUUUGUCUACUCAUAGUGCUACCACAAAUCCUUGCUAUUUCUAGCCCCAUCGACGAGAUUGCACCUCUUAAGACAUGUCAGUUCCCUUGUAUGACCGAGGUUAACUUGCACUUGUUCUUGCACCAAUUCGUCGACGGGCCAAACAACCCAAACCGCAAUGAGGAAACCUUACUCCAAGCAAGUUUUAUUUUUGGGUUUGGGACGACGGUAGUCCAUGACUGGACUCUUACUAAGACAACAAAUUCCAGAGACACGGUUGUUGCACGUGUACAAGGUGUGCAUGUCCAGGCUGGUUUAACCAAGCCUAACAGAUGGUACACAACUCAUAACAUAGAGUUUCAGCAAGGAAGGUAAUAUGUUUUGCUACUUUUCAAUAUCUAAGUAUAUUUCAUGAGUUCUUUGCAUGCAACAUUAAAUUUAUGUCCUUACCUGUACUAUAUUAAUAAGUGUGCAUUUGUCAAACUCUACAUGCACUUCUGACCCUAUGACGGAACUUUCUAUUUUGAACAUGAAACAGGUUUGCGGGGUCCACCCUUCAAGUGAUGGGAUAACCGCAGGUUUGGAAAGUGGGCAGUGGUCUAUUGUCGGUGGAACUGGUCAAUUCAUUAUGGCACAGGGUAUAAUAAGUUUCACAAAUCAUCCGGCCUCUACUUUUGAAGAUGGUAUUAAAGAACUCAAUAUUCGUGUACGCUUCACAAGGGAUAUUACACAAGCCGUAAGUAUAAUAUUAUGAGUUUAUAUUCAAAUUCGUGUGCUCUAUUUGUUGAAGAGAAAUGGAUUGUACCAUACAUAUUAUCCUACUGAAAUUGCAUUACAUUAAGAUAUUUGUGGACAUUCAAGUGCAAAUGCAUUAAAUGAGGUUCUGUUUUAACAACAUUAGCCAUAUUUAACUAAAUCAAAUGCUUGUUGAAUGUUUUGUGCAUUUAGUUUAUAGGGUGUUGCAUAUCAAGUAAUGAAGCUUUAUGUACGAAUGCUUGACAUGACACUAGCCAUGGUUUCACUUUUCGUUGCAGGCUUGAGGUGCAUCUCGUCCCUUGAAAGACUAGCGCCAAUGUCAGUAAUUUGAUGGGGAAAUGUGUUUGCAUUUUGCUUGUAGUGUGAUGGGUCGUUGUUGUGGUCUGCCUGUGUCAUUAGAGUAUGCGUUAGCUAGCAUACCCUCUUUCUAUCUUUCAUUCAAAAUAUCAUGUGGGUUUCUCGCAUGGUGGAUAUCCAGUCCAUAAUCUUUGUCAACCCAUCUGUUUGUUGGUGUCUAUGUAAUGUCUUGGAUAUGAUGUGGAAUAAUGGAGCUUGUUUGUUUGAGAAAGUGUUAUACCCACAUAAUUAUAUUAUUUGUGUUAAUCAUGAGACAAGCAUAUAUGAAAACUUAAAGCAAAACAAAUUAAUGAACACAAGACCACCGUUAUUCAUACACUUAACAGUGUCUAUCCCGAAUGCAGUUUACCUCAAGGACUAUAAGAGCCCCAUUAUUUUCCACAACGUCUAGAAUAAUUGCCAACAAAGAUAUCACCCAGGCGGCCAUGACAUAAUGCAAUUAUAUAAAAAUGAUAGCCAUGUUAUUUGGUAGCAUCGACAGAUGCAUAUACAUGUCUUGUACUCUUUUAAUAAAUACACAAAAGAUUUAUGCAUUGAUGUAUUGCAAGGGAAAAAAAAAUUAUGCAUGGUAUAGAAUUGAGGCUCUUAACCACAAGGACCUAGGCUCGACCUUGUCUCGAACAACGCAGGGCUACAACGGCUAUACUUCCUCCAUAAAGAAAUAUAAGAGUGUUUAGGAAGAGCGGCAUUACUGAGAUGGGCGGCAUCUGAACAUGUUAUCUUGGUCCUACGUCCAGCUCCAGGGAUUUGUGCUAGUGGGUCCAUGACAGGAAAUACGGGUGGAAGAAAUUGACGUCGACUGGUGGUAUACGGGGAUGAACAGUGAUGUAUGCCAGCGCCCGGGCUCGUCUUUUUGAAAUGCACGUUACGCUGACGAGCCGAGCUGUCGAUCGGGUCCGUCACGAGAACCUGACCCAAGGAUCAGAAACAUAAUCACACUGUCUGCUGCUUAGACACGCGUCGUCUGCUGCAGGGCCAACCAGCGGCCCAACACGUGUCCUGACAGACCCCCACCACUCAAACAACCACAAUUCCUUUUUCCGAAUUUACAGAAUAUCUUUUUGCCUUGCCUUAUCCAGCAGACUGUUGCUGUUCCACACUCCAUAGCCUCUCCUUGUACAGCUCCGUGAAAGAUGAUUCCGACAAGGUGAGGUCCGCCGCUCGGCGCCGUAGCUGGCGGCCAGAUGGGAGCUGUCGCGGCUAGCGCCGCCCGCCUCCGACCUGCUGCACCCCGUGGGGCAGUGGCCUUGACUGAAGGCAAGAUGGGGUCUGUGCAAGCUAGCUCCGCUUGCUUCAGCCGCGCUGCGCCGCACGGGGUUGUAUCCUUGGCCGGUGUGAAGUCGGAGGGCGUCGCGGGUAGCACUGCCCACGUCCAGUGCGUCCAAGGCUGCGGCCGACCAGCUCCCUCGUAGAAGGUGGAACCACAGCGUGUGCACCCAGUCGGCGGGCGAGGCCGUGGCCGGUGGCGAGAUGCCGCGGGAGGUCGUUGGGUCACACUUGAAGAAGCAUGAGCUCGAUGCAUCUCAACAGGCAAAGGUGAUUCUAGUUGCUUGCUUCAAUCCAACGUUUUGGCUACCGAAUCCCAAGAAAAUACCGAGGGUGGGCGAGAAACGUGGAUACCGUGGUUACCGUAAAAUUCCGAGCAAAAGCCGCUCGAAUUUUUCAAAAGUAAUUUGAAUUCAAAUUUUUCUGAGCUAGGAAUAUAUAAGUAUUGAGCUCAAGUGGUUCACAAACAAGGUGUUCGCGCAGUGGCAUGUUCUCGUCGUACGUCCUCAACGUAUGCAAGGUCGUGGGUUCGAUUCUCUAACCUUGAGUUUUAGAAUAUUUAUUUUAGAAUUGGUUAAACAAAAAAGAAAACAGUGUCUAUCCCUAAAGCAGUUUACCUCAAGGGCCAUGCCCUAUUAUUUUCCACAACGUCUAGAAUAAUUGCCAACAAAGAUAUCACCCAGGCGGCUAUGACAUAAUGCAAUCAUAUAAAAAUGAUAGCCAUGUUAUUUGGUAGCAUCGACAGAUGCAUAUACAUGUCCUGUAUUCUUUUUACAAAUACACAAAAGAUUUAUGCAUUGAUGUAUUGCAAGCGGAUAAAUUUAUGCAUGUUAUGGAAUUGAGGCUCUUAACCACAAGGACCUAGCCUCGACCUUGACUCGAACAAGGCAGGGCUACAACGGUUGUACUUCCUCUAUAAAGAAAUAUAAAAGUGUUUAGGGAAAGCGGCAUUACUGAGAUGGGCGACAUCUAUGGGCGGCAUCUGAACUUGUUAUCUUGGUCAUACGUCCAGCUCCAGGGAUUUGCGCUAGUAGGUCCAUGGCAGGAAAUGCGGGUGGAAGAAAUUGACGUUGACUGGCAGUAUACGGGGAUGAACAGUGAUGUGCGCCAGCGCCCGGGCUCGUCUUUUUGAAAUGCACGUUACGCUGACGAGCCGAGCCGUUGAUCGGGUCUGUCACGAGAACCUGACCCAAGGAUCAGAAACGUAAUCACGCUGUCUCCUGCUUAGACACGCGUCGUCUGCUUCAUGGCCAAUCAGCGGCCAACACGUGUCCUGACGGACCCCCACCACUCAAACAACCACAAUUCAUUUUUCCUAAUUUACAUAAUAUCUUUUUGCCUUGCCUUAUCCAGCGGACUGCUGCCGUUCCACACUCCAUAGCCUCUCCUUGUACAGCUCCGUGAAAGAUGAUUCCGACGAGGUGAGGUCCACCGCUCGGCGCCGUAGCUGGCGGCCAGACGGGAGCUUUCGCGGCUAGCGCCGCCCGCCUUCGGCCUGCUGGGCCGCGUGUGUCACAUCCCUAGUUCUGGUAUGACCUAGGCUAGCUAGUCAUUUGUGCAUCAUGUUUAAAUUCCAUUUAAAUUUAAAAUGGGGAUUUGUGAAACCCUCAGAAUCAUCUCUGAAAAUGACCCAAAUAAAAAUUGCUCCAAAAGGGUCCAAGAAAAUGUUCAUGUUGCUCUCUAAAAAUAUUGGACAGAGAUAAAAAUCAAACCAAUAUUUUUUAAGAGCUCGUAUUUAUUUUGGGCUUUUGGAAUUAAUGCAGUAAUUAUUUGCUUUGGAUAUAUAUUGUUAUAUAUAUACAAUAUUGUCCAAAAAUUAUGCCAUUUGUUGAGGAGCUCUGGAAUAAUACCACUAGUUCCUACAAAAAUUGACAUAAGUAAAUAAAAUGAUUUAGUAUUUUUAUUAAAUCAAAACAAAUGUCAAAAAAUAGAAAAGAAAAAUAAAAGGGAGAAGAGACUUACCUGGCGCUUACCUCCCUGUGCAGCCCGUUCCUGUGCGGCCUGGCCGGCCCAGUUGGCCAGCCCAGCCCACCUGGCCCUCGUCCUCUGUCGUCUUCCUCCCCCUCGCCCAAAGCAGCUGCGUGCCCGCGCCACAGCCGGCCGUGGCCACGUCGCCGCCACCUCCUGCUUCCCUCCUCAUCGCUCUGGCCUCCCUGGACGUCGCCACGACGCCCCGCACCUCUCUCCCUCUCUCUCAUUCCUCCCCCUCCCCUGGUUUCUCUCCCACACACACGGCCGAACGCCCCCGUCGCCGCUGCUCGCCGUCACCAUAGCCACCGCCUCCCCCUCGCCUCUCUGAUACGCGCAGGAGCUCCGCCUCCUCGUCCUGAAGCUCUCCGCCGAGCCACGCAAGCCGGAGCGCCCCGUGGAGCCGUCGCCAUCGCCAUCUUCGCCUCCGGUCGCCGGAGAUCGUCUUCGCCGCCUCACCGUCUUCAGCGCGUCCCCGAGCUCGCCGACAAGCCCGUCGAGUCCGCUAUGAGCUUCUGCUCCGUUCCCCUCUCCCCACUCCUCCGUUCUCGCGCCGUAGCCCCCUUUCCCCGCCAUGGCCGUAGCUCCUCGCCGCCGUUCAUGUCGCCGUCGUCGCCCUGGCCACCGUAGGCCGCAACCGAGCGCGUCACCGUGCUCCUGGUGCCACGAGGGUGCCGCAGAGCCCCUCGGUUGGCCUCCCCGUGCCCUCCAGGCCCUCUGCCGCUCGAGCCCGAGCUCCGGCCGCCGCCGCGAGCUCUGCUCCGGCGAGCUCCGGCCUCCCCGGCUCCUCCCCCCUGCCCCACUGGAUGUGCGCGAGCACCAGCUCCUCGGAGAUGGUCUCCGCCGUCCGAAUGGUCACCGGAGCGACAAUCCCGAGCCCUCCGCCGUUUCGGGCCUCGCUGGCGGCUUAACGCCGGUGGGGUUGACCGCCUUGACCGCGCCGGCCUGUUAGGUGGGUCCGGCUCGUCAGGUGAUUAGCUUAAGCUAAUCACCACCUAAUCUAACCCCCCUGACAAUGACAGUGGGCCCCGGCGCCCUAAUCUUUUAAUUAGGCUUAAACUAACCACUGUUUAACCCUGAGUCACUGACGUGUGGACCCCACUGGUUAGGUUUGACCUGGUCAGCCGCAGUUGACUCGCUGACGUCAUAGUGACGCAGUGCUGACGCAGUUAAUUCUUUUAUGGAUUUAAAUUAAAUCAGGAAAUUCCAGAAAAUGAUUUAAACUUCAAAAAAUCAUAGAAAUUCAACCGUAACUCAGAUUGAAAUAAUUUAUAUAUGAAAAAUUAUCAGAAAAAUGCAAUCUUCCCAUCUGUUCUAAUUUCAUGCAUGACAAACCAACUUAUACCUACUGUAUAAGUGAUACACUAAAAUGGCUUAUAUAAAGAGCUUAUUUUGGAGAUGCAUUUGAAUCUUUGGUUCAAAUGGAUUUCACCUAAAUGAUUGCUAGCUGCAUUAGCUCAAUCAGCAUCACCUCUACAUGCCAUGUUCAUGCAUCAUAUUGUUGCAUAUGCUUGUGUAUUGAUUGUUGGCACCGUUACCUCUCGAUAGGUCCUGCUCCGGAGAGUGUUCCAGAGUACCUGUCUAAGGAGCAGUGCCACCCUGUUGAUCUACCAGGCAAGCAAACCCCCUUGUUCAUUCCGAUACAAUCCUACUCUCUCGCUCCUGCUCUCAUUUAUUGCAUUAGGACAACAACGAUUGAAUUGCUACUUUGUGCUGCGGUAGUUGAACCCAUUCCUCUGCAUGACCUGUCAUUGCCACAGUAAAUAGUUGAAACCCACUAGCAUGUGUAGGAGUUGAUUGUGCCAUGUUGUGUUCCUACCAUGCUAUGCCUGCUAUUGCUUAGAGUGUGUCAGGUCUGAUUCAUUGGGAAUGAAUUGGAGUGCAGUGUUCUAUGUUCUGAUGCUGAGAGUGAAGUGUGUGAACACGAUUUGGUGAAGGUAGCGGUGAGAGGCCAUGUAGGAGUACAUGGUGGGUUGUCUCACUGGAACUGUCCUUAAGCACUGAGUUCUAUGUAUGUUGUCCAAUGAGUCGAUACUACCACACAUUGGGUUCCGGUAACUCGACCCCUCUCGACUUAUUAACCAACUUGAUCUCUGUCCAGGAGUCGCAACUAGUUUCUGGUGUUUGUAGGUAGUGCUAUUUUUCUACCAAGUGGCACCCGGCAGGGUGGGCUUGGGACAGACUAGGCACACGUGGCCUGGUGUACCGAGUGGCACCCGGAUGGUGGGCUCAGGAACCCUGCACACAUCGUUUGGGGCCGUGAGCGAAACCCCGGCCGGAUCUCCUUGCGGAUGGAACCCGAAUAGGCGAUAAACCUGGACUAGAGUCUUGUGUGGUUAGUCAGGUCGUGGCCGACACCCUCGCCAGGCUUCCGCUUGAAGGUUGCCGAGUUACAUGACAUGUACAUGGACGUAAGUGGCGAGAGCGUGUGUGAAGAAGUACACCCCUGCAGGGUUAACAUGAUCUAUUCGAAUAGCCGGGUCCGCGGUUAUGGACUUCUUGGAUGCUUACAUGGUACAUAGAUAACUUGAAGUGGAUACUAUAAAAUGCUCAAGACAAGUGUGAGUGCUAUGGAUGGCCUUCUCGUAGGGAGACGAGGAUGAAUCCAUAGUAGUGUAUUGUGUGGUGAUUAGUGGACUCGUGUGCGCCGUAUCACCUCAAAGAAGUUCUGGUAGUCGUAGAACAGGAUAGCCACAGAGUCAAAGCUGGCUUGCUGCAACUAAACCCCACAUUACCCUCUUGAUAGAAAUGCAUGUAUGAUAGGAUCUGAUGUAAGUCUUGCUGAGUACCUUUGUACUCAUGUUGCUUUAUUUAUGUUUUUGCAGCGGAGACUUCGGUCUUACUAGUGUUCUCGUGGACUUCGACAAGUAGCUUGUACCUCAGCUACGAUCUUGAUCGGAUAUUGUAGUUAGUCAGGCUCUUCAGCCUUUUUCAUUUGUAGAUGUUUGUACCCAGACAUGUAAUGCUUCCGCUUGUUGCUUGUAUGCUCUGUAUGAUGGGUCUUGUGACCCCUGUUUGCAAUAAAUGCUAUGAUGGCUCUUUGAGCCUUAUCUAUAUGAGUUGUUGAGUUAUGCUGUGAUGCCAUGUUGUACAACACAUACUUGCAUGUUAUGCGUACGUGUAAUGUGUAUUGCUAUGUGUGGGAUCUGACUAUCUAGUUGUUUAUCCUUAGUAGCCUCUCUUACCGGGAAAUGUCUCCUAGUGCUUCCACUGAGCCCUGGUAGCUUGCUACUGCUCCGGAACACUUAGGCUGGCCGGCAUGUGCCCUUCUUUGUUUCUGUGUCUGUCCCUUCGGGGAAAUGUCACGCGGUGUCUACCGGAGUCCUAUUAGCCUGCUACAGCCAAGGUUUACCGGAGUCCUGCUAGCCCAGUUGCUACAGCCCGGAUUCACUCGCUGAUGACCGACACGUUCGAUGUUGGGUCAUGUAUGCCUGUCCCUAUAAGUUAGUGCCACUUUGGGUUCACGACUAGCCAUGUCAGCCCGGGUUCUUUGUCAUAUGGAUGCUAGAGACACUAUCAUAUACGUGUGCCAAAAUGCGCAAACGGUCCCGGGCAUGGUAAGGCGACACCCGUGGGAAUACCGUGCGUGAGGCCGCAAAGUGAUAUGAGGUGUUACAUGCUAGAUCGGUGUGGCAUAGAAUCAGGGUCCUGACAGCUUUAGUAUCAGAGCCUGACUGCCUGUAGGAUUACCAAGCCAAACUGGUCGAAGUUGAGUCUAGAAAUUCUUUAGUUAUAUAAGGGAAUUGAUUGUGGGAAGGAACGUAAGGCUCUUUUUACUCCUUAUACCUCAUGGCCUUCUGAUCGGAGUCAUCCUAUCUUUCCUACGGGGUUAGGGAACUAGGCUUUCUCUUCCGUCUAUCAGGAUCACGUGUUACUACUCCGUAGUCCCAUAGGAUUGGUUGAUCAGAGUCAUAUCCCAGUUUCGAGUACUUCCGGUGUAGUCUGUUUAGUACUAUCCCAGAACCUUGAGUGGUGAUGUUGAGUUGUUGUACUACCCCAUUGUUGGCAGGAUGUCUCAUUCUGAGCAUUCUACUGCCGUUAUGCUGCCGGAAUUGCCCUAGGAGUUCGAGAGUUACCAAUUUCCUUGUCCUACAUUCUACAACCUAUAGUUGAUGCUGAUUCCGUCCUUGGUUUCGUUUCUCAGGAUGUCAUCAGCUAAGCGAAAUUCUGUUGUUCGUAGCCAGAACCACGGAGAUGGUAGGGACGAGGAUCCUCCCGACCCGCCUUCGUUGACAGAGUUCAUGUUAGAAAUGGAGAGGAACAAGCGUGAGUCUAACCGCUUGUUGGCACGUAUCGAGGAGAACACCGCACAUGAGUUCAAAGGGUCUGUAACCAUUCAUGACUUCAUUCGCUUGCACCCACCUACCUUUCAUCAUUCCAUUGAGCCACUCGAUGCAGAUGACUGGCUCCGUAGCAUCACUCAUAAGUUGCGUUCCGCGAACGUAGCUAAAGAUGACAAGGUCACCUAUGCCACAUACCACCUGGAAGGUCCUGCUAGUCUUUGGUGGCAGAACUAUGAGGCUAUGCUUCUAGCUGGUCAGAUUCCUACCUGGAGAGAUUUCACUGAUGCUUUUCGCGAGCAUCACAUUCCUGAAGCCCUCAUUGAUCGCAAGAGAGAAGAGUUAUGUAGUUUCACCCAGAGUAAGAUGGCUGUUGAUGCUUACAGUAGAGAGUUUGAGAACCUCGCCCGCUAUGCCACAGAAGAGGUGUCCACGGAUGCCAAGAAGCAGGCUAGGUUCCGGAAGGGUCUCCACCCCAAGUUGCGUCGUGAUCUCCACCUACAUCAUUGUGAUACAUUCCAAACUCUUGUGAACAAGGCCAUUAAUGCAGAGACAGCUCAGCUCACUUACAAGGAGUCUCGUAAGCACAACCGUGAUUUGGGAUCUUCCUCCAGUUCUGGUUCUCAGAAGCGUCGGAUUUGGAUUCCAAACUCCGCUCUUCCUCCUGGAUAUUCACCGAGACCAUCUUAUGUGGUGCCUCCCCCAGCUCAAUCGUAUGUUCCACCCAGGCCUACUGGUAGACCGCUUGUCAGUGCGGGUCCACGUCCAACCUCAGGGACUUGCUUCACAUGCGGGAAGCCAGGACACUAUGCAUGUGACUGCUCUCAGACUAGUUGUGUUCCACCCCAGCCCGAGAAGUCUGUUGGCCAUGGUAAGCCAUCAAGCAAGACGAUCAGUGCCAAGCCAGCCCCCACUGAACGUGGACGUGUGCAUCACGUCUCAGCUAAAGACGCUCAUGAUGAUCCGGAUGUCGUUCUUGGUACACUCCUUGUCAAUUGUCAUCCAGCAUCGGUUCUGUUCGAUACUGGAGCAUCUCAUUCUUUCAUUUCUGAAGGCUAUGCUCGUUUGCAUGACAUAUCAUUUUGUGAUAUGCCAACUCCGCUUGAAAUCCAAACCCCAGGGUCUAGAUGGCAAACCACCAGAAUCAGCUAUGGUAAUGAAAUCCAUGUUGAUAGACUUGUAUUUCUUGCAUCACUUGUAGCCCUCAAGUCCUCAGAUAUUAACAUCAUCUUGGGGUAUGGACUGGAUGACAGCUCAUCAUGCCAAGAUUGAUUGUUACACCAGAUCUGUUCAGCUUACACACCCAUCUGGCAAGAUAGUCACUGUCUCCACCAGAGUUGCAAAGCACCAACUCUAUUCUCUUAAUGCCAGCCCUCUCCCUGACCUUGAAGAUAUCCCGGUAGUCCGUGACUUUCCGGAUGUCUUUCCAGAGGAACUGCCAGGUGUUCCACCUGACAGAGAUGUAGAGUUCGUCAUAGAUCUUAUUCCAGAAACUGCUCCAAUCUCUAGGAGACCUUACAAGAUGGCACCCUUAGAACUAGCCGAGCUUAAGAAACAACUUGAUGAGUCCUUGCAAAAGGGUUUCAUCCGUCCUAGUUCUUCUCCUUGGGCUUGCCCCGUCCUCUUCAUCAAGAAGAAGGAUGGUACGGACCGGAUGGUUGUAGAUUAUCGUCCCGUUAAUUUGGUCACAAUAAAGAACAAGUAUCCGCUCCCCAGGAUCAACGAUCUGUAUGAUCAGCUCGCUGGAUCCUCAGUCUUCUCCAAGAUGGAUUUGAGGUUAGUCUACCACCAAAUCAAGAUCAGAAACGGGGACAUCCCCAAGACAGCCUUUGUCACUCGUUAUGGCCAGUACGAGUACACCGCCAUGUCCUUCGGCCUAACCAACGCCCCAGCCACUUUCUCCCGCUUGAUGAACUCGAUCUUCAUGGAGUACUUAGAUAAAUUCAUCGUGGUUUAUCUUGAUGAUAUUCUUAUUUACUCGAAGAACAAGGAAGAGCAUGCCGAACAUCUUAGACUUGUGUUAGAAAAACUCAGAGAGCACCGCCUUUAUGCCAAGUUCUCCAAGUGCGAAUUUUGGUUGCCAGAAGUGACCUACUUAGGCCACGUAAUCUCCGGUAAGGGCAUUGCUGUCAAUCCCGAGAGAGUUAAGGCCGUUCUUGAUUGGACUCCACCUGAAACCGUUAAACAAGUUAGGAGUUUCCUUGGUCUAGCCAGCUAUUGUCGCCGCUUUGUUGAAAACUUCUCCAAAGUAGCCAAACCUCUCACGGAACUUCUCAAGAAAGAUAAAAAGUUUGAGUGGUCCCCACAGUGUGAGUAUAGUUUUCAGGAACUGAAAAGACGCCUAACUUCUGCUCCCAUACUUGUGCCACCGGAUUUCACAAAGGACUUUGUUAUCUACUACGACGCCUCACGACAGGGACUAGGUUGCAUUCUUAUGCAGGAUCGUCAUGUGAUUGCCUAUGCAUCUCGACAGUUGCAUCCACAUGAGGAGAAUUAUCCUACACAUGAUCUAGAGCUUGCAGCCGUAGUCUAUGCACUCAAGACCUGGCGACAUUACCUCCUUGGUAAACGUUGCGAGAUCUACACCGAUCACCAGAGUCUCAAGUAUAUCUUCACCCAACCGGAUCUGAACCUUAGGCAAAGACGUUGGUUGGAAGUGAUCUCAGAUUAUGAUCUAGGGAUUACUUACACUCCAGGCAAAGCCAAUGUCAUGGCUGAUGUGCUAAGUCAUAAAUCCUAUUGCAACAAUCUCAUGUUGCAGCAGGGCCAACCACUUCUCCAUGAGGAAUUCUGUAAGCUUAACCUUCACAUUGCUCCUCAUGGAUUCCUUUCUACCUUGGUGGCGAAACCUACUCUUGUGGAUCAUAUCAUAGAAGCCCAGAACCAUGAUACGGGGAUUACCCGGAUCAAGAGAAACAUUGCCAAAGGUGUUGCUGGAAGUUUCUCUAUAGAUAAUCGAGGUGUUGUUUUCUUUGGGAACCGCCUGGUGGUCCCCAAGAAGCAACAUCUUCGACAAUUGAUUCUUAAGGAGGCGCAUGAAUCUCCUCUCACGAUUCAUCCCGGUAGUACUAAGAUGUAUGAGGACCUACGCGAGAGGUUCUGGUAGACUAGGAUGAAGAGAGAGAUUGCUCAAUUCAUUGCUAACUGUGACGUUUGUCGUCGCGUUAAGGCAGAGCAUCAAAGACCUGCUGGCACCCUUCAGCCUUUAGCUAUUCCUGAUUGGAAAUGGGAUAAAGUUGGUAUGGACUUCAUCACCGGCUUUCCCAGGACCAAGAAAGGGAAUAAUGCUAUCUUCGUAGUCAUUGAUCGUCUCUUCAAAGUGGCGCACUUCCUUCCUAUUCGAGAGAGUAUCACCGCUAGUCAGCUCGCUGACUUAUAUAUUUCUCGAAUAGUAUCACUUCAUGGUGUUCCACUAGAGAUCAAUUCAGACCGUGGUAGUCUUUUCACUUCUCAUUUCUGGGAGAGUUUCCAAACUGCCAUGGGAACCCAUCUUUCCUUCAGUACCGCUUUCCACCCUCAGUCGAAUGGUCAGGUGGAACGGGUCAAUCAAAUUCUCGAAGACAUGCUUAGAGCUUGCGUUAUCUCAUUCGGUAUGGAUUGGGAGAAAUGUCUUCCUUUUGCCGAGUUUGCUUAUAACAAUAGCUAUCAAUCCAGUCUCAAGAAAGCUCCUUUUGAGGUUCUCUAUGGACGAAGAUGUCGAACACCUUUGAACUGGUCAGAACCGGUGAAAGACAAUUCUUUGGACCGGACAUGAUCCAGGAGGCAGAAGAGCAAGUUCGCAUCAUUCGUGAGAAUUUGAAAACAGCCCAGUCUCGUCAAAAGAGCCAGUAUGAUCGUCAUCAUAGGGAUAUGACCUAUGAAAUUGGCGACAAAGCUUAUCUUUGGGUUACUCCUUUGAAGGGUACCCAUCGAUUCGGUAUCAAGGGCAAGUUGGCUCCUUGUUACAUUGGUCCUUUUCACAUUCUCGCUAAACGAGGAGAGGUUGCCUACCAGUUGGAACUACCCCCACAUAUUUCUCGAGUCCAUGAUGUCUUCCACGUCUCUCAACUCAGGCGUUGCUUCUCGGAUCCUAUCCACGGAGUGGACCACGAAACGCUUGAUCUCCAAGAUAACCUCACAUAUCGAGAGUACCCGGUUCGCAUUCUUGAUCAAGCAGAGCGUGUCACUCGACGUCAUAACAUCAAGUUUCUCAAGGUUCAGUGGUCUCAUCAUUCUGAGAGAGAAGCUACUUGGGAGCGAGAAGAUCGUCUUCGAAUGGAGUACCCUGCUUUCUUUCCGUCGACCCCUGAAUCUCGAGACGAGAUUCUUUCAAGUGGGGGCGAGUUGUCACAUCCCUAGUUCUGGUAUGACCUAGGCUAGCUAGUCAUUUGUGCAUCAUGUUUAAAUUCUAUUUAAAUUUGAAAUGGGGAUUUGUGAAACCCUCAGAAUCAUCUCUGAAAAUGACCCAAAUAAAAAUUGGUCCCAAAGGGUCCAAGAAAAUGCUCAUGUUGCUCUCUAAAAAUAUUGGACAGAGAUAAAAAUCAAACCAAUAUUUUUUAAGAGCUCAUAAGUAUUUAUUUUGGGCUUUUGGAAUUAAUGCAGUAAUUAUUUGCUUUGGAUAUAUAUUGUUAUAUAUAUAUACAAUAUUGUCCAAAAUUAUGCCAUUUGUUGAGGAGCUCUGGAAUAAUACCACUAGUUCCUACAAAAAUUGACAUAAGUAAAUAAAAUGAUUUAGUAUUUUUAUUAAAUCAAAACAAAUAUCAGAAAAUAGAAAAGAAAAAUAAAAGGGAGAAGAGACUUACCUGGCGCUUACCUCCCUGUGCAGCCCGUUCCUGUGCGGCUUGGCCGGCCCAGUUGGCCAGCCCAGCCCACCUGGCCCUCCUCCUCUGUCGUCUUCCUCCCCCUCGCCCAAAGCAGCUGUGUGCCCGCGCCACAGCCGGCCGUGGCCACGUCGCCGCCACCUCCUGCUUCCCUCCUCAUCGCUCUGGCCUCCCUGGACGUCGCCACGACGCCCCGCACCUCUCUCCCUCUCUCUCAUUCCUCCCCCUCCCCUGGUCUCUCUCCCACGCACACGGCCGAACGCCACCGUCACCGCUGCUCGCCGUCACCGUAGCCACCGCCUCCCCCUCGCCUCUCUGAUAUGCGCAGGAGCUCCGCCUCCUCGUCCUGAAGCUCUCCGCCGAGCCACACAAGCCGGAGCGCCCCGUGGAGCCGUCGCCGUCGCCAUCUUCACCUCCGGUCGCCGGAGAUCGUCUUCGCCGCCCCGCCGUCUUCAGCGCGUCCCCGAGCUCGCCGACAAGCCCAUCGAGUCCGCUGUGAGCUUCUGCUCCAUUCCCCUCUCCCCACUCCUCCGUUCUCGCGCCGUAGCCCCCUUUCCCCGCCAUGGCCAUAGCUCCUCGCCGCCGUUCAUGUCGCCGCGAUCGCUCUGGCCACCGUAGCCCGCAACCGAGCGUGUCACCGUGCUCCUGGUGCCACGAGGGUGCCGCAGAGCCCCUCGGUUGGCCUCCCCGUGCCCUCCAGGCCCUCUGCCGCUCGAGUCCGAGCUCCGGCCGCCGCCGUGAGCUCUGCUCCGGCGAGCUCCGGCCUCCCCGGCUCCUCCCCCCUGCCCCACUGGAUGCGUGCGAGCACCAGCUCCUCGGAGAUGCUCUCCGUCGUUCGGAUGGUCGCCGGAGCGACAAUCCCGAGCCCUCCGCCGUUUCGGGCCUCGCCGGCGGCUUAACGCCGGUGGGGUUGACCGCCUUGACCGCGUCGGCCUGUCAGGUGGGUCCGGCUCGUCAGGUGAUUAGCUUAAGCUAAUCACCACCUAAUCUAACCCCCUGACACUGACAGUGGGCCCCGGCGCCCUAAUCUUUUAAUUAGGCUUAAACUAACCCCUGUUUAACCCUGAGUCACUGACGUGUGGACCCCACUGGUCAGGUUUGACCUGGUCAGCCGCAGUUGACUCGCUGACGUCAUAGUGAUGCAGUGCUGACGCAGUUAAUUCUUUUCUGGAUUUAAAUUAAAUCAGGAAAUUCCAGAAAAUGAUUUAAACUUCAAAAAAUCAUAGAAAUUCAACCGUAACUCAGAUUGAAAUAAUUUAUAUAUGAAAAAUUAUCAAAAAAAUGCAAUCUUUCCAUCUGUUCUAGUUUCAUGCAUGACAAACCAACUUAUACCUACUGUAUAAGUGAAACACUAAAAUGGCUUAUAUAAAGAGCUUAUUUUGGAGAUGCAUUUGAAUCUUUGGUUCAAAUGGAUUUCACCCAAAUGAUUGCUAGUUGCAUUAGCUCAAUCAGCAUCACCUCUACAUGCCAUGUUCAUGCAUCAUAUUGUUGCAUAUGCUUGUGUAUUGAUUGUUGGCACCGUUACCUCUCGAUAGGUCCUGCUCCGGAGAGUGUUCUAGAGUACCUGUCUAAGGAGCAGUGCCACCCUGUUGAUCUACCAGGCAAGCAAACCCCCUUAUUCAUUCCGAUACAAUCCUACUCUCUCGCUCCUGCUCUCAUUUAUUGCAUUAGGACAACAACGAUUCAAUUGCUACUUUGUGCUGCGGUAGUUGAACCCAUUCCUCUGCAUGACCUGUCAUUGCCACAGUAAAUAGUUGAAACCCACUAGCAUGUGUAGGAGUUGAUUGAGCCAUGUUGUGUUCCUACCAUGCUAUGUCUGCUAUUGCUUAGAGUGUGUCAGGUCUGAUUCAUUGGGAAUGAAUUGGAGUGCAGUGUUCUAUGUUCUGAUGCUGAGAGUGAAGUGUGUGAACACGAUUUGGUGAAGGUAGCGGUGAGAGGCCAUGUAGGAGUACAUGAUGGGUUGUCUCACUGGAACCGUCCUUAAGCACUGAGUUCUAUGUAUGUUGUCCAAUGACUCGAUACUACCACAAAUUGGGUUCCGGUAACUCGACCCCUCUCGACUUAUUAACCAACUUGAUCUCUGUCCAGGAGUCGUAACUAGUUUCUGGUGUUUGAAGGUAGUGCUAUUUUUCUACCAAGUGGCACCCGGCAGGGUGGGCUUGGGACAGACUAGGCACACGUGGCCUGGUGUACCGAGUGGCACCCGGAUGGUGGGCUCGGGAACCCUGCGCACAUCGUUUGGGGCCGGGAGCGAAACCCCGGCCGGAUCUCCUUACGGAUGGAACCCGAAUAGGCGAUAAACCUGGACUAGAGUCUUGUGUGGUUAGUCAGGUCGUGGCCGACACCCUCGCCAGGCUUCCGCUUGAAGGUUGCCGAGUUACAUGACGUGUACAUGGCGGUAAGUGGCGAGAGUGUGUGUGAAGAAGUACACCCCUGCAGGGUUAACAUGAUCUAUUCGAAUAGCCGGGUCCGCGGUUAUGGACUUCUUGGAUGCUUACAUGGUACAUAGAUAACUUGAAGUGGAUACUAUAAAAUGCUCAAGACAAGUGUGAGUGCUAUGGAUGGCCUUCUCGUAGGGAGAAGGGGAUGAAUCCAUACUAGUGUAUUGUGUGGUGAUUAGUGGACUCGUGUGCGCCGUAUCACCUCAAAGAAGUUCUGGUAGUCGUAGAACAGGAUAGCCACAGAGUCAAAGCUGGCUUGCUGCAACUAAACCCCACAUUACCCUCUUGAUACAAAUGCAUGUAUGAUAGGAUCUGAUGUAACUCUUGCUGAGUACCUUUGUACUUAUGUUGCUUUAUUUAUGUUUUUGCAGCGGAGACUUCGGUCUUACUAGUGUUCUCAUGGACUUCGACACGUAGCUUGUACCUUAACUACGAUCUUGAUCGGAUAUUGUAGUUAGUCAGGCUCUUCAGCCUUUUUCAUUUGUAGAUGUUUGUACCCAGACAUGUAAUGCUUCCGCUUGUUGCUUGUAUGCUCUGUAUGAUGGGUCUUGUGACCCCUGUUUGCAAUAAAUGCUAUGAUGGCUCUUUGAGCCUUAUCUAUAUGAGUUGAUGAGUUAUGCUGUGAUGCCAUGUUGUACAACACAUACUUGCAUGUUAUGCGUACGUGUAAUGUGUAUUGCUAUGUGUGGGAUCUGACUAUCUAGUUGUUUAUCCUUAGUAGCCUCUCUUACCGGGAAAUGUCUCCUAGUGCUUCCACUGAGCCCUGGUAGCUUGCUACUGCUCCGGAACACUUAGGCUGGCCGGCAUGUGUCCUUCUUCGUUCCUGUGUCUGUCCCUUCGGGGAAAUGUCACGCGGUGUCUACCGGAGUCCUGUUAGCCUGCUACAGCCCGGUUUACCGGAGUCCUACUAGCCCAGUUGCUACAGCCCGGUUUACCGGAGUCCUACUAGCCCAGUUGCUACAGCCCGGAUUCACUCGCUGAUGACCGACACGUUCGAUGCUGGGUCAUGUAUGCAUGUCCCUAUAAGUUAGUGCCACUUUGGGUUCACGACUAGCCAUUCAGCCCGGGUUCUUUGUCAUAUGGAUGCUAGCGACACUAUCAUAUACGUGUGCCAAAAUGCGCAAACGGUCCCGGGCAUAAUAAGACGACACCCAUGGGAAUACCGUGCGUGAGGCCGCAAAGUGAUAUGAGGUGUUACAUGCUAGAUCGGUGUGGCAUAGAAUCGGGGUCCUGACAGCGUGGGGCAGUGGCCUUGACUGAAGGCAAGUUGGGGUCCGUGAAAGCUAGCUCCGCUCUCUUCAGCCGCACUACACCGCACGGGGCCCUAUCCUUGGCCGGUGGGAAGACGGGGGCCAUCGCGGCUAGCACCGCCCGCGUCCGGCGCAUCCAAGGCUAUGUCCGACCCGCUCCCUCGUAGAAGGUGGAACCACAGCGCGUGUACCCAGUCGGCGGGCGCGUCCGUGGCCGGUGGUGAGAUGCCGCGGGAGGUCGUUGGGUCACACUUGAAGAAGCGUGAGCUCGAUGCAUCUCAACAGGAAAAGGUGAUUCUAGUUGCUUGCUUCUAUCCAACGUUUUGGCUACCAAAUCCCAAGAAAAUACCGAGGGUGGGCGAGAAACGCGGAUACCAUAAAAUUCCGAGCAAAAACCGCUCGAAUUUUUCAAACGUAAUUUGAAUUCAAAUUUUUAUGAGCUAGGAAUAUAUAAGUAUUGAGCUCAAGUGGUUCACAAACAAGGUGUUUGCGCAGUGGCAUGUUCUCGUCGUCCGUCCUCAACGUAUGCAAGGUCGUGGAUUCGAUUCUCUAACCUUGAGUUUUUAAAUUUUUAUUUAAGAAUUGGUUAAACAAAAAAGAAAACAGUGUCUAUCCCGAAAGCAGUUUACCUCAAGGGCCAUAAGAGCCCCGUUAUUUUCCACAACGUCUAGAAUAAUUGCCAACAAAGAUAUCACCCAGGCGGCUAUGACAUAAUGCAAUCAUAUAAAAAUGAUAGCCAUGUUAUUUGGUAGCAUCGACAGAUGCAUAUACAUGUCUUGUAUUCUUUUUACAAAUACACAAAAGAUUUGUGCAUUGAUGUAUUGCAAGGGGAAAAAUUGAUGCAUGUUAUAGAAUUGAGGCUCUUAACCACAAGGACCUAGGCUCGACGUUGACUCAGAACAAGGCAGGGCUACAACGGUUGUACUUCCUCCAUCAAGAAAUAUAAGAGUGUUUAGGGAGAGCGGCGUUAAUGAGAUGGGCGGCAUCUGAACAUGUUAUCUUGGUCGUACGUCCAGCUCCAGGGAUUUACGCUAGUGGGUCCAUGGCAGGAAAUACGGGUGGAAGAAAUUGGCGUCGACUGGCGGUAUACGGGGAUGAACUGUGAUGUACGCCAGCAUCCGGGCUCGUCCUUUUGAAAUGCACGUUACGCUGACGACUCGAGCCGUCGAUCGGGUCAGUCACGAGAACCUGACCAAAGGAUCAGAAACGUAAUCGCGCUGUCUACUGCUUAGACACGCGUCGUCUGCUCCAGGGCCAACCAGCGGCCAACACAUGUCCUGACAGACCCCCACCACUCAAACAACCACAAUUCCUUUUUCCUAAUUUACAGAAUAUCAUGUUGCCUUGCCUUAUCCAGCGGAUUGCUGCUGUUCCACACUCCAUAGCCUCUCCUUGUACAGCUCCGCGAAAGAUGAUUCCAAUGAGGUGAGGUCCGCCGCACAGCGCCAUAGCUGGCGGCCAGACGGGAGCUGUCGUGGCUAGCACCGCCUGCCUUCGGCCUGCUGCGCCAUGUGGGGCAGUGGCCUUCACUGAAGGCAAGAUGGGGUCCGUGCAAGCUAGCUCCGCUCGCUUCAGCCGCGCUGCGCCGCACGGGGCUGUAUCCUUGGCCGGUGGGAAGACGGGGGCCGUCGCGGCUAGCACCGCCCGCGUCCGGCGCGUCCAAGGUUGUGGCCGACCCGCUCCCUCGUAGAAGGUGGAACCACAGCGCGUGCACCCAGUCGGCGGGUGUGGCCAUGGCCAAUGCCGAGAUGCCGCGGGAGGUCGUUGGGUCACACUUGAAGAAGCGUGAGCUCUAUGCAUCUCAACAUGCAAAGGUGAUUCUAGUUGCUUGCUUCUAUCCAACGUUUUGGCUACCGAAUCCCAAGAAAAUACCGAGGGUGGGCGAGAAACACGGAUACCAUAAAAUUCUGAGCAAAAACCGCUCGAAUUUUUCAAACGUAAUUUGAAUUCAAAUUUUUCUGAGCUAGGAAUAUAUAAGUAUUGAGCUCAAGUGGUUCAAAAACAAGGUGUUCGCGCAGUGGCAUGUUCUCGUCGUCCGUCCUCAACGUAUGCAAGGUCGUGGAUUCGAUUCCCUAACAUUGAGUUUUUAAAUUUUUAUUUAAGAAUUGGUUAAACAAAAGAGAAAACAAUGUCUAUCCCGAAAGCAGUUUACCUCAAGGGCCAUAAGAGCCCCAUUAUUUUCCACAACGUCUAGAAUAAUUGCCAACAAAGAUAUCACACAGGCGACUAUGACAUAAUGCAAUCAUAUAAAGAUGAUAGCCAUGUUAUUUGGUAGCAUGGACAAAUGCAUAUACAUUUCUUGUAUUCUUUUUACAAAUACACAAAAGAUUUGUGCAUUGAUGUAUUGCAAGGGGAAAAAUUAAUGCAUGUUAUAGAAUUGAGGCUCUUAACCACAAGGACCUAGGCUCGACCUUGACUCGAACAAGGCAGGGCUACAACGGUUGUACUUCCUCCAUAAAGAAAUAUAAGAGUGUUCAGGGAGAGCGGCGUUACUGAGAUGGGCGGCAUCUGAGCAUGUUAUCUUGGUCGUACGUCCAGCUCCAGGGAUUUGCGCUAGUGGGUCCAUGGCAAGAAAUAGGGUGGAAGAAAUUGACGUCGACUGGCGGUAUAUGGGGAUGAACAGUGAUGUACUCCAGCGCCCGGGCUCGUCUUUUUGAAAUGCACGUUACGUUGACGAGCCCAGCCGUCGAUCGAGUCCGUCAUGAGAACCUGACCCAAGGAUCAGACACGUAAUCGCGCCGUCUGCUGCUUAGACACGCGCCGACUCCUGCAGGGCCAACCAGUGGCCAACAUGUGUCCUGACAGACCCCCACCACUCGAACAACCACAAUUCCUUUUUUCUAAUUUACAGAAUAUCUUUUUGCCUUGCCUUAUCCAGCGGACUGCUGCUGUUCCACACUCCAUAGCCUCUCCUUGUACAACUCCGUGAAAGAUGAUUCCGGCAAGGUGAGGUCCGCCGCUCAGCGCCGUAGCUGGUGGCCAGACGGAAGCUAUCACGGCUAGCGCCGCCCGCGUCCGGCCUGCUGCGCCCCCUGGGGCAGUGGCCUUGACUGAAGGCAAGAUGGGGUCCAUGCAAGCUAGCUCCGCUCACUUCAGCUGCGCUGCGCCGCACGGGGUUGUAUCCUUGACCGGUGGGAAGACGGGGGCCGUCGCGGCUAGGACCGCCCGCGUCCGGCCCGUCCAAGGCUGUGGCCGACCCGCUCCCUCGUAAAAGGUGGAACCACAGCGAGAUGCCGCGGGAGGUCGUUGGGUCACACUUGAAGAAGCGUGAGCUCGAUGCAUCUCAACAUGCAAAGGUUAUUCUAGUUGCUUGCUUCUAUCCAACGUUUUGGCUAUCGAAUCCCAAGAAAAUACUGAGGGUGGGCGAGAAACGCGGAUACCGCGGUUACCAUAAACUUCCGAGCAAAAACCGCUCGAUUUUUUCAAACAUAAAUUCAAAUUUUUCUGUGCUAGGAAUAUAUAAGUAUUGAGCUCAAGUGGUUCACUAACAAGGUAUUGGCGCAGUGGCAUGUUCUGGUCGUCCGUCCUCUACGUAUGUGAGGUCGUGGGUUCGAUUUUAUAACCUUGAGGUUUUUAAAUUUUAUAUAAGAAACUAAACGAAAAAGAAAACAGCUGUAAUGGAAGGUAGUGGGUCUCGAAGCAGCGACCUACGGGUUGAGCGGGCAUGGGACGACCAUAUUUGCCAGCAGACCACAGCUGGUUCAGUGAUAGAAUGAGUUUAUGUCCUAAUUGACUAGGCUGUAGCCAUUCAAAUUCAAAAUUUUCAAAUAAUUCAAUUUUUUUUACUCGGUACGCAGCUUUCUCGUGGGUAGCGAGAAACGCGUAUACAGGGCGGUAUCCGAAUUUUCCGCCCGGUACCCAAAACCAUGCUUCUAUCUAUGUACUGUACUAGCUAACCAGCUCUCACUUAUCCACGUAUUGACAUAUGUACUGUACUGUACUUCUAUGUACUGUACUGUACUUCCAUGUCAAUUCCUUUUAAUAAAGUUAUUUUUAGUAAGAAUGACUCCGCGACGAAGAUACCAUGCAAAAUGAUACUCCCUUCGUAAACUAAUAUAAGAGCAUUUAGAACACUAAAGUAGUGAUCUAAACGCUCGUAUAUUAGUUUACAGAGGGAGUAUAUGUUAAAUUAUGAAGAAAUAUUAAGCCCAUGUAGGCACACAUGUUGGUUAGACGUCCAUAUGUAAUCCAAGAUUCAGCUUUAACCAUUAAUUUGACUAACAAGAUGUGGGUUAUUUGCCGGCGUGGGUUAGCAGUCAAAAUAUCAGAGUUAGUGGAGUAACAAGUCAUAUGUAUUUACAGAAGAGUAAAAUACACUACAGGUCCUAAAACUAUUUGAGGGGUGCCGAGUUGGUCCUAAUCCUAAUACUAUGAAAUGCAUAUCUGGAUCCUAAAAAAGUUUUCCAAGUGUGUCACCCGCAGUCCUAUCCGCGGGACAUCAACUUUGACUUGCACGGGCGGUAGGUUGACUACUGUUAUGUGGCAGCUUUUUGCACGACCCUCCUCCUUACACACAUGCUUGGACAAAGAACCAUAUGGUAACUUUGAAUAAAAUGAAGCUGAAAGGACAUGUCUCCACAAACAAAACGAGUGCGGAGAAAAGGAGUAUAAGGAGGUCGAUCGUACUUGGACAAAGAACAAGGGCUUGUCAACCACGACUUUGAUAUCGCUGGCGUCACAUAAUAGUUCCUCGAUGCAUGGGUAUGGGGGCCGCGGUGAUGGAUUUCCAAACUCUUCCAGCCCCACGUCGGCCAAUGCUUCCACGAACACCACUCCCUCUCCGGUGCAGUCCACCACCAGCUUGUUAGUGGGGAGAAUCUCUCUCGACCGACCGGCCAUGGGGUAGUAGUACACCAGAGCCUCCGCGAAGCCAAUGCUUCCACGAACACCACUCCCUCUCCGGUGCAGUCCACCACCAGCUUGUUAGCGGGGAGAAUCUCUCUCAACCGACCGGCCAUGGGGUAGUAGUACACCAGAGCCUCCGCGAGCGCUACCUUGACGGCCUUUGCCGGCGUCGUCGUUGGAUGGCCGUCUAGUCGGCAGCGGAAGAACUCGACCCCAAAAGAGUAGACUCGUAGGUCAUAACAGUCGUCGACGUCGGAGAGGACUUUGGUCUCGCGUGGUGUUGGCCGUGCCGGCGCCACCAGCUCGGGCAAACUCCGGCGUGCGGUGAACUUCACCAUUGUGGUCCUACCCUUGGGUGCUUGUGACCUUGUGUUGUACUGUAGCUCCACUAACUCUGAUAUUUUGGUUCAUUCAUGUAUCUCUCUCUCUAUAUAUACAUAUACACACAUAGAGAUGCUUGACGGGUAGAAAUGAUAUACUCCUACAUCUCUUGGUCUCGGAGGAUAAGAAGAGAGCUUUUUGUUUCACAUGUCAUAGCACGUGAAGAUGUUGUUUGUACACAUGUGCCGGGAGUGUGUGCAACUGGAUCACUCGGAAGAAACAAAAGACUGCAAAUGGACAAACUCGAUUCCUGGCACCCGUAUAUCCAAGCUUUGUCAUUAUCGCCUAAUCUCAUGAGUCUCCGGCAUGCACAUUCACCUGACCAAUUACUUUGCUAGUUUUUUUUUUGAGGCGUGCAACCUCGCUAGCUUAUGCGAGACCUGUGGUAUUUCCUACUCAACACUCAGUGCGGCAGAUUGCUGACCGUGUGAGCUGGGCCGGGCCAUUUGCACAGAUUUUUUUUGUAAUUUUCGAUUUUUUUUUCAAUUUGUGUUCAUUCUUUGGUUUUCCUUUUCCCUUUUCUUUGAUUUAUUUUCUCAGUUAUAAACAAAAUUUUGAAAUAUAUUUAGAGUGCACCAUAAACAUUUUUUUAAAACCUGGCAAACAUUUUUCAACACGUGAUGUACAUUUUGAAGUACAUGGUGAACUUUUCUCAAAAAUUGUCGGUGCAAACUUUGAAGGCAAUCACGCAUUCUCAGACAAUGCUUGUGCUAUUCUAAAAAUAUUAACAAAUUUAAGUAAAAAUUUCAUGUAAAUUCAGAAGAAUGCAACACCUUCUUUAAAAGAUUCUUCAUAUAAUUUUAAAAUAAUCACAUUUUUCUUAAUAAAAUGCUUGUGUUUCAAGUAAAAACACAAGAGCAAACACGAGAAAUUGCUAAAACAUGUAGGAGGGGUGCUCUAUGACAUACAACACGCAACGGCCGAACAUGGCCGUCCUAUGAUGGACGUGACUAUGCGUUUGGGCAACUAUUCGUCGUACUGAGCGCCAAAUAAGAUGUCUCUACACUUAUUCAAGUUACCAUGGACAAAGCUUGAAUUGUCUCGGAGCCAGAAUCCAAUAUACACAGACCCAUCUAGUAGGAAACUUUUAAAUCAUUAGUUAAUGUGUACCCCUUGCAAAGGUCACUCGGACAUUCUCUGGUAAUGACAAGUGAUGCAUCACAUAUGUGCCAAUUAUUGCAAUUAGGGAGUUUUGUGGGCUUUAUUUUCUCACACAAAGGGGUGGGUGGGUUUAUUUGUGCUUUUUAUAGAUUUGAUUUUUUUUCAAAAUGAUUUAUCUCUUGAACAGUGCGUCCAAAUUAUGAACCAUUUUCACCUUUGCACUCCUCGCGUCGAGAUCUCAAAAAUUGAUACUAUGUUCAUAGAUCUUGUCAAACUUUUAAGGAUGAAAUAUGUGCUCCACAACUAUAAUAACUCGCGCUUCAAAUACGGUUAUGCUUUCAUGUGAGAAGCACAAUUGUGCUUUACUUGGGGAAGCAUAAAGGUCACUCAGACCUUCUCUGGUGAUGAAAAGUAGCGCACAGGAUAUGUGCCAGUUGUUGCAAUUAAGUAGUUUCUGUUGGAUUUUCCCCCACGCAUAGGGAGAGAUGGGUGGGUUUAUUUGUGCUUUUCAUAGAUUCUUUUUACGAAACUAUUUAUCUCUUUAAUCGUGUUUCCAAAUUACAAACCAUCUCCACCUCUGCACUCCUUGCGUCGAGUUCUCAAAAACAUCCCAUGUUGAUAGGUUUUGACAAAAUUUUAUGGGUGAAGUAUGUGCUCUAAAACACUAUAUGAACCCUUGCUUCAAUACAACACUAAUUGUGCUUCAGUUUUAGGGAAGCAUAGUUGUACUUUCAUGCGAGAAGCAGUAGUGUUCUUCACCUUUGGGGGAAGUAUGCAUAAGUACAACUGUUGCUUCAUGCAAGCGCAUUUGUGCUUCAAUUUCUGGGGAAGCACAGUGUGCUUUCACGCAAAAAGCAUAACUAUACUUCAUGCUGAAGCACACACUCAUGUUAGAUGUACAAAAAUGAUGAGAAAAACCAAAAAUGAAAUACCAAACAAAUCAGAAAAACCAAAAGAAAGACAAAAAAUUGUGCUGAUGAAAACACCCGUUAUGCGACACAUCGAGGCGCUGGAACAUGCCACAUGGCACACCGGGGCGCUCCGCCCUCGUACGCCUCGCUCACUACCAGGAUGCCGAGUUUUCGAUGCAAGCAAUUUGCAAGGGGUAGCCCUCGAAUAGUAGCUUCCAAGAAGUUGCUAAUCUUCGCUCAUAGCAAAGAAUACAUGUUAUAAUGAAUGGAACAAUGAUAUAUGGGCCAGCCCAUGUAGUAGUUUAUUUAUUACAUAUGUUUCUUAUUUUUUGUUGAUUUUUAUGUUUUGUUUCCUUUUCCUAAGGUUGGUAGUGUUGUUCUUUUGUUCAUUUCAGUUUCUCUGUGUUUUCUCAUUCCUUUUAAUUUUUUAAUACGAGAAAUAUUUUUAAUUUAUGAAAAUUCAUAUAGAAAAUUCAAAUAAAUUGAGAAAUUUUUAGACACAUGCAAUUUUAGCAUAUGAAGGCUUUUUCCCGUACAUAAUGAAUACAUAAUUUUAAAAAUGUAUGAACAUUUUCCAUACAAUAUUUCGGAAAUAUAUUGGAAUUAAAAUAUUUGAAUACAUAAAAAUAAUUUUACCUAAAUAAAAAAAGGAAAGCGAAUACCGACAAGACAUUUAUACCAACACAGCCAACAAACCGGGAGCUCUUAUUGGGCGCUACAGACGCCAGAAUUCCUCCCUGGCGCCUACUAAAGUACCCAGUUGGGCCGGCCCACGAAACACACACAACAUCAGAAAACAUAUAUCGUAAAAAACUGAAAAAAUAAUAGUUCUCUCCAGGUUUCAAACUGGCACAGUUGCAAUAACUUACGUGUUCACUGACCACUCGAGCUACCUGCCAUUAGUGAUAGAUAAUAGCGCCAAUUAGUACAUAAUAACAAUGUCGCCGUGCUGUUUUAUUGCACAGAACUGUACUGAUGUAUAUUUUUUGAAUUAUCUGACACAAAAAAUCGUGAAUUAGAAAAGGUUCAUAUAUUUUAAAAAAAGUUCGUCAAUUUUCAGAAAAGUUCACCAACUUAAAAUAAAGUUCAUCAAAUUUUAAAAAUGUUCGUGUAUUGAAAAAAGUUCAUCAAAAUUGGAAAAAGUUCACGGAUUUUCAAAGAAGUUCAUUAAACUUGAAAAGCAAAUGGUAGAAUUUGAAAAAUAAGUUCAUGGAUUUUUGAAAAAAUUUCAUUGAAUGUUUAAAAAAGUACGAAAAUUUUGAGAAAAGUUCAUCGAUUGGCUGCUGGUACUGUCUUCCUCGUCGCCGUGCGCAGAAACAUCCGUCGGGCGCCAGUGGUAGCUGUCACAUUUGCUGGUUGCAGCAAAAAAAAGGCCCCGUCGUUGCCGGAAGUAGCUGUCGUUCUCGCCGGUUGGAGCAAAAGCACGGCCGCCGUCGCCGUUGGUGGCUGCUGCCGCCGUCGCCGGUUCCAGCACGGGGCUGUCUAGUUGCAACAAAAACCAUGAGUGGUUUCGGGGGUGUUUGAUGGCUGCUCUGGCGUUUCCUCUCGCCACGUCCACAUCCACCUACCACCGUCACCACCGCUGCCGACAGGCACCCCCGCACCUACCACCACCGCCGCCGCCGCCAUGCUCGCGCCUACCGCUGCUCCUCACCACCACAACACGCGCGCACACCGUCGCCCCCGUAUUCCCAUUGACAUCUCCCCGCAAAGCCGCGAAUGAAGAGAUGCCUCAGAUUUUCAGAUCUAAGCGUCCCCGCGUGCGACGGGAGGAUCUCAGCAGAGGAGAAGGCGAUGGAGGAGAGCCACCGCGUGUGGAUGGAGAGGACGAUGCGAAGGCCAGGGCGUGGAGACACCCCGAAGAAGCUGGUGACGCGGAUCUGCGUUGAGGCGACAGAGGAGGAGAUGGCCAGGAUGAUCCCCACGGAUUCCUCCUCCCCGGAAGAAGUGAUUUCCUGGGUGAGGGCAGAGAUGCACUCACACAUACCAGAGCAGAGGGCGAAGUGGUGAGCGUUCUGGUCGCUGCAGAGCUGAUCUCGCCAGCGAGAAGCCAUGGCUCCACCCCGCCAUUGGAGCGGAGGAUUUCUGCCUCGAAUCAGAAUCAGAGGUUUGAAUUCACCACCCCGCUACGAUGGGAUGGAGAACAAAAUAGGCGCUGUCUCAACUUCGUUGCAAAAAUCGACCCUCCUGAUCGUGCAAUCAGGGUCAGGAAGCGUCAUUCUCUGAAAUCGAGCGCAAUUGAAAAAGGAAUUUCUCCUGAUCUUGCUAUGGAGAAUGACAACCAAGGCCCACAAAGCAUUAUCAGCGGGGGGUGGGGGUGGAAAAGCUUGCUGACAUGGAAAGGGGGAGGGGCGUGGAAGACGACCUGGCCUCACGCGAGCACUAGGGGCAGUUGUGGGAGCAGGAUAUUAACCCCGAUCCCCACCCUCUCCUAGUCUGGAUCUGGAGAGACCAAACCCUACCCCGCUCGUUCGCCGCUGCCCACUGCCACCCAGCGUCGGAGAACGAUUCCGCAACCCUCCCAUACACCACCAUCAGAGGAGUAGAUCCAAAGAUGUGUGAAGAAAUCGGAGCCAUGGCUGAAGCGCAAGGGAGAGGGCGCGGGCGGGGAAGAGGAUGGAACCCUAGAAGCAACAAACAGGGGGGCCAAACAUCAGGGGAUCUUGGAGCUCCACCCCCAGGUAAUUGGCCCCAGUUUGAUCCCCAAUAUGGUCCUCCUCCCCCCAAUUCCAAUUUGGCUUUGGCUUCCCUGGAGGACCACAGAUCCCACCCCCGUAGAUGAAUUAGUGGAGAGGCCCCCAGGUGUCUGGGGUGGUGGACAGAACCAAGAUUCAGGUCCCUCUGAUAGGAAGUUUAGUAAUCAACAACAGAAGGGGCAACAAGGGCAGAAUCCUGGAAAACAAGGCAACUCAAGCUUUGAUCAGAAGCAGCAAAAAUCUAGCCAGGAGCAAGGUUUCAGUUCCUCUGAGAGUGGCAACCAGCAAAAGAAAGGGAGGAACAUGACCAAAGCAAAGCAACCCCUUAACAAGUUGGAUGAUCUGAAUGCUACAGAGUAUGCAGAUAUCAUCUGCUAUAGUUGUGGAGAACCUGGACACCACAAGACCAACUGCCCAAAACCACCUGCCUGCUUCAUAUGCAAAGUGGUGACACACAAGGUGGAGGACUGUCCAAUAAGGAAGAAGCCAAGAAAUCCAGCAAAAAAUUUUGGCAGUGGGGCCCCUGGACUUGGAUACCACCAGAUUGAUGUCCCUGAUGUGAAUGAACAACACAUUGGAGUUCAGAGGAAUAUAGGAAUUGUCUGUGUAGAGCCAGGACAGGUCACAAAGAAGGAACUGGCCCACAACUUCUCACUGAUUUACAAGACCAAUUGGCCAUGGCAGAUAAGAGUACUUGAUGAUUGGACUUUUUUGGUCAAAUUCCCACCUCACAUCCCAGUUGAGAGUGUAGCCAGAUAUCCUCUUUUUGGAUUGCCUGAGUUAGAAGGAGUCACAGUGAAUGUAGAAGUGUGGAAAUGGGUACUAGAACACCAUAGUGAACUGCAAAAGGUAUGGCUUCAGCUAGAUGGGGUUGCACCAGCCUGGGCUAAAUGGGCAGUAUUGGAGCAAUUUGCAUCUAUGUUUGGAACCCUGAUUGAUGUUGAUUGGCAAGGGAAUUUCAAGUCAUUCUGUGAUGUGGCCAGGAGCAAGAUCAAAUGUAAAGAUCACACCAAAAUACCCCCUAAAAGGUUGUUUGGCAUAGGUGACAAGCUAUUCAGGAUUGGGAUUACUGUAGAACCACCAUAAGAUGACCCAGAGCUAGAUGACCUGUUGGAAGAUGAACUAGCUGACAAUGCUAAUGGUAACAUGUUAGAGAAGGAUAACAAGGAGGAAGAGAGUACCAAUAGAGAGAAAGGAAACAUUGGAGGAGGUUCCACUCCCUCCAUCCUAAGUAACAAAUCUGCCAACAGUGCCUCAAGCCAGAACUCAAAACAAAAAAUAGUUGACUACUGAAGCAACUACAAGACCCAAUUAGCAUGGAGCAGAGCUACAACAUCCUACAAGGAAUGGAACUUGAAGAGGAUGAGGAUGAGAUGGAAGAUCUGCUAACUGAAGAUGGGAAUGCAAUAGAUAGAGAUGGAGAAGAGGUGAUUUUCAGCCCCCAGUUUGAACCAAAAAAUGGCCCCAACCCUCAGCCUCCUACUGAUGAGACAGUAAUUCAGCAUGGACACAAAGAGGGGGAAAACAAAUGGGGCCCAGUUCAAGCAUUCAGGAAAAGCAGCAGGGUUGAAGUGGGAGGCAGAACCAUGCUGGAGAUUGCAAUCAACACUAAGAAGGUGCAUAACUUGGAAGCCACAAAGAAUGACACCAAAGGUACCAUUGUUAAAAACUCAUUUGAGCUUUAGUAACCCUAAUUUCCUAGAAGUAGCUAAGAAGAUAGGAAUAGAGGUAGAUACUAGUUACAAUUCCACUGUAGAAGCUAGUUCUUCCAGCUCUCUGCCUUUGUCUGAAGGACAAAAUGCAGGGGAAUUUGAGCAAUUUAAUGCUGGUUUGAGUAGUAGUGCUGUUGAUAAGCAAAAAAGUAAGAUGGAUGUAUUUUGCAAUAUGACCCAACUAGUAGAGAAGCCCGAAGGGCCCCCGGAUAUUAGUAGUCUACUUCAUUACCCUAGACUCACAAAAAAAACCUGGGCAAAGGAGCCUGGAGGGCUCCCUACCCAAAAAGAACUCAUAGAUUAUAGUGGUACCCCUUCAGAGUUCAAUGUGAUCCCUGCUCAAACACUCUGUCUCAUGCAAUCUAGUGCAUAAGACAAGUGAAAAAACCUUUAGGUUCAGAGCAGUCUAUGGAUCACCAUAUGAGGAGGGCAAGGAUGAAUUCAUCUCUGAACUCCAUAGUAUGUUCAUUGAUGACCACCCACCCACUAUUAUAGGGGGGGGCUUCAAUUUAGUUAGAUAUCAGAAAGAUAAGAACAAUGGGAGGAUUAACCAUAGUUGGAGUGACAAAUUCAAUGCUUGGAUAGAAAUUUGGAGUUUGCUAGAAAUUAAGAUGUCUGGGAGACAAUUCACUUGGGCAAAUAAUCAAGAUAACUUGGUUAUGAGUACCAUAGAUAGGAUUUUUUGUACCACUGAACUAGAUGCAAUGUUUCCUUUAAGUAGUUCUAAAGCUCUCCCUAGAACUGGUAGUGAUCACACCCCUAUCCUGUGGGAUUCUGGUGUGGAUGGUACCCCAAAAAACUCAAGCUAUAAGUUUGAGAAAUGGUGGCUACUAAGAGCUGAAUUUAAAGAGCUUGUGGAGAAAAAUUGGUCUGCUCCUGUCAAAUGUACCACCCCCAUGGACAUCUGGCAGGAAAAAGUGAGAAGGUUUAGAAAGUUUAGUAGAGGAUGGAGUAGAAAUGUAGAUGCUGAGAUUAGGAAAGCCAAGCAGGAGUUAGAAGAAGAGUAUGAUAAACUUGAUAUUAAAUCAGAAACUGUGCAGCUUUCUGAGGUAGAAAAUUUAAGAAUGAAAGAACUCCUCUUCAGACUCCAUAACCUUUGGAUUGUAGAAGAAGUUAAAGCUAGACAAAGAUCCAGGGAUAGGGAUAUCCUUGAAGGAGAUAGAAACACUAGGUAUUUUCAGGCUGUAGCAAAUCAAAGGAGGAGGAAAACACUUAUUAACAAGCUGGAUGGUCCUGCUGGCACUGCCACAGAUGUCAAAGACAUGUUGGGUAUAGCCACAGACUACUAUAAAGACCUCUUUAAGAAAGAAGAUAGAAAGGGUUUUAGAAUCAAUAAUAAUUUCUUUGCUGCUGAAGAAAAGGUCAAUGACUUAGAAAACCUACAAAAAACUUUCUCUGAAGGAGAAAUUAAGGAGGCCAUCUUUGGUUCAUACUCUGAUGGAGCCCCUGGUCCAGAUGGUCUAUCCUUUAUAUUCCUCCAAAAAUUUUGGGAAGUGAUUAAGAAAGAUGUGAUAGCCAUGUUUGAUGAUUUCCAUAAAGGGGAAUUGGACAUCUAUAGGUUAAACUUUGCUGUGUUGACCCUGAUCCCAAAGGAGAAAAAGGCUACCAGCAUGAAAAAGUUUAGACCCAUUAGUUUGAUCAAUUGUAUCUUUAAGGUGUUUGCCAAAGUACUUACAAAUAGAUUAGCUAUGCUGAUGAAUAGGCUUACAUCUAGUAACCAAUCAGCUUUCAUAAAAGGGAGAUUUAUCCUGGAGAGUGUAGUCACAGCACAUGAGGUGCUGCACUCCACUGCUAAAUCUGGCAACCCAGGUCUAGUAUUAAACCUAGACUAUGAGAAAGCUUUUGACAAAGUUAACCUAGACUUUCUUAUUGAAAUCUAGAAAAAAGAUACUUCAAUCCCCUUUGGGUGACUUGGAUCAAACAGGUCACACACAUGGGUUCGGUUGGAGUGAAAAUUAAUGGAAUAUAAGGCAACUACUUCCUUACAGGAAAAGGCCUGAGACAGGGAGACCCCUUGUCCCCCCUUCUCUUUAACUUGGUAGUAGAUUUCUGAGCAAGAUGCUCUCCAAGGCAGCUUCUGAUAAGCUGAUUAGUGGUCUAUGUUCUGAGUUAAUUCCCAAUGGGGUCAUCUACUUACAAUAUGCAGACGACACCAUCCUUUUCAUGGAGAAGGAUGAAAACAAAACUAAGAACAUGAAGAUGGUCCUCACUUGCUUUGAGCAAGUUUCAGGCAUGAGAAUCAACUACUCAAAGAGUGAGAUCAUCCCAAUAGAACUUUCUUCUGAAGAAACUAAAUCCUUUGCAGAUAUAUUAGGAUGUAGAGUAGGGGCUUUCCCAAUAAAAUAUUUGGGAAUUCCUUUACACUAUGAUAAACUUAGGAGGGAGGAUAUACAACCCCUGAUAGACAAAAUCCUCAAAAGGAUGUCUGGCUGGAGAGGCAAACUCCUCUCCUAUGCUGCUAGGCUGACUUUGAUUAAAACCUGCCUGGCUAGCAUUCCCAUAUACCUCCUUUCUUUUUUCAAAUUUCCAAAAUGGGCUCUAGAUAUGAUCAACAGUCAGAUGGCCAAUUGUUUGUGGAAUGACUUUGAAGGAAAUAGAAAAAAUCACCUGGCCAACUGGCACCUAGUUUGUAUGGGGAAGAAACAUGGGGGUUUAGGGGUGCCUAACAUCAAAGAUGUUAACCUUUGUAUCCUUGGGAGCUGGGUAAGUAGAUACAUCAAAGAUGAAGGCAAGCUUUGGAAACAAAUAGUGGACAAGAAAUACAUCCACAACUUCCCUAAUAUCUUUGCUAGUAAACCCCAAAACCCUUCCAGAUUUUGGCAAGGGGUCAUGUGGGCGGCUAAGGCUUUGAAAUUUGGAUAUAAAUGGGUGGUUGGAGAUGGAUAGAAAAUCAGAUUCUGGGAAGACAUCUGGUUUGGUACAUCUCCCCUCUCGGUCCAAUUCUGGCCACUUUACACCAUCUGUCACCAACAAUGCUCUACCAUUGCUGAGAUCUGGGACAACUAUGAGAUUAAACUCACCUUUAGGAGGAUUUUCACACCUACUAUGAUGGAGCAUUGGUAAGCCCUAGAGAAAAUCAUUAGGAGUACCCUGCUUCGGGAGGAGGGUGACUCUCUCAUUUGGCAAUAUGAGGCCAAAGGGAAAUACACCACUAGUUCACUUUAUAGUAUCAUCAACUUUAGGGGGUUCAGCCUGUGUAUAUACCAGCGAUGUGGUCAAUAAAAACCCCACCCAGAGUCCAAGUGUUUUUGUGGCUACUCUCCCACAACAAGCUGAUGACGAAAGACAACCUGGCCAAAAGAGGCAUAGAAAAAGCCCCAGAAUGUGUAUACUGCUAUGAAAAAGAGUCCAUUACACACCUAUUCUUUGAAUGUGUGGUGGCCAAGCAAAUCUGGAUAGAAAUAUCAGAGUUUUUUUGAUGCAGAAUUAGGAACUAACUACUUGUCUAUUGCUAGAUUUUGGCCAGCUAACAAGAAACAUAUUGCUUUUAAUUCAGUCUGUGCAUGUGUUCUAUGGGCUAUGUGGAAAAAUAGAAAUCCACAUGUCUUUAACAAUGCUAUAUGGACUGAUGUGAAACAGAUAUGGAGGAGAGUGCUAGGACAAUCCAGGAGAUGGCUGAUCUUGUUCGGAGGACCUGCCUUGACAAAACUGGAGGCGUUCGUUCAGAAAAUCUCUUGCAUCCUAGAUGCCCCCCUCCAGAUUCUGGCAGGUUAACUGUCGAAAGGGAAGACACUGAAGGUGACUCCGAUCACUCGCUUCUCCUCUCUCGCUCGGAGACCGAUGAAGCUCCAAUCAUAAAAGGGCCAGCAUACACAAUCUCUCCACCAAGAAGCCCUCGCGAAAGCACCUGUAAGGCGACGCUGCUCAGCCCCGUCACCCCUCUGGAGUUGGGUGGAUCACCGGCUAUGCCAUGGAAGAAGCUCAAGGUGGUGCCCAUGACAGACGUGGCGAAGGAAAGGGUAUCACUGGGAACUGCAUAAUGUGACGCGCUAACUGAAGAAGUGGAAGAAAUCUGGUCUCCAGGAAAGGGAGGGGAGAUAAGUGUUGGUUAUUACAGAUUUGUGCACAAAUUUGUAAAAAGAGGAAACUCUGCUUUGUCCUUUAUGUAGAACUGAUCUGCUGAUCAGAUAUCUUUGUAGUUUUUCUUUUUGUUCUAGCUCGUUCCUGGACAUGCUUGCCAUGACUGUAAUGGUGUUACUUUCCUGCUCUCAUCUAUAAAAUGGGGCCGGGGGGCUCAAAACCCCCUUUUCUCUAAAAAAAACUUCAUCGAUUUGGGAAAAAGUUCAUGGAUUUUUGACAAAAAACACAUUCGUCGAUUUUGAAGAAAAAAUUCAUCGAUUUACAAUCAUGCAUUUAAGUAAAAGAAAAAAAUAUAAAAAGAAAAAAGAAAAGAAAACGUAAGAAAAAAAUAAAUACAAACUGGAGAAAGAGUAAAAUGAACGCAAGAACUUUGUAAGCAUAAGCUCGCGGUUGCCCAAGUGGUUGGCAUGGUGCGCUGGGAAUGUACACGACUCGGGUUCGAUUUGUUGUUGCACACCAUUUUGUGCACUUUAAAUAUAUAAAGCAAAACGCUAACAUGGGCCAUCCCAUCUCACGACAGAGGGAGUGCGCUGCAGGCUCCCGUUUGCAAAAAACACCUGUAACGGGCGGCUGUGGCGCUAAAUAGGAAAUCCCCAACAAACCAGUAAGAAUAUUUUUUUGUGAUAAAACAUACAGCGGCAGCAAAACGGGCCGGCCCAUUCCCAUGGGGUGCGUUUUGGGGGGCUAUUCCGCACUAUGGAGCUCCUCGCAAAUUCCUAGUUCCCUCCCAAUGCGGGAAUACUUCGCGUUUCAUAUUUUUUUUGCGGGGAUACUUCGCGUUUCGUAGGAAACACACACUUUCCUCUAGCUAAGAGGCCAUACCACACCACAAACGUGAUUUGCUUUAGUCUUUGAAUACUGUAGAGGGUUUUGGCCUGUUUCUUUUUUAUUUUUUAUCUUCCGGUUAUAUUGGGUUUUCAUUUCUAUUUAAUUUUUGUUUCUGCUCUUUCUUGUUAUUCUCUUUCCGUUUUUGCUUUCUUUUAUAUUCCUUUGCGUUUUUUUCUUCAAGUUCCUAUUUUCUUUUCCUUCAUUUUGAUUUCUUUAUCCUUUUUCCCUCCAACCAGAUUCAGGUUUUAAAAUUUGUGAACAUUUUAGAACUCAAAAUUUUGAAAAAUUCAUGAACACUUUUUGAAAUACACGAACAUGUUGUAACAUAUGUGACAUUUAUUUAUUUUACAAUUUUCAUUAAACAAUUAAAGAAUUUUUAAAUUUAUGAAUUUAUUUUCAAAAUCGUUAAGAAUUUAUUAACAUUUUCAAGAUCUCUAAUUAUUCUUAAAAAUUAUACAUUAUUUUAAAUUUUUCAUAAGUUUUUUAAAUGAACUCUUUUUAGAAGCUUGAAUAUUAUGAAUUUAAAAGGGUUGCAACAUAAGUAUGAUUCAAUUCAUAAUGGUACUGAAUAAGAAACGGAUGGAAUCCAACCAAGCCGAAAAACAAGCCAAAAAAUUGGCCAAAUAUAUACAAAAAAUCAUCCUUGUGCGAUAGGACAUAAAGUGCAUGAACCAGGUCAGCCCACCCUAGCGGGGUGCACUUUUCCUGCGAAGAUUAAGCAUCCGCCGCCGUAUGCAGAGAUUGCACGGGCACUUUCUUGGGCAGUUCGUCACUUAUGGUUGUGGAGUUGAUGAUCCUGCCACCCUUGAGGCAAUGGCAUGUCGGGAUGCUUUAGCUUUGGCUCAAGAUCUACAACUACAGAAUUUCAUCGUUGCCUCAGACUCCAAGAAAGUGACUGGGGACAUCAGUAAGGUAAGUCAUGGAAGCUACGGAGCCAUCAUUAACGAAAUUAAAAUCCAAGCUGCUUUAUUUUAGUGUAAUUUUACUUUCGAAGGUCGUGCAUUGUAUAGCAGGCACAUAGCUUAGCUAAUAUGUUUUUCUUUCUCUUAGUCAAGGUCACCACGAGUAGUUUGGUCAACCUCAUGACCCGAUUUGUAUCCCACAUAUUGUGGUUUUCGAUGAAUAAACCUUGGUUUAUCCCCCUAAAAAAUAGUUGUAUUCCUCGCAACGGCUAGGAGCUCCCUGAGCUCUCCAUCUUGUGUGUGUGUGUGUGUGUGUCUAAACACACUCUUUAUUAAUGAUCAUAAACAAGGUUCAUGGAGACACAAUUUAGAUCCAGAGGAUUGAGGAGCCAUAGAUGGCGUCCUAAAGAAAGUCCUAAAGUGUGUUUAGUGAGGCUAUGUGCCUCAACAUUAGUUUCCCACCCUUUGAAGAUGAAGGAGCAACACAUAAAAUAGACACCAAUUAUUUAAAAAUGCAUGAACAAUUCUGAAAUUAAUGAAUAUAUAUUUACAAUAUGUGGACACCGUUUGAAGAUGAAGGUUUUUUUUUCUCGUGUCAGCUUUGCUGGUAUCACCCUCUAAAUCACUAAGCUCCCUGGGCUUGGAGCGCUGAGAAUCAAUUGAGGCUAGCGAUUGCGAUUUUGUUCUCUCGAUUUUGACCAUGUAACCGGCGUGGGCUUUGUGAAGGGGUCUCCCGCUUGGUGGGUCCCGACUACUUGGUGUGGGACUGCGUUCACGCGCAGUGACCGCCUCUCUCCACUCGACCCCUUUCUCUCUCUCCUCAUCCCUUACGUCGCCGCUUCCUUUCUCUCCCUCGCCAUUGCAGCACAUUCACCGCCGCCUGAAGAGCCCUCUCAUUCUUCCCAGCGCCACCACCAGCCCCAACUCACGCAGCACCUUGUCUAGCCGUGCUUCCUGGCCAACGAAGCCAUGCUGGAUUCCCUCCUCUACCACACGGUGUGAUGUUGGAUGCAUGCUCCCCGCUCCCCGAUGCUGCUGGAUCCAGUUGCCCCAAUUUGCGGCUCCACCGGAUUUACCGCACCAUCUCCGUGCCACCAAAUCGUUACCUGAUCGGUGGACAACAAGGUGAAGAAGGCUGUGGUGUUUCCCCAUUGGGGCGUGGAAGGUGACGACUGCACUCGUUCUCUGCCAAUUUGGCCUCCGCACCCCUUGCCGCGAUGAAAGCGAGCAUGUAUGCUGCAGGCUGACAUGCUCUUGUUACUGUUGGCGGUGCCCCCUCGGCAAGCCAGCAACACCAGUUUCUGUUGUGGCGGGUUCUUGUGGUGGUGCUCUGCCGUUGGUGGUGCUCAAUUUGGCGUUUUGGUUGCAACCAACAUUGCGCCUCAUUUCUAUAGGGUUGGGCUUGAGGGGCUUUCUGUAGUCUUUGCAUGCAGAGGGGAGGCAAUUUGGGGGAAGCUCACCCGCUCGACAAGAGGCUACUUGGGGGUGCUUGAUGACCCAGAAGUGUAGGGGAUAUAUCGUAGUCCGUUCGAUAAGUAAGAGUGUCGAACCCAACAAGGAGCAGAAGGAAAUGACAAGCAGUUUUCAGUAAGGUAUUCUCUGCAAGCACUGAAAUUAUCGGUAACAGAUAGUUUUGUGAUAAGGCAAUUUGUAACGGGUAACAAGUAAUGAAAGUAAAUAAGAUGCAGCAAGAUAGCCCAAUCCUUUUUAUAGCAAAGGACAAGCCUGGACAAACUCUUAUAUAAAGGAAAACGCUCCCGAGGACACAUGGGAAUUAUCGUCAAGCUAGUUUUCAUCACGUUCAUAUGAUUCGUGUUCGUUACUUUGAUAAUUUAGUAUGUGGGUGGACCGGUGCUUGGGUACUGCCCUUUCUUGGACAAGCAUCCCACUUAUGAUUAACCCCUAUUGCAAGCAUCCGCGACUACAAAAGAAGUAUUAAGGUAAACCUAACCAUAGCAUGAAACAUAUGGAUCCAAAUCAGCCCCUUAUGAAGCAACUCAUAAACUAGGGUUUAAGCUUCUAUCACUCUAGCAACCCAUCAUCUACUUAUUACUUCCCAAUGCCUUCCUCUAGGCCCAAACAAUGGUGAAGUGUCAUGUAGUCGAUGUUCACAUAACACCACUAGAGGAGAGACAACAUACAUCUCAUCAAAAUAUCGAAUGAAUACCAAAUUCACAUGACUACUUAUAGCAAGACUUCUCCCAUGUCCUCAGGAACAAAUGUAACUAUUCACAAAUCAUAUUCAUGUUCAUAAUCAGAGGAGUAUUAAUAUGCAUAAAGGAUCUGAACAUAUGAUCUUCCACCAAAUAAACCAACUAGCAUCAACUACAAGGAGUAAUCAACACUACUUGCAACCCACAGGUACCAAUCUAAGGUUUUGAGACAAAGAUUGGAUACAAGAGAUGAAGUAGGGUUUGAGAGGAGAUGGUGCUGGUGAAGAUGUUGAUGGAGAUUGACCCCCUCCCGCUGAGAGGAUCGAUGGUGAUGACGAUGGUGAUGAUUUCCCCCUCCGGCAGGGAUGUUUCCCCAGCAGAACAGCUCCGUCGGAGCCCUAGAUUGGUUCCGCCAAGGUUCCGCCUCGUGGUGGCUGUGUUUCUCCCGAAAGAUUUUCGGAGUCUAAAACAUUCUGGAAAGUGUCCUUCAAGUAUUCCUCCAGGGUUACAGUUUCAAUAACAUUAGUUUCAACAUUUAUGGGAUUACCUGAGAUAUAAUGUUUGAUUCUUUGACUGUUCACCACCUUCAGAUUUGUGCCUUCGAAGUUGUUGAUUUUGAUGGCACCGGAACGAUAGACCUCCUCGAUAACGUAAGGACCUUCCCAUUUAGAGAGAAGAUUUCCUGCAAAAAAUCUUAAACAAGAGUUGAAUAGCAACACAUAAUCACCUACAUUAAACUCAUGCUUUUAUAUCCUUUUGUCAUGCCAUCUUUUAACUUUUUCUUUAAACAGUUUGGCAUUCUCAUAGGCCUGGGUUCUCCAUUCAUCAAGUGAGCUAAUGUCAAAUAGUCUCUUCUCAUCGGCAAGUUUGAAAUCAUAAUUGAGCUCUUUAAUGGCCCAAUAUGCCUUAUGUUCUAGUUCGAGAGGUAAGUGACAUGCUUUUCCAUAAACCAUUUUAUACAGAGACAUACCCAUGGGAUUUUUAUAUGCAGUUCUAUAGACCCAUAAAGCAUCAUCAAGUUUCUUGGACCAAUUCUUUCUAGAUCUAUUAACAGUCUUUUGUAAAAUUAAUUUGAGCUCUCUAUUACUAAGUUCUACUUGACCACUAGACUGCGGGUGAUAUGGAGAUGCAAUUCUUUGAUUAACAUCAUACUUAGCAAGCAUUUUACGAAAAGCACCAUGAAUAAAAUGUGAACCACCAUCAGUCAUUAAGUACCUAGGGGCUCCAAACCUCAGAAAAAAUAACUUCUUUAAGCAUCUUAAUAGAGGUGUUAUGACCAGCACUACUAGUUGGAAUAGCUUCUACCCACUUAGUAACGUAAUCAACAACAACUAAAAUAUGUGUAUACCCAUUAGCGGAAGGAAACGGUCCCAUAUAAUCAAAGCCCCGAACAUCAAAUGGUUCAAUAACAAGUGAAUAGUUCAUAGACAUUUCUUGACGUCUAUUAAUAUUACCAAUUCUUUGACAUUAAUUCAUCACAUGACAAGACAAACUUACGGGCAUCUUUGAAAAGAGUAGGCCGGUAAAAACCAGACUGCAAUACCUUAUGUGUAGUUCUAUCUCCAGCGUGGUGUCCUCCAUAAGCUUCAGAGUGACACUUGCAUAGGAUCUGUUCCUGUUCAUGCUCAGGUACACAAUGUCUGAUAACACCAUCUACUCCUUCUUUAUAAAGGUGUGGGUCAUCCUAGAGUAAUCUCUUAAAUCAUAGAAAAACUUUUUCUUUUGCUGGUAUGUGAAACUAGGUGGUAUAAAUUUAGCAACAAUGUAAUUAGCAUAAUUAGCAUACCAUGGAGCAGUAUGAGAAGCAUUUAUGAUAGCUAAUUGUUUAUCAGGAAACCUAUCAUCAAUAGGUAGUGGGUCCUCAAGAACAUUAUCUAACAUAGACAAGUUGUCUGCAACGGGGUUCUCAGCUCCCUUUCUAUCAAUAAUAUGCAAAUCAAAUUAUUGUAGCAAGAGAACCCAUCUAAUAAGUCUAGGUUUAGCAUCUUUCUUUUCCAUAAGAUAUUUAAUAGAAGAAUGAUCAGUGUAAACAAUUACUUUAGAAUCAACAAUAUAAGGUUUGAACUUAUCACAAGCAAAUACAACUGCUAUAAAUUCUUUUUCAGUAGUAGCAUAAUUUCUCUAGGCACUGUCUAGAGUUUUACUAGCAUAUUGGAUAACAUUUAAUUUCUUAUCAACUCUUUGUCCUAGAACAACACCUACAGCAUAAUCACUAGCAUCACAUAUAAUUUCAAAGGGUAAAAUCCAAUCAGGUGGCUGAACAAUAGGUGCAGAAAUCAAUGCUUUCUUAAGUAUUUCAAAUACCUCUUCACAAUCAUCAUCAAAGACAAAAAAGAACGUCUUUUUGUAAGAGAUUAGUCAGAGGCCUAGAAAUUUUAGAGAAGUCCUUAAUGAACCUCCUAUAAAAACCGGCAUGACCAAGGAAACUUCUUAUACCUUUAAUGUCCUUAGGACACGACAUCUUUUCAAUAGCAUCAACUUUAGAUUUAUCAACCUCAAUACCUCUUUCAGAAAUUUUAUGCCCCAAGACAAUGCCUUCAUUAACCAUAAAGUGGCACUUCUCCCAAUUCAAGACAAGAUUAGUUUCCUCACAUCUCUGCAAAACUCGAUCAAGGUUGCUUAAGCAAUCAUCAAAAGAAGUUCCAUAUACGGAGAAAUCAUCCAUGAAAACCUCAACAAUCUUUUCAUAAAAGUCAGAGAAUAUAGCCAUCAUACAUCUUUGAAAGGUAGUAGGUGCAUUGCAUAAACCAAAAGGCAUACGUCUAUAAGCAAAGGUACCGAAAGGGCAAGUAAAAGUAGUCUUUUCUUGAUCCUCUUUUGACAUAGGUAUUUGAGAGAAACCGAAAUAACCAUCUAGAAAGCAAAAAUGUGUACGUUUGGAUAAUCUUUGUAGCAUUUGAUCAAUAAAAGGUAAAGGGUAAUGAUCCUUUUUAGUAGCUUUAUUUAGUUUGCGGAAAUCAAUUACCAUUCUAUAACCUGUUACAAUUCUUUGCGGGAUCAAUUCAUCUUUAUCAUUAGGAACAACGGUAAUACCUCCCUUCUUAGGGACACAAUGGACAGGCACUACUAGGGAAAUGCUUAUAGGCAUACGCUUACUAGUAGCAAGGGUUUAUACCCUCACUACUGCUACUUACUAGUAGCGCGGUUUUUUACCCAUCGCUACUACUAAGUUGAUAGUAGUAGCGCGGCUUUAUACCCUCGCUACUACUAAGUACGAGGUAGGUGAACUUGCCAUCUCCUUAGCUGAAUCCCUUCUCUCUUCUGCCACUCUCUCCUUCCACUUUCCAUAUGGUCACNNNNNNNNNNUUUAUCAACCUCAAUACCUCUUUCAGAAAUUUUAUGCCCCAAGACAAUGCCUUCAUUAACCAUAAAGUGGCACUUCUCCCAAUUCAAGACAAGAUUAGUUUCCUCACAUCUCUGCAAAACUCGAUCAAGGUUGCUUAAGCAAUCAUCAAAAGAAGUUCCAUAUACGGAGAAAUCAUCCAUGAAAACCUCAACAAUCUUUUCAUAAAAGUCAGAGAAUAUAGCCAUCAUACAUCUUUGAAAGGUAGUAGGUGCAUUGCAUAAACCAAAAGGCAUACGUCUAUAAGCAAAGGUACCGAAAGGGCAAGUAAAAGUAGUCUUUUCUUGAUCCUCUUUUGACAUAGGUAUUUGAGAGAAACCGAAAUAACCAUCUAGAAAGCAAAAAUGUGUACGUUUGGAUAAUCUUUGUAGCAUUUGAUCAAUAAAAGGUAAAGGGUAAUGAUCCUUUUUAGUAGCUUUAUUUAGUUUGCGGAAAUCAAUUACCAUUCUAUAACCUGUUACAAUUCUUUGCGGGAUCAAUUCAUCUUUAUCAUUAGGAACAACGGUAAUACCUCCCUUCUUAGGGACACAAUGGACAGGCACUACUAGGGAAAUGCUUAUAGGCAUACGCUUACUAGUAGCAAGGGUUUAUACCCUCACUACUGCUACUUACUAGUAGCGCGGUUUUUUACCCAUCGCUACUACUAAGUUGAUAGUAGUAGCGCGGGUUUUUAACCCUCGCUACUACUAAGCGGUCUCUACCAUGCCCCCCGAGACAUGCCAUAGUAGUAGCGAGGGGUAUAAACCCGCGCUACUACUAAGUUGAUAGUAGUAGCGCGGCUUUAUACCCUCGCUACUACUAAGUACGAGGUAGGUGAACUUGCCAUCUCCUUAGCUGAAUCCCUUCUCUCUUCUGCCACUCUCUCCUUCCACUUUCCAUAUGGUCACAUGGACCUCUUGCCCAUGCGCCGCUCCUCCUCCGUGGUACCGAAUGAGGCUGCCGCCUCGCGCCAUCGGUGUCUAGGAGCUCGCCGGUCUUCCACCAACGUCUAGGAGGGCGCCGCCCCGCCCACCACACUGGGGAACCUCACCACCGGUGACUAGCUCUGCUGCUCCCUCCAUUACCUUCCUCUCUCCCUCGGUUUUCCUUUUCUCUCUCUCCCUCUGGUUUGACUCACCCUCCCAUGUCCACACCCGUGCAGGUCGUCGCCAUGGACGACCCGGAGCUAUCUGGCAUGGUCGGGAAGAGGAGCCCGACGUCGUGGCCUGGCUCUUCCAUAGAAAGGGGCCCUCUCCAACAGCCACCGCCGGAUCUGGUCUUCCGCUGUCCGUUCAUGCCUCCGGCGACGCCAACCGUCGCUAGAUCAAACCACUGCUGCCAUUGACAACACGCACGGGAUCGAGAUUUUGUUUUUGUUUUUGAAAGUAAUAGCAGUAGCGCAGGGUAUAAGACACGCUACAGAUAAUUAGCAGUAGCGCUGUCUGCAACGCACGCUACAGCUAACCAUGUAUAGCAGUAGUGUGUGUCAAAACACGCUACUGCUACAAGUUAGCUAUGGCGACGUAUCAGUAGCGCGGGCACCCGCACUACUGAUACACCCAAAACCCACCGUGCUGCUAGGCUUUUCCCUAGUAGUGGGACUUACCCACUAACUAUUAGCAACGGGAUAGAUUAUACGUGCCUCCAUAAGCUUUAGUAUUUCUUUUCUUACCACUUCUUUCAUCUUAGGAUUUAACCUGCGUUGGUGAUCAACAACCGGUUUAGCGUCUUUCUCCAAUUUUAUUUUGUGUUGGCAUAAAGUGGGACUAAUGCCCUUGAGAUCAUCAAGAGUAUAUCCAAUAGCAGCAUGGUGCUUCUUCAGAGUUUUCAAUAAUUUCUCUUCUUCUUUCUCUGAAAGAUUAGCACUAAUAAUAACAGGAUAUAUCUUCUUUUCAUAAAGAUAAGCAUAUUUAAGAGUAUUAGGUAAUGUUUUAAGCUCAAACACGGGAUCACCCUUGGGUGGAGGAGGAUCCCCUAGGAUUUCAACAGGCAAGUUGUGUUUCAAAAUAGGUCCCUAUUUAAAGAAUACUUCAUCUAUUUUCCUUCUUUCAUUCAUAAACAUAUCAUUUUCAUGUUCUAGCAAAUAUUGUUCUAAAGGGUCAUUAGGAGGCACAACAAUAGAGGCAAGACCAACAAUUUCAUCUUUCCUAGGUACUCCCUCCGUAAACUAAUAUAAGAGCGUUUACAUAACUACUUUAGUGAUCUAAAUGCUCUUAUAUUAAUUUACGGAGGGAGUAGUUCUUUAUCAUGGGGUUGUCUACGGAAUUUAGCAAAAUUAAACUCAUGAGACAUAUCCCCCAAUCCAAUAGUAACAAUAUCCUUUUUGCACUCUAUCCUAGCAUUAACAGUAUUCAAGAAGGGUCUACCAAAUAUAAUGGGACAAAAGUUAUGUUGUGGGGAACCAAGAACAAGAAAAUCAGCAGGAUAUUUGACUUUCCCACACAAGACUUCAACAUCUCUAACAAUCCCAACUGGUGAAAUAGUAUCUCUAUUGGCAAGCUUACUUGUAACAUCAAUUUCUUCUAUCUCAGCAGGUGCAAUAUCAUGCAUAAUUUCUUUGUAUAAGGAAUGGGGUAUUGCACUUGAACUAGCACCCAUAUCACAAAAGCCAUGAUAGCAAUGAUCUCCUAUUUUAACAGAAAUAAUAGGCAUGCUUACAACAGGACUAUGUUUAUUUAGUAUUAGGUCAAGCAAUUCUAGCAGCUUCAUCACAGAAGUAAAUAACAUGCCCAUCAAUAUUAUCGGCUAAGAGAUCUUUAACCACAACAAUACUAGGUUCAACUUUAAUUUGCUCAGGGGGUGUAGGUGUUCUAGUAUUACUCUUACGAACCAUAGUUGAAGCUUUAGCAUGAUCCUUUAUUCUAACAGGAAAGGUGGUUUCUCAAUAUAAGCAGUAGGAACAACAGGAUCAAAAUUAUAAGUGAUAGUCUUUUCUUCAACUUUAAUAGGUGAAACUACUUUUACUUCAAUGGGAGGAUUAUAUUUAAACCACUUCUCCUUAGGGAGAUCAACAUGAGUAGCAAAGGAUUCACAGAAAGAAGCUACUAUCUCAGAGUCAAGUCCAUAUUUAGUGCUAAAUUCAUAGAAAACAUCGGUAUCCAUAAAAUAUUUAACACAAUCAAACUUAGGUGUUAUACCUGACUCGUUACCUUCGUCGAGAUCCCAAUCUUCAAAGUUGCGUUUAAUUCUUUCUAAUAAAUCCCAUUUGAGUUCAAUAGUUUUCAUCAUAAAAGAGCCAGUACAAAAGUAUCGAGCAUGGAGCGAUUAUUGAGAGAAAGCAGAGCAUAAAAAUUUUGAAUAGUAAUUUCUCUUGAGGGGUCAUGAUUGGGGCAUGAAUAUAACAUUGACUUAAGCCUCCCCAAGCUUGAGCGAUGCUUUCUCCUUCGCGAGGCCAAAAUUAUAUAUAUAAUUGUGAUCACGAUGAACAAGAUGCUUACGAUAAAACUUCUUAUGAAAUUCCAAUUUCAAUCGGUUGUAGUUCGAUGAUCCCAUAUCAUCACAUAGCCUAAACCAUGUCAAUUCCUUUCCCAUAAAAGAUAAAGGGAAGACCUUCUUCUUGAUAACAUCCUGGGGCAUACCUGCAAGCUUAAAUAACCCACAAACUCUAUCCACAUAGAUUAGGUGUAAAUCGGGAUGCAAUGUUCCAUCUCCUGUAAAAGGAUUAGCUAGCAGUUUCUCUAUCAUACCCAAAGUAAUUUCAAAGUAAACAUUUUAGUAGGUUCAGUAGGUUGAGGAGAAACUCUUUGCUCUACUGGUCGGGGUGAAGAUACCCCGAACAAGCCCCUUAAAGGAUUACUUUCCAUAGUAACAAGUGACAGUAAAUUUCAGCACACUAUAUAAAUUUUUCCUUACCAAAUUCCACCUACCAAAGGCACUUCACUCCCUGGCAACGGCGCCAGAAAAGAGUCUUGAUGACCCACAAGUGUAGGGGAUCUAUCGUAGUCCUUUUGAUAAGUAAGAGUGUGAACCCAACGAGGAGCAGAAGGACAUGACAAGCGGUUUUCAGUAAGGUAUUCUCUGCAAGCACUGAAAUUAUCGGUAACAGAUAGUUUUGUGAUAAGGCAAUUUGUAACGGGUAACAAGUAAUUAAUGAAAGUAAAUAAGGUGCAGCAAGAUGGCCCAAUCCUUUUUAUAGCAAAGGAAAAGCCUGGACAAACUCUUAUAUGAAGGAAAACGCUCCCAAGGACACAUGGGAAUUAUCGUCAAGCUAGUUUUCAUCACAUACAUAUGAUUCGCGUUCGUUACUUUGAUAAUUUGGUAUGUGGGUGGACCGGUGCUUGGGUACUGCCCUUUCUUGGACAAGCAUCCCACUUAUGAUUAACCCCUAUUGCAAGCAUCCGCGACUACAAAAGAAGUAUUAGGGUAAACCUAACUAUAGCAUGAAACAUAUGGAUCCAAAUCAGCCCCUUACGAAGCAACUCAUAAACUAGGGUUUAAGCUUCUAUCACUCUAGCAACCCAUCAUCUACUUAUUACUUCCCAAUGCCUUCAUCUAGGCCCAAACAAUGGUGAAGUUUCAUGUAGUCGAUGUUCACAUAACACCACUAGAGGAGAGACAACAUACAUCUCAUCAAAAUAUCGAACGAAUACCAAAUUCACAUGACUACUUAUAGCAAGACUUCUCCCAUGUCCUCAGGAACAAACGUAAAUACUCACAAGUCAUAUUCAUGUUCAUAAUCAGAGGAGUAUUAAUAUGCAUAAAGGAUCUAAACAUAUGAUCUUCCUCCUGCUGAACUAGGAUUUGAGAGGAGAUGGUGCUGGUGAAGAUGUUGAUGGAGAUUGACCCCCUCCUACUGAGAGGAUUGAUGGUGAUGACGAUGGUGAUGAUUUCCCCCUCCCAGAGGGCUGUUUCCCCGGCAGAACAGCUUAGCCAGAGCCCUAGAUUGGUUCCGCCAAGGUUCCGCCUCGUGGCGGCGGUGUUUCGUCCCGAAAGCUUUCUUCUGAUUUUUUCCAGGGUGAAAGACUUCAUAUAGCAGAAGAUGGGCACCGGAGGCCUGCCAGGGGGCCCACGAGGCAGGGGGCGUGCCCAGGGUGGUAGGGCGCGCCCCCCACCGUCGUGGAUGGUGGGUGGCCCCUCUGGUUGAUCCUUUCACCAGUAUUUUUUAUUAAUUCCAAAAACUGCCUCCGUGAAGUUUUAGGACUUUUGGAGCUGUGCAUAAUAGGUCUCUAAUAUUUGCUCCUUUUCCAGCCCAGAAUUCCAGCUGCCGGCAUUCUCCCUCUUCAUGUAAACCUUGUAAAAUCAGAGAGAAUAAGCAUAAGUAUUGUGACAUAAUGUGUAAUAACUGCCCAUAAUGCAAUAAAUAUCGAUAUAAAAGAAUGAUGUAAAAUGGACGUAUUAGUGCUCUGUUGCCAGUCUGUCCACGUCUUCAAUGCGGCCCUUCUUGCUUCACUCUAGUGUUUCAUUAAUCUGGCGAGUGUUCCUCCUGCCAUUUGCUCUUUGUGCGGACGCAUAUGUCUCCUUUCUCUAUUGGUUGUUGUCAUGUCCCGCAAGUGUGUUUCUCUGCUCGCCAACUACAUGAGGCGAGCGAAGACACAACGGAGUUGCAGAUUAGGUACUUGGGUCACCGACCAACAAAAUCAACUCACCGGAGCUCCUGAUUCAUCUUUGCCACUUAUCAUUCAAUUUUUGAAUGCGGAUUCUACUAUUCUGUUUCAUAUAGGCUACAUCUACAUGGAUUCGUCAACUCUGCUCCAUAAAUAUGGAUACAAAGUGUUUGGUGUAGUUUUGUUUGAUAAUUCUGUGUUGCCAUUUCUCCCAUUCAGCAUAUUUUAGAAUUUAUAAUGGCCAAUACCUAUCCAUCAAAGUACAAGUUCAUUCUCAAGUGUUGCAAUUUGUAUGCUCAAACAAAAUGACGUCUGCGUGGGUGUCCGGAUCAAGGACCACCCCUAAUCCUUCAUAAGUUCAGGUGAUAUGGCAACUACCCCUUUGAAUUAUAUAAAGAUCAAUGUCGAUGCAUGUUUUGUGGAGAGCAUUAGUUCAGCGAGUGUGGGGGUGGCGGCAAGGGACUCUUCUUGGGAGGGUCAUAGUCUCCUCCUAGGAUUUCAUUGGACUUUGUAAAAGCGUGGAGGAGGAAGAGCUCCGUGCUUGCAUUGCCGGUCUUUAUAUAGGUAUUACUCUACAAAAUCCUAUAAUCUUAGAGACUGACUAUGCGUUUGUGGUGGCGACCGUAGAAAAUGAAAAUUUUGACAGAUCAUCAUUGGUGGAUUUGAAGAAGGAAGCGAUGAGUACCUCCAAGCUUAAGAUUUCGGUCAGUCUUAAGAUCUCCAAGAUCAAUCGCUUGGACAAUGUGGUGGCCCAUAUGAUUGCUAAAUUUAGCUUUGAUAAUAGAUCAUAUGGUAUCUUAGUUAGUGGUGUUCCGCCCUGCGUGGUGAAUUUUGUAAUAAGUGAUUGUAAUAACUACGUUGGUUAAUUAAUAUAUGAGGUGGUUUUUAAAAAAAAACAACAUCUGCAUGAAUUUUGGAUCUCGUAAUCUUAAAUGGUUUGGAUUCCAGUAGUAAGUUCUUUAUGUACGGACCCCCUGCUGGAAUUAGCACUUUUUGUUGUAUAAAUUUAGCUCUAUAGGGGCACAUGAAUUGUACCAAUGAAGAACUUAGUACAGAGGAAAUUAGAAUUUACAAAGUUUGAACGAACUGCCUUGUUUUGAAAUUGUUGCUCUUGUUGGAUUGUUUUGUGUCAUACCUAAAUCAAAAUUCUAAUAUUAGCAUAUAAUUGGGUGGACCAUAUUCUUGAUUGGGGGUCGUAUCUAGAGGACCAGUAAUACUUCACUUAUACUUGUGGUCUGGUAUACUUGAGCCGGUGCAUCACAAGUGCUUCUUUGUUUUUAUCCUUUAUUAAUAUACUUAUUGUUUGGAAGGAGGAAGUUGCAUAUUAUUCUACAUGACCCCUUUGUUGAAUACAAUCAACAUUCUACAUCGAUUGUUGUUUGCCGCAAUACUUACACGCACUUUAUGCAUGUUUCUUAGAGCUACUAUGAUUUUCCAGUGCAAAUAUGCAUGCAUUCUGGUGUAUGUAAUUAUGAUGUCUUAGAAUCCUCACUUUUAUAAUACUUAUUCUUGCUAAAGUUUACAGCCAUCGCUGGAUUAUCCUAAUCAUUUGUACUACACAAGUUACACCAAUAACCAUGUUUUUAUAUGCACGUAUCUCCUUAGGAUUACUAAUCUGAAUAAUGUAAGCUCAGUUAAGGUAGGCGAUAAAGUUGUUUUGUGUACUCAAAUAAAGAAUCAUUCGCAAAACAGUGGGUCAUUCACUUGUGAUGAUGAAUACUUUUUCCAUCAGAUUGUUGUCCAUAAAGAAUUAUGUAUUGGAACAUUAGCAACUCACUUUAUACACUUUCAAAAAGGAAGUUAAAUUUUGGUAUUCUUGUUUUGAAAAAUUUGGAUUCCUCAUCAAAUACUAGUAAGCCAAAAGGGACAGCGAGGUUGGACAUUCGAACAUACAACUACAAUGGGAUGGAACAUGGCUAUGAAUAUAUCAAAUGCUUUUGGAAUAACAUAAUAAUCGAAGCACAACACAUUUAAAGUUACUUCCCAGCUUCCUUAAGUGUCAAACUGAUAUUUGCACAACAAGUAGUAAGGCUAGGAUUGGGUAGUAGGAUUCAAACAAAUGGAUAAGCUAGAUCUACCCUAUGCAAGGAUUUUAGCAAUCAUCACAUGCACAAUUUCAUCAGGGAGAGACCAUACAAACCUCUAUUUUGCAUGCAGUUUGUUGGUUGAGGUAAGCAUAACCUGAUGCUUACAUUUCAGAUUUAGGUCUAGGUUUAAUUAUUCUUCGGCCUACUUCAUGCUUUUCCUGUGUAGUCUUUGUAACAUGGUGCUAGAAGGGUGUGUGUACUCUGAAUUACUUGUUCUUUACGCAGAAGAAAAUGUAUUUAGAUUGUUUCUGUCCUUGAGAUUAUUUAUAUCUUCAACAUCCAAGUGACUGGCUUGCAGGCUGCUCUUUUCAGCAAUGAAGGAACCGUUUCUAUGGUGCAUGCUAAUAGUUAUUUAUUUCUGACAUAUGGAAUCCAUGUAAACUUUCUAACUCUUAUAUUGAAACUAAAGUUACCUUCUUUGCCUUAGUGUAGCACCAUCUGUAUGUCGCUGCUGGAAGAUACGCUUCCGUGCUCAUCUUUUCUACAAUGUAGUGCAGACACACUACCUUCUCUAAAACUUUGAUAACUGUUGUUUGAAGAUUUAGCAUCAAUUGUUCUUUCACUGUCCCUGCAAUGCAAAAGAUGAUGUCAGGCGGAAAUGUUUUACCUACAAUCGAAGAUUUUUUUACCAUUAGUAGAUCUGUUUUGUACUCAUCUCUUCUACAAUGUGAAUUGAAUGUACAGGUUCUGGAAAAGUCGGCACUUUUUGUUUAACGAUUUAGCAUAUGUUGUUCUUUCCAGGCUCCUAUAGUUUAAAUGGUGUUGCGAGGCCAUGAUGCAUGGAUGAAACUAAAGAUUUCCCCCAAAAUUGUUUGGGAUGACCUUUGUCAAUUCUUCUGUCAUAAUAGUUUAGUUCUUGAAUAUUGUUUUCUUUUAUACAUUAUCUAAUUUUAGAUGAUCACUAACUUCACUUAUUUGUGUUGCACCUACAAAAUUUUGCCCUAGAAAGAUUUGCAUGCUAUUUGAUUGCCUUUGAAAGUGCUCUGUCUCAAAGUUGUUUCUUAGCGACUCUGCUCUCUCGACUCGAGUCAUUCUACUUCAGUUUGAAAGUUGACUGAUAGAAUUGCAUUUUUAGUUUAAGUUUCCUGAAACGCAAAACUCCAAGGCUCACAAAAAUGUAUUGUUUGGUCGAUAAAUAGGAACAUGAAGACUUUGUUGAUGAAUACUUUGUUUUUUAUCGGUUAUAAUGGAGCAAGCGCAGCAAAGCGCGCCUUUCCCUUCUAGUCGGUUAUGAUUACUAUAUUUGCACGUAAAAUUGGAUUAGUAACAGAACACCCAUGAUAUGACCAAGUAACAUGGAAGUAUAUUGUAUGUGCAAGUAGAUGGUCGUUCUCAUCACCAUCGCUAAUCGUUGAGGUGCAUCAUCCAUGUUAGAUGUUUCUAAUUGAAGAAAUCCCCUAUAUCACUAAGCUCCCUGGGGCAAAAUCGUCCAGGAGAGAUCCAAGCGAUCGAUUGCCUUGUGCGAUCAAUUUUGACCAAGCCUUCGUGUGUACAACCUGCAUCUGGUGAGGUGGCAGGUCUGUGGGCCUUUUUUGUUAGGGGCGGUUGGCAAGAGCAUGGGUUGUCGGUGGCUGGCAAAGGCGGUAUCUUCUGGUUAAAUGAGGUUUUCUAUGGUCAAAGCGUCGUGGCAGUUGCGAGGGGUUGCGAAGCACGUGGCAGUCGGAGGUAGUGUGGCCAUGUGGGCGUUGCAGUCAUCUAUAGGGGAUGGGCGGCUUUUGGGAGGCAUUUGGGUCACCCCCGUUGGGUGCGCCGCUGUUGGAUCUUGCUUGCGGGCAGCCUCCAGGGAGGUCGUCACCGUGUUGACGCUCAAAAGUGGCACGAUCAUAAAGAGUAGCUUGAAGGUAUGUCAAGAUUAAUUCAAACUUAUUAUUGAAAGUCAUCAUGGGAUGGCUCUCUUCGAGAAGAUCAAGAUUGAAAGUGCAACUAUCCCUAGGUGGUUUUGGUAAUUCAUAACAACAUAUAGCUCAUUGAGCUAAUGCUAUUCCAAGACUAUUAUUUCAGGAAGGCUCAAUGAAUGGCAUGGCAUGGAUGAUGAAAGUGGACCCCUCAAAAUAUCAAGGACAAAGGAUUGGCUCAAGCUCAAAAGCUCAAGACUCUUCAUUUUAUAUUUUAGUGAUCCAAGAUCACAUUGAGUCUAUAGGAAAAGCCAAUACUAUCAAGGAGGAAUGAGGUGUUGCUUAAUGAGCCUCUUGCUUCAAGUGCUUAGUGAUAUGCUCCAAAUACCCUCAACUACUUUCUCACAUCCUCAUAUGACCUAAACCUAAAGCCAAAAUCGGUCACACUAAUUCUUUCUAUCCGGCGCCACCGAGUUCAGAUGUCAUAGCCACUGCCACAAACCCUAGGCAAAUCGGUCUCACCGAUAGGGAUCUUGGUCUCACCGAGAUGGGAUUGUAAUCUCUCUGUUUCCCUUCAUAACGUUUCGGUCUAACCGAAGUGAGCGAUCGGUCCCACCGAGAUUGCAAUGUAAACUCUUUGUUUCCCUUUUUUAACAUUUCAGUCUCACCAAAAAGAGCAAAUCGGUCCCACCGAGUUUACCUGACCAACUCUCUGGUUAGCUAAUUACCAAAAUCGGUCUCACCGAGUUUGUGUAAUCGGUCUCACCGAGAUUACGUUAUGCCAUAACCCUAACCAUAUCGGUCCUACCGAGUUGCAUGUCGGUCCCACCGAAAAUCCUAACGAUCACUAGGUUUACUAAAUUGGUCUGACCGAGUUUGUUGAUUCGGUCCCACCGAGAUUGGUAAAUUGUGCUUAACGGUUAGAUUUUUUGUGGAGGCUAUAUAUACCCCUCCACCUCCUCUUCAUUCGUGGAGAGAGCCAUCAGAACAAACCUACACUUCCAACUUACCAGUUCUGAGUGAGAACUACCUACUCAUGUGUUGAGGCCAAGAUAUUCCAUUCCUACCAUAUGAAUCUUGAUCUCUAGCCUUCCCCAAGUUGCUUUCCACUCAAAUAUUCUUUCCACCAGAUCCAAAUCCUAUGAGAGAGAGUUGAGUGUUGGGGAGACUAUCAUUUGAAGCACAAGAGCAAGGAGUUCAUCAUCAACGCACCAUUUGUUACUUCUUGGAGAGUGGUGUCUCCUAGAUUGGCUAGGUGUCACUUGGGAGCCUCCGACAAGAUUGUGGAGUUGAACCAAGGAGUUUGUAAGGGCAAGGAGAUCGCCUACUUCGUGAAGAUCUACCGCUAGUGAGGCAAGUCCUUCGUGGGCGACGGCCAUGGUGGGAUAGACAAGGUUGCUUCUUCGUGGACCCUUCUUUGGUGGAGCCCUCCGUGGACUCGCGCAGCCGUUACCCUUCGUGGGUUGAAGUCUCCAUCAACGUGGAUGUACGAUAGCACCACUUAUCGGAACCACGCCAAAAACAUCCGUGUCUCCAACUGCGUUUGAAUCCUCCAAACCCUUCCCUUUACUUUCUUGCAAGUUGCAUGCUUUAAUUUCCGCUGCCUAUAUACUCUUUGCAUGCUUGCUUGAUUUGAGUGAUGAUUGCUUGACUUGUCCAAAGGUUGCUAAAAUCUGCCAAACUCUAAAAUUGGGAAAAGGUUAGUUUUUAAUUGGUCAAGUAGUCUAAUCACCCCCCCUCUAGACAUACUUCAAGGUCCUACAAAGAUGGAUAUGAAGAUGGUCUAAAAUAGAGCUUAGAUGCAAAAGUUAUGACAAGAUCAGAGAUGCUCAUGUUGACACAAGAUUAAAGAAUGGCUUGAAACCCAAUUAAGCUGGCCUCGUUUGGAAAAAGUUUCAACACAAAGUUGUGUGUCUUGUCAAAACAAUUGAUUUUGAAAUAAAAAACAUCUCAAUCAGAGUUCGUAUGCAAAAGCUAAAGCCAAAACAGUGUGUUGCAGAAGUCUACCCCAGAAGUUCCAGGCAACUUCUGGGCUAAACCGAAAGUUUGCACGAGGUGCGCCCUGUAAAUUGAAAUAUCAACAUUAUUUGCAGAUUUGCAGGCUCGAAUUCAACCUCAAUAUGACCUCAGAUGAAAAAGUGAUCAAUUAAUGAGUUUUUCUCCAUUGCAAGAUCUACAACAUUGCUUUUGGGACCACUGCGAUGUGAAGCCAUAUGCGAGAUGCAGUAGUGGUGCAAGAGGGCUACUUGAUGUAAUUUUAGCCCGGAAGUUCCGGGACUACCAGAAGUUCCGCCCCCCUAGUCCGAGUUAGGUUAACUUUUGAUGUUUUGGAUGAGAUUUGAGUCCUUUUCUUGUACGGAAAGUCCAUCCACCUCAUAUAUAUAUAAGAGGUGACGGCCGAUUGAAUAACAACACACAAUCGAUCUAUCAAUAUAUCACUUUUUACCUUUACCUUUAUCUUCUCCCUUGUUCUUCUCCCCUGUUCUUCAUUCGUUCUUCGUGAAGGAGGGCAGUGAUCCACGAGGCCCUAGGGGCGAUCAGGUCGACCUAGGGCAGCCCAUAGUUGCCACGCGCCCUGACGGGGUCCCUCCCGGACGUGGGGUUUUGGGUCUACAAAAGCACCCGCCGGACUGCUUGCGUACCGCGCUUCCGGCCAGGUCUCCUUCAACAUGAGCUGCAGUGCAUCACCCUUGGCGUCGAGGGUACAUGGUGACAUGUUCGUGUGUGAACAGACUUUUUGGUGACUCCGCUGGGGACAAAGCUUUGAACGGUCUCCAGCCCGUUCGUACUACGAAGAGAUCGUCAUCUAGGGUUUGCAGUCUACAAAGGUAAUAUGAAUACCCAAUCCCCUUGUGUAGAUGCAAAUAUUUCAUAUAGUGUGUUACUAGAUUGUUCAAUGAGUAUACUCUAUCGGCCAACCCUAGUUUUUUCAAUCAUGCAUCUAACUACGUGCAAGGAUCGACUCAAAGUAAUUUACAAGCUUCAACUUCUUAUGAUACUAGUAUAUACUACCAUAUAUGGCACAUACAUGCAUGUGGGGACAUGUCAUGUUGGACUCUUGUCUUGGUCGCAUUAUCCAACUACCCACUGCCAUGAUUCUUAUAAAUUACACCCUUGUACUGAACCUUCGAUCUUCAUCUCUAGUUUGUACCUUAAGGAUAAGGAUAAGAGCAUCUAUCGCCGGGUGCCUCAAACCCGCCUCAAAUGGCCGGAUGGGCUGCUCGGUAACUAACGAUCACGAAAAUUCGACCCAGACGGGCUCCUUAAACGAGCCUCAAAUGCCCGGGCUGACUGGCACCCCUCAUAUCCGGCCCAAACAUGGUGCGGAUUGGGGCCUCGGGCGAAUCCGCCACGUCAGACCCGCCAACCCCAUCCACAUUAAAUUGCACCAAAUCCACCAGACGCUUCCUCCUCCUCCCGCCUCCCUCCUACCUUUCCCGCGCACGAGCCCUCGCCGGCCGCCACCCUUGGUCCCCAUCCACACCACCGGUCUUGAUCCGCCACCCUAGAUGUCGUCCAGCCUGUUCCUGACCACCGCGACGGAGACUGCAUCCGCCUCGUCCGUCGGCAUCCCAUCCUCGUCUCCGUCGUGCAAGGCAGAGAAUGUCGCCCGGAGCAUGCGGUAACGUCGCAGCGAGAGAGGGAAGCUGCAGCACAGGGACAUACCGACAUGGACGAGCAGCUACCCCCUUCCCCUCCAUGCCCCGAACCCCGCACCUGUUGGGUACGUAGCAGAAAUUCAAAAUUUUCCUACGUGUCACCAAGAUCUGUCUAUGGAGAAACCAGUAACGAGGGGAAGGAGAGUAGAUCUACAUACCCUUGUAGAUCGCUAAGCGGAAGCGUUCAAGAGAACGGGGUUGAAGGAGUCGUACUCGUCAUGAUCCAAAUCACCGGAGAUCCUAGUCCCGAACGGACGGCACCUCCGCGUUCAACACACGUACAGCCCGGUGACGUCUCCCAUGCCUUGAUCCAGCAAGGAGAGAGGGAGAGGUUGAGGAAGACUCCAUCCAGCAGCAGCACAAUGAUGUGGUGGUGAUGGAGGAGCGUGGCAAUCCUGCAGGGCUUUGCCAAGCACCGCAAGAGAGGAGAAGGGAGAGAGGUAGGGCUGCGCCAGGGAGAGGUCAAACUCAUGUGUUGGCAGCCCUCAAGACCUCAACUAUAUAUAGGGGAGAGGGAGGGGGGUGCGCCCUCUCUAGGGUUUCCACCCCAAGGGGUGCGGCAGCCCCAAUCCCAUCUAGGGUGGCGGCCAAGGGGGGGAGAGGGGAAACUUGCCCCCCAAGUUAGGUGGGUGCGCCCCCUCUACCAACCCUAGGUGGCUUGGGCACUUGUGGGGGGCGCACCAGCCCACCUGGGGCUGGUCCCCUCCCACACUUGGCCCAUGCAGCCCUCCGGGGAUGGUGGCCCCACUUGGUGGACCCCCGGGACCCUCCCGGUGGUCCCGAUACGUUACCGAUAAAACCCGAAACUUUUCCGGUGAGCAAAAUAGGACUUCCCAUAUAUAAAUCUUUACCUCCGGACCAUUCCGGAACUCCUCAUGACAUCCAGGAUCUCAUCCUGGACUCCAAACAACAUUCGGUAACCACAUACAAACUUCCUUUAUAACCCUAGCGUCAUCGAACCUUAAGUGUGUAGACCCUACGGGUUCGGGAACCAUGCAGACAUGACCGAGACGUUCUCCGGUGAAUAACCAACAGUGGGAUCUGGAUACCCAUGUUGGCUCCCACAUGUUCCACGAUGAUCUCAUCGGAUGAACCACGAUGUCAAGGACUCAAUCAAUCCCGUAUACAAUUCCCUUUGUCUAGCGGUAUUAUACUUUCCCGAGAUUCGAUCAUGGUAUCCCGAUACCUUUGUUCAAUCUCGUUACCGGCAAGUCUCUUUACUCGUUCCGUAACACAUCAUCCCGUGAUCAACCCCUUGGUCACAUGGUGCAUAUUAUGAUGAUGUCCUACCGAGUGGGCCCAGAGAUACCUCUCCGUCAACCGGAGUGACAAAUCCCAGUCUCGAUUCAUGCCAACCCAACAGACACUUUCGGAGAUACCUGUAGUGCACCUUUAUAGCCACCCAGUUACGUUGUGACAUUUGGUACACCCAAAGCAUCCCUACGGUAUCCGGGAGUUGCACAAUCUCAUGGUCAAAGGAAAUGAUACUUGACAUUAGAAAAGUUUUAGCAUACAAACUACACAAUCUUUGUGCUAGGCUUAGGAUUGGGUCUUGUCCAUCACAACCCUCUCCUAAUGAUGUGAUCCCGUUAUCAACGACAUCCAAUGUCCAUGGUAAGGAAACCGUAGCCAUCUAUUGAUCAACGAGCUAGUCAACUAGAGGCUUACUAGGGACAUGGUGUUGUCUAUGUACCCACACAUGUAUCUGAGUUUCCUAUCAAUACAAUUAUAGCAUGGAUAAUAAACGAUUAUCAUGAACAAGGAAAUAUAACAAUAAUAACUAAUUUAUUAUUGCAUCUAGGGCAUAUUUCCAUCAGCACCCUAUCCAUCCAAUGAACAAGCGAGACAUCCGUCACAAUCGGACAUUUAUUUCAUUUUGGCAUGUCUGGAUUGUUGAACUAUGAUUUUCUUUGCUUUGUCUCGAACUGUUGAAUUUGGACAAUUUGUAUCGUAUGAUCGACGUGCAUGGGUUGCAUGUAUUUGAUUCUCUACAUUUGAGGUAUGUGGAUGCGCGACAACCCAUAUGAAGGGCCGGCGGGCGCUGUCCACGGACGCGCUCGUGGGCGUAUAGGGGCCCGGACUUGCCAAGUUCGGUUGUAGAUGCUCUAAGUAACAAGUGGAUCACAAUCUAAGUUUGAGAUUAUCUCCAAUGUCUAACUAAACGGGCGUCAUACGUCCCAUCCUUCAGGAUGAAUAAGAUCACAUCUGGCAAAUAAUUAUUUUUUGGUAUCUGUUUUGGUCCUUACAUUAUAUAAAUAUAUUCUCAUAUAUGUUAGUCAGAAUAUUAAUAAUACAUAUUGACAAAAAAUAUUAUGAAUGACGAAUCUACUAACAAUAUUUUCAGUGAGCCAAUUUUAAAUAGUAUUGCCACAUACCGGGAGAUAGCAGCAGAGAAUGUAAUUUACAAACACUUUAAUGAUAUGCAGGCUAUUAGAAGCAAUAGAAAAUGACAAAACUUCAAAUUAAACUAGUAGGUCCAUACAUUUCGAGGACAUGCAUGAGAGAUCCUUUUUUUAUGAGAUGUUAUUGCAAGUAGAAGCUAGUAUACCUUUUUGGAACUUUUACCAUGUCUCAAACCAUGUACUUAUAUUUAGUUUGUUAGAUUUGUAUUUUUUUUCUUUCAAAAAACAAUAUAUAAAAGAAGAAGACUUAAGGACGCCAUUUUUGACUCACAUGAGCAUGUGGUCCCUAGAGCCAAAACAAUGAAAAUUGUUAGAGAUUCCUAUGUAUAAGCUAUUCUUGGUAAGCUAAAGACAUUUCAUCCUCUAAACUCUUGCUGAAGUCCAAAAUUAACCCAGAACCGCAAAUAACACUAGAACAGAUUAGACUGUCACGCUGGUCAUAGCACCACACUGGAGUAAUCUUCUACAAGUGAUGUUAAAUGACAAAAUUGACGGUCACUACUAGAAUCAGCUACUUUGCCGACUUCCUCGGCAAAGAUCCAAAAGAACUCGGCAAAAAUGUGUUUGCCAGGUGCGGUACUUUGCAAAAAAAAAUCUCGAUAGAACACAUUGGCAAUAGUUAACUUUGCCGAAUUUUUAUACCAAGAACUCAGAGAAUACUCAUAGAGUCUUUCUCGAGUUUCCAAAAAGGAGAACUCUAGAAACCACUAGCGCUAGACGAAAUGACCUAUUAAUGGUGGUGCCACGUGGCCAGAGCAUUGCCGAGUUCUCGCAUGCCGAACUCGGCAGACGCCUGAUGAAUAGAAACGUGGUGCGUGCCAUAGGUGGUUGCCGAGUUCUUGCCUUUGCCAAGCGUGGAACCUAACAAACGUUCAGCAAAUAUGAUGCGUGGCAGAACUAGCUGCCAAGUUCUUAUCUUUGCAGAGUAUGUUGCAGGAGACCUCGGCAAAUUCUUUGAAGAAUAGUAAUGUGACACAUGGCACAGACGACUGUCAGGUUCUUGUAUUUGCUGAGUAUGGCGCCACGGGGACUCGUCAACACCUUUGGGGAGCUUUGUGCAGGGUGAACUCGGCAAAGAAAACCCGUGAAAGACGUUCAGGAGCUGCUUCCGCAUUUUCUGAGUGUGGAACUCGGCAAAGAUUCCUGGAGCUACCAGCUUCUGCCACGCGUCAGAUUUUGCCGACUAGUGCGCUCAGCAAAAUGCUCCAGGGAUAGUUUUGUCGAGCGACAGAACUUGGCAAAUGUUCAAUCAUGUUUAUUUAUUAUUUAUUGUUGGGAAAUCUUGCAUACAAAUAAGUACGUAUGCAUAUAUAUCAUCGCAAAGAUACAUAACAUCAUUCAAAUAUCACUUCACAAAAACAACAAGCAAUAUGGCGAUCAUUCGAACAUAUUUUACACAAGUGACAUCGUCACAGAUUUAUCCAAGUUAGUCUCAUUGAAGCCAUGUUACUCUAAUGAUAGAUUAAGAUCCAGCUGCAGCACGGGCCGGGCCGGUCCUGCGAUUCCGGUGGUCCUGGGUGAAACUAACACUCGGAUCCUCUCAAUAUAAACAUUAUAACAAUAUCUGCAAAUGUUUAGAUUAUUAAAUGUUACCGGUAGACUAGUAGCAAGAGAUCGUGAAUGAACCAGAAAAACAGAAAAAUGAAGGUGCGUCCGUUCUAAAACUUUGUCCAAGAAUAACAGGAUAAUUGACACAUGGCUCGCCACGUACCUUAUUGAGGCAAAAAAAAGUCCGCGCUUCAUUAAGCUUUCGCGUUUGCUAGUACGUAAAAUGGAAAAAAGAUGUACACAAUGUAUAUGAAAAAAUUUUAUUUAAUAUCUAUCAAAAUUAUUUAAUAUCAUUAUAUAAUGUCGAGCUAUCGAGCUAAAUCGAGCGAGCGAGUGUUGGCUCAUGAUCAGCUCGUUUCUUGAUCGAGCUACAUAAAGUGCUCAUUCUCAGCUCAUUUCUUUUCAAGUCAAACUCAAGUCAAAACAAAAUACGAGUCGAUCUUGAGUGGCUUACGAGCCUCGAGCUUUACUUGCAGCCCUAGCCACCACUACUCCAAUCCAGCCAUAGUUUUUAUUUUCUUGAGAGGGUCGACGAUGGACUGUGUUUGUUUACUGACCCAUCUUUUUUCUUUUCAUUUCCCUAUGUUUUUGGCUAGCUUUCGGGCUUUGUCUGCCUGUACAUAUUGCACAUGUUCUCCCUUAAUCCAUGGCAGAGUUGUUGCCGCUUUUGUAGUAACAUAUAUGGACUUGUAGUAGAUUGUCAUGACCUUUCGUCACAGCUAAUGGCUAAAUCCUCACGUUCAUGCAUGUGGUGGUAACAUGGACUGUUCAGAUCUUAGCUAGAACACACAUUAACUAUCAUAUCAUGUCAUAAUUUUUUAUAGGCCACUGCCAUGAAUAAUAUAUGAAGUACAGAGGACAAUUCAAAUAAUCAAAUUUAAAUUACUAUGCCUGCGGCCACCCCUCGGGAAUAUAAUUUAUACUUCUUGUUUCUUUUCUUGACACUAAGUGAUACUUCUUGUUGGACGCGAACCAAGCCAAGUAUGUACACCAACUAUCUGAGUUGACAGAUGUAAGUUAGCUUAAUAUUGACUAAUAGACGUAAGAUGCUAGUCAUGAACGAAUCCAUAUCAUCUGUCUGUAUUUGUAGAUGUCGAGUCAUCUUGCACUUUUUGUAAUAGCCCAUUGGCCAACUAGCUAUUAUUUGGAUGGAUAAAUCAUCUUAUAUGAUAUAUGUUGCCCACUUUGUUACUCCCUCCGUUCUUAAAUAUUUGUCUUUUUAAAGAUUUCAAAUGACUACCACAUACAGAUGUAUAUAGACAUAUUUUAGAGUGUAGAUCCACUCAUUUUGCUCUGUAUGUAUUCACUUGUUGAAAUCUCUAGAAAGACAAAUAUUUAGGAACGGAGGGAGUACAUUGCAAGAUUUCUAAGUGCGUCAAAAGGGUGUCGCUAAAGAUGUUGUAUCCGUAGGUUUUACAUUCUUUAUUGAGAGAUGUUGCACAAAAGUUGUACAAUGUUUCAAGUGUACACUAUGUGAAUUUGGUUAUCCUGUUUAUUAGAUGGACAUAUCUCAAUGCUUAAUGGUGACACACAUAUACUCCAAGUUCUUUUGUUCUGGUUAGUCCAUUGUUCGAGGUGAUAAGCAUCUAUAUUACCAUAAGCUAAUCAGUGCUUCAUCAGCUUUGAUAGAUAUGUACUCUAUUUGAACUUUAUUUAGAGAAUUCUAGAUCAGAAUAUUAGCAAGUAAGAUACACAUCAGACUAUACAAUUACAUAAAUUCCAAUACUAAUGCAAGUUGCUGACCGGAAAUCCCUUUUGGUGACCGAGCUCCAAUGAGGCCUCCAAAUUUAAAAUUCAAAUUUCAUCAAAAUCCAUAUUUUUACGUUUCAAAAAAUUCAAAAAAAAACAUAGAAAUAUAUGAAGGCAUAACACACAUAUGUGUAAAUUUUCAAGGCAAAAUACGUUGAAAUGAGGGCUGUGCAAAAAAUACAAAUCUAGGGCUGUUUAACACAUGAUACUAUUCAUCCUUACAGGCCCUAAAUUUGUCUUUUUUGUACAGGUCGCAACUCAAGGUAUUUCAUCAUGAAUUUUUUACACACAUGUGGGUUACAUCCUUACAUGCAUGCAUUAUUUUUUUGAAUUUUUUGAAACAUAAAAGUUUGAAUUUGAAUUUUUCAAAAACAAAGGGCUCCAUGGAGCUCGGCCUCCAAAACGCCAUUUUCAUUGCUGACAUGUUAAGAACCACUUUAACUUGUAUCUCCAAGGACCGGGAUGCAAUUUUCUUUUCUAGAGGUGGUUUUCUUGUAUUGCUAAAUCCAUUAAAUAUGGAGCAUGUGGCUUUGUUGUAGAAAGUUAAUUAAAUGGAUUUUCCAGCCGCAAAAGAAAUUGAAUGGAUUUUCAACAGCUUGAUUUAAUGUUUGGGGAUCCAUAUCGAAAUUUACUCUCUAUUGGGCGAGACUUUGCAAGUAAAACCAAUAUCAUAAAUGCAGCUAAUUAAAUGGAUCUUAACCUUCUCAUAACUGGUAUAACUACAUGCUCUAAUUUAAUUAAUGUGACGUGAUCUUAACAUAGUAAUAUUAUUAUGCAGUGCACAACUAGCAAGUCGACUAAAGAUUCAUAAUAUUACUACAUCAAGGACUUCAUUAACUGUCAUUUAUAGGUUGUACAUCUGUAGAUCAGAUGAUUUGGAAAUAUUCUCUGGAUGGCACAUCCACAUCAUGUUAUCUAUACCACAGGCUGAGCAUUGAGAUCUAUGUGUCCAAUGGAUAAGAAACUAAGAUACAAGCACCACAUCUAUAUGGCAUCCAUAGAGAUUAUAACAUGGAUGCACUUGACAUACUGUCCACACCCAUAAUAUAUGAUGGCAUACAGGUCCAUCCAUACAAUAAGAGCUACUUAUUUGGCCUAUGGAUGCCGACAUAAAGAGAAGAUCCGUUGGCAUAUACUAACAGACAAAACAAUAUGGCUUCAAUUUGACUAUCUUAGGUCUUUUCGUCAAUUUUAAGCUUACAUGCAUGGGUCAAGUAGAUAGUAAUGACCUUUCACCAAAGCUAAUAACUGAGGUCGCACAUGCAGGCAUGUGGAGUGUUUCAAAUCUUAGCUAGAACGCACAUGAAUUAUAACAUGCAUGCUACAAUAGUUGAAUGACAUCCGACGCAUCCAUAUACUACACCCUGUCAUGAUAUCUUUUAUAUGCCACUGACAUGAGUCAUAUAUGAAGUAUAUAGGGAAAUUUAGAUCUAUUUUAAAUUAAUAUACAUGUAGCUAGCCGCCCCUGAGGGAUUUAAUUGCAUAUUAUAAUUACAAUAUAUAUCUGCAACUAGUCCAUGGAAAUAUAAUUGUGUCUUUUGGUUGUACGCAAACCAAGGUAAGUACCAACAUAUCUAAAGGCGUACAUGUGCGUACACCAACUAUCUGACUUGACACAUUUAAAUUAGCUUAAAAAUGACGAAUAUACCUUAUUAAGAUGCUAGUCAAAAUGAAUCCAUAUCCAUUGCUUGCAUUAGUUGAUGUCGAGCAAUCUUGCACUUUCUGUAAUUGUCCGUUGGCCAACUAGCUUUUAUUUUUCGGAUAAUUUUUUCUUUUAUAAUAUAUGUUUCCCUCUUUGUUACAAUUGAAAGUUGCUAAGUGCAUCAAAAGGAUAAAUCACCUAGAUAUAAUCAAAGAGGGGCAUGAAAAUAGAAAUCCCAUUUAUUUAUAGCUUUUACAAUUUUUAUCGGUAUGUUGUACAAAGGUGGUGUAUAUACCUUGUGUUUAAGUGUACACUACACGAAUUUGUCUAUUUAUUAGAUGCACAUAUCUAAAUACUUAAAGUGGCACAUGUAUAUUCCAAAUUAUUAUGUUCUACAUAUAUGGUAUAGUUUACUAUUGCUUGUUAGUUCAUUCUUCGAUGAGAUAAGCAUUUAUAUAACCAUAAGAACCAUAAACUUACCAAUAUUUAGAAAUUAUAGUGAAUUUAGAUAGUUGGCUUGUGAGACAUCCUUAUGCGGAUAAAAAAACCAUACCCAAUCCUGACAUGGAAAACUAGUCAUGUUAGAUCCUUAGUUGGAUUACAGGUCUAAGUUUUGCACAGGAUGUUAAAAAGUCUAAAACAACACUAAUUAAAGGCCCAAGAGAAACCCACCAGAGGUGGGCACUAGCACUCCAAGCAUUCUAUAUAUAGGAUACAUCUACCCGAAAGUACCUUUCUGCUCCCGAGCUCAUUUGAGCUCGGUGAACAGUAAAAUCAAAAAAAAAAUCAAGAAAUUCAAAAAAUUCCAAAAACAAUCUCAGAGAAACAUUGACAAAAGUUCUAAGUGGUUGCAAAAAUUCAUCAUGAAAUCACAUUCCUGUAAGGCGUGGCAAAAAAAACAAAUUCAGCCUCCAAAAUGCUUUUGAAAGUAGCAUUUUCAGAGUACCGAUUAUUUUUUGCCACGCCUUCUAGAAAUGUGAUUUCAUGACGAAUUUUUGCAAGCACUUAAAACUUUUGCCAAUGUUUCUACCAAAAAAAUUUUGGAAUUUUUUGAAUUUUUUUCAAUUUUUUUUGAUUUUACUGUUCACCCGAGCUCAUAUGAGCUCGGGUGCAGAAACUCCACGUCCUACAUCUACCCUCUUAUUCUCUCACAAAACACAACGAGAUACAACUCCCCCCUCCCCCAUUCAACUAGCCCAUUCAGUUCUCUCUUUUCCCCUUCUUGCAUACAAUCAUCUCCAUGGCUAGUCCAUUCGGUGUCUUGGUUUGUCUACUCAUAGUGCUACCACAAAUCCUUGCUAUUUCUAGCCCCAUCGAUGAGAUUGCACCUCUUAAGACAUGUCAGUUCCCUUGUAUGAUCGAGGUUAACUUGCACUUGUUCUUGCACCAAUUCGUCGACGGGCCAAACAACCCAAACCGCAAUGAGGAAACCUUACUCCAAGCAAGUUUUCCUUUUGGGUUUGGGACGACGAUAGUCCAUGACUGGACUCUUACCGAGACAACAAAUUCCAGAGACACGGUUGUUGCACGUGUA
RNAcentral lists this long non-coding RNA (165661 nucleotides) under Triticum aestivum (bread wheat). Its description in RNAcentral is "long non-coding RNA (TAES_LNC015666)". The record is from RNAcentral. Lineage: Eukaryota; Viridiplantae; Streptophyta; Magnoliopsida; Poales; Poaceae.